AUCCGCGUAUUGGAAUCACAAUUCAGAAUCAAGUUAAAGCGGCCAAUGUCACUCGAGAGAGUAGGCACUUGCAAAUCUGCUAAUAAUUAUUGGAGCAUCACCCUUCCGCACAAUCAACAGAAAGUCAUCAUCUUGAGAACCCACAGCAAAGAGUUCAUUUUUUUGCAGUAGAUACGUAGCUAUAUUAACAACGAUACUUCCAGCAUGCACAAAUGGGACUUCUUGAUGGUUACGCUGCUAAAGACAUUUACAAAUCCCCAUCAAUACUGGUGUUUAUUCCUCAUGAUGAUCCAGUGAGCUGACAAUAAAAGAAAACCUCGGCAUUACUAGUAAAUCGUCACUGCAAGCAUGGAAGAGAUUCAGGUAGGAAUUACCCUUGUCUUCAUUGAGAGGCUUUAACCUCCCUUGUCAGCAGGCCCAUGGUUCGAUGCAUCCUCUGAAGCGUCUAAGCAAGGAUUGCUUUUACACUGACUUACAGGCUGAGAAAGUUGGGACCCCUUUUGCGAAAAGUUUGGUUUACCUUUCGGAGUCUCAGACAGGCUUCCCGUUGACAGCUUUGCUAGGCCCAUUGUCUUGUGCUCACGCGGGAGCUUUGUUGAAAAAGGUGAUUCAGGUGUAUCAGGAUGCUUCCCAGGAAUAUCCAUCGGUCUAUGAAACAGCAAAUGAGCCACAGUCCGGUCUACCGGAUUGGUCUCUGUUUCCACCUCAGGCAUCUUAACCACCCUGCAGUAUACUCAUAAAAUCCAUGAGGAAAAUGACAGGAAACUUUGAGAUUGCCAUACUCUAAACAAAUUGAUAAAGACUUGAUUAAUAAUUUUGUGCAAACAAAUUGAAUGAUUUGAAAUGGGAAGGACGAGAUGUAAAGGAACAAACCCAUUGGAACAAGAAACAAUCACAUUGUCGCUUACAACAAAAAAUCGAGUUUCAGAUCAAAACAGCUUAUGGUUUUGGCUGGAAGUGUCCCAUUUAGACAUUGAUGAGCCGAUUAGAAGAUGAUUUGAGUUCUUAAAUUUCUUGCUUAAAAUGUAAUGUAUCAUGAUUCUGCAGAUGAUCAUUAAAUUAGAAGGGAAAUUUAAUUUUGCCCUGUUUAUCUAAAGUUGUGCAAGUUCUCUGCAUUGAUGAUUCCAGUGAAUUUGUACAGAUCUUGUUUUCCUUCUAUUUGUCCUUGAAUAAACUUAUUGCACUUGUUGAACAAUCUUUGUUUCUCUCUCUUAGUUAAAUCUAGUAAAAUUUAUCAUGUAUGUUGUGCCACUCAUUUAGACUUGGAUGUGCGUGUUUAGCUCUUCUUUUCGGAUUAAGGUGAUUAUGCACAAAUUCACUGGAAUCAACAUUGCAGAAAACUUGCAUAGAUUUUGUUAAUAUUGGAAAAAUUAAAUUCGUUUUCUAAUUAAAUGAAAAUCUCUCCUAAAUAUUAUGCUAUUUGAAUUGUCACCUCAUGACUACUUGCUGCACUGCACUCAUGAAUGCUGCACCAGGGUAAAGCUACAAAUGUCAGUUUAAUAUCUGCCUCUACCUAGGUUGGCCUACAUACAAUACCAAAGCUUCUCUCAACUAAAUCAAGACAUGAUGACCAGCACUCACAAUCAUAACAGAACCAGUGGAAGCGAACUACUACAUAUUUGAUCAACAAGGUCAAAUUCAGUCAAGUUUUUAAGGAAAUCCAGUGAAAGAGGAACCUAAAAUUUUCUGUUUAGAUUUUCUUCUACUUCUAAGAACAAGCGCUGCCUUAAUUGAAUUGUUUCAGUCACUAUUCCUCCAUUGUAAAUAGAGGAUACCGUUUUCAAUAUUUAUUUCCAGAGUGAGAAUGGAAAACAGAAAAUGGUGAUGGCAUUAAAAGAUCCUAAUUUAACAUUUCCAUAGAGCAAAAAUGUUUUUUAAAAAAGAGAGAGGAUAGAUUAAAUUUGAAAACAGAAGCAUGAGAAAUGCAUUACCUUAACCAACCUUCUUUGACUACUAUUGUUUGUACUGCCAGUAUCACUAGCAUAAUGCCUUUGCAUUGCACUUUGAGCCAGCCGGAACAAGCUAUCCCGAAUACAAAGUCUAAUUCUGACAUCCAACUGUUGUAAAACAUUGGUUUGGAAUCGUAACCAAGCACAAAUUAUUUAGCAGGGAAAGAAUGCAAUAGUAGGUGAAGCAUACCUUUGAAAUAAUAUCUUGAAGCCUGUAGAGUACUGUGUCCUCCAUUGAAUAAUCAUUAACCGCCAGAGAGACUGUAUUGGAAUCGUCUUGCUCAAUAGGUGAGUUUGGGUCAAAUGAAGCAAGUGUACUUAGAUCCUCUACUUCAAGGUCAGCUCCUUCAACAUGCUGAAUUUGAUUUUCUUGGGAACACUUUUGAUGAACAAGCUGCUGCUGCUGUUUCUGAAUGGCAAGCAUUGCCUGAAUUUGUUGCCGCCUCCUUAAUUUUUCAAUCUUUUCCUGAGGUGUCAUUCUCUGGGGUUUCACUGGACAGUCAGCUAACUUGUUUAUAGGAUUUGCAUUGCCUGAAACUUCAUAACCAGAAAUUUUAGGUCGAUGAUUAAAUGACUAGAAAUUUUGUUGGAAAGUCAGAAAACUUUAACAGGAUUCGCAUUACCUGAAGAAACUUCAUAACCAGAAGCUAAAGGUUGAUGCUUAAAAUCCCCAGACUGAAUGUGGGACAACCCAGGCAUAGAAUAUGGAUUUGUAAUACUCCCGUAGGCAGAAGGGGCCACAAAUGGAUUGGAUAUCUGCUGGUACUGCAACUGCUCGGAACCCUGUAGCUGCUUCUGUUGGCUGAGAAUUGAAGGGGGAGAAGAUUGCAUAAUUUGGGGUUCUAAAUGAUCCUUAAGUUGACAGGCUGGGAUUCCAGAUGAAGUCCAGUUUCCAUAAAAAUCUUGGUAUGAUUUCAGUUCACCUUUUUCUUCCAGUUUUUCCCGACCUUUCAAGAUCUUCUUUUGCCUGUAAGUCUGAUCACAGAACUAUAAACAUAUAAAUAGACAAAUUACUUAGAAUAGAUCAACGUUUUAACCAUCUAGACCUGCAGGGGAGAGUGACUAAGGCACAGUUAGUAUUUUAACUCAGUACAUGGUUUGUAAGGAUAAAUUCAAUGUUAUUUUUUUUUUUUAAUUGUAACUUACGAUCCAAAGGGCUUCUAUUGUUCAGAAUAUAUUGAGGUAUUAGCUAAACUAUGCCAAGCAAACAGAAUUUGCAUGUCCCUGGGAAGAGUGGGUGUCAUACUAGAAAUAUAAAUUACUGAUGCCUCCUGAAUUUUGACAUGCUAUUCCUUUCUCCUUCCUACUAACAGAAAACCAGACAAUGGCUUUACUUUAGGCAAUCGAUAUCAUGGUUAAGUCAUGGAUUUGACAUCAAGGAUAACUUAAUUGAUGCAUUAUUGAAGUGAUGACUAAAUCAUGUAAAUCCAUAUUCACCCAACAUCCAAGUUUAAUCUCAUUCCAAAAAAUAAAACUAAUAGCAUGAAUUAUGAAGAGACGAAGAGGAAUUUAAAUAAUAUAAUUUCUCUUUUCUGUCGCCAUUUUCCAUUCCAGAGAAGUACUCAGGAAGUCUUAAUAAGUUCAAGUGUAAGGUAACUUUUACCCUUCCCAGCUCUAAUUAGGUUUCGCUGUCCCUCCAAUCUAAUUUAAGAUCUAAUAUGAGGAAACCACACUGUAUUAGUGAAAGGAUCACAAUAUCAAGAUUUUCCAACUUCAAUUCACUGAUAUAACUUUUCUUGAAUCCUGGACAAAAGAACUUAGAACAUCAAAAGAUCAUAGCAGGAUUCUAAAAAACAAAGAUUGUAUUUGGUGCCUAUUGAGUCUAAAAGUUAUCUUGGAUGAAAAGGGUAAAAAUCAGUAAUAUGUCUGGUUCAGUAUCAAGAUUUUGAAAAUAUCAAAAGGAAGAAAAAAAAAGGUACCUUGUUUGCUAAUUCAUUUGGAAAAGCACCAUUUUCCUCUGUCAGUUGAGAGUUAGCCGCCGUGUUCUUUCCCACAACAGCCAAAUCUGUCUGCAAAAGCACAAAAAAAUAAAAUAAAAAAUGCUAAGCUUCUCUCAGCUCCUGCACUUGAGCAUGGGGCAUUAAUAAGUGAACUCAUUACUGAAAAUUGAGUCGCUAUACCUGCUCCUUCAGUAUAGGCUUGUUUUUACCUUCAUCAUAUUCUACAUGAUCAAGGCUUGCCUGAGUAUUCUGCAGACCAUGAGAUGCAGGGUCGUUCAUUUUUCCAUAGCCAAGGGCAAACAGCUGGUCCUCUUCUCUCGAAGCCACAGAUAUUGGAAAGGGCUUUACCGGGCUGUUAGUUGUACAUUUUGAAGAAGACCAUAGCUCAUCAGCAUUACCAAGAUUUACAUUGCCAAAUAUUGGGUCAUCAUUGCUGCAAAAUCACCACUUGUGAGGAUAUUGAGUCAGAUGGUUAUCACUGUUCUCCAACAGAAUCAAGAUAAAAUAUAAGAACAUUAGUGAAGAACAGAAAUGCAGGAAAGCCCUUCCACAAUUGAACAAGCUCACCAAUUCCUUACAAAUCCAGUGCUGCUAUAUUACAUUCUUUCUGCCAUUUAUACUUGUAAUUGAGGAUAUUGUGCUGCUAAAAACUCGCAUCCUUCAGGUUCUUUUCACAAUUAACAAAAUUAAGCCAGGAUCAAAAACCAUAAAUUUUCAAACAACUAGUCUUUUUUGUUAGUGUUGCUUUCAGCAGACAGCACUUGUUUGGAAAAGGAUAUAGAUCCAAAACAGAAGAAACUACAAUUAUUAAAAGAGUCUGGUUGUUUUUCCUUCACAACAACACUCUUGUAGUACAUGAUUUUUUUCUUCUGAAAUGAAAAUAGGCAGUGAGCAUAAUUAUUUUGUCCGCGAAACUUUCACUUCACAGUCAGUAAUAAGAAUUUGUUCAAAUUAUCAGAAUAAUGAGAUGUACAAGCUUCCAUAUCAGGGUGCUGCUGACCAUCUUUCAUUUAGGUGCAGAAAGUAAGAAAUGGUAACUGUGCUUUACCUAAAAAUUCGAUCAAGAUCAUCAAAGCUUCCAAUGCUAGCCCAGCCAUAAUCAACAAAAUCACCUUGCUCUUCACCUUCAUGAGGAUUUUGAAAAAUCUCAGUGUCCUUAUCAAGAUGAUCUGUCUCUGCGUUUUAAAAAAAAGAAUUAGAAUGACAGUAGCAUGUAAGAUACUAUGCUAUGAAAACAUCAUGCAACUCGUCACCCUAUCUACAUUUUUUCCUUGUAAUUGAAAUCUCAUCACCUGCUGAUGAAUCGAGUUUGGUAAUCUCAGUUAGAUUGUUAGAGAUUGAAGUUUCCAAGGAAUCCUGCUCAGUUUUGGCAGCAUUACGUGAGGACAAGUUAGGCCAUCGGUCCAUGUCAAGUCCUAAGGAAGAAGUUCCUUCACUUGUGUCAACAUUCGAAAUGCUCUCCAGCUUUCUGCCAUCAGUAUCAACUUUAGCCCCGGGUGCCUUCUGCUCACUAGAUUUAAUGGUGCUAGCUUCUUCACUCGAUUCCUUUUUCUUGCAAUAAUCUUCACUUGCCUCUGGAUAUGGCACGAUAUGGUCAUCACUAUCUUCAGCCUCACCCCAUAUUAUGUUCGUAAGCUGAAAAGAUAGUGAGUAAGCAUCAUCACUAAAUGUGGGAUACAUGAGAAGAAUGAAACAGUCACAAGUUAAUCUCUGGGUAACUUGGCAAGACUAUUUUCCCCAACAUAAUAUUCUGAAUAAUACACUAAUUAAUCAGUUCAGUUCCUUGUAAGGUGUGCGUGGGCACAUAUGAGCACACAUGUGUGUACGAGAGUUGCUAGUGUCAAUGAGUUGGGAACAAAAUAUUUAAUUGAGUCAUGCAGAAAAUACUAAAAUGUUCUAAAUUGUGUUAAAAAUAAAAUAGAAAGUAGAAGCCAUUGGCAUGAUUCAUUUAAAAAUUUCUACAAAAUUAAAAAAAGAAAACAAAACAAAAGGAGGAGAUGGCCCAAAGCAUGCUCUCAAUAAGAUGAAGUAAGACCUAAAGCUUCAUUGCAUGUACAGAGCACUUUGGAAACUUCAGUCUGGACAAAUAAAACCAAGGCAAAGUAUCUUCUUUUUGGAACUAAUUUCUUCACAGUAAGAUAUAACAUCCAACGCUACCUGCAUCACUUUCUCAUGGUCCUCUCUGACUCGAGUGAUCAUAAACCUUCUCAAAUCCCAUUUAAAGAAGAUUCCCUUUCUCACUUUUCGUUGGUAUUAUUUGACACCAAGAUCACAACCAAACAUUACCAAUAAGUGUGUCACCGGAGAAAGAAACUUAGGUGCCCUAAUACCAUAAAUAAAACCUAUUCAAUAAAAAUUAGACAAUAUUUUAUAGCUGUACAUCUAUAAUCAAAGUAAAAUGCCCAAAACUCUGAAUCCUGAAUAUGUGAAUCAAAGUAAAAGGCCCUAACUGAUGCACCAUCAGCAGUCUCCUACUUUGACUUGUGAUUAAUGACCUAGCAGUUCACUUCAACAACAUUAGUGAACAUAAGUUUGAAUUUCAGACCCAGCAAGAAGAAGUACAUUUUCCAGUAGGCAUGCAUAUCACCUUUUUAUCAAUAUCCAUGGAAGACAAACCAAGCAAUAUCAAGUUUUUUUCUGCUGGAUAUCCAAUAAAAAAUACCUCAUAGUGUGAACAUCUUUAAGAAGGAGGAUAUCACAUUGCACCCCAUCAACUGAUCCACAAAUAAAUUUGCAUCUUUCCAUCAGUUCCAAGCUCUUUGUAAGGAAAAGGGAGGGAAGUGCCUUCAAAGAUACCUUCUUCAUAGCUUCUUUAGAUAUGAAUCCACACGGCUUUCGUAAUCACCAAUCACUAUGCGCAGCUUCUCUUAUCAUCACAAGCUCCAUCUCUUUCCACGUCCUAACUUCAUUCGAUGAACUCUUCCCUCAGUUCCCAAGAAAAAUUAUAUUCAUCCCUCCUGCAGCCUUUUCCCUGCAUAUUUCCACCAGCUUCAUAGCUAUAUGGCCUGUGAAAACUGUCGUUGUUGCAGUGAUUCUGAACAACAAAAAUAACAAAGGAUAAUGCUUGUGUUUAAGAAGAGAUUGAUGAAUGAAAAGCUUAAAUACUUUAUUCAUAACUGCAGCUCAAUUUAUAGAGCUGAUACAUAACAAACUCCUACGAUCAUGGUCCUACAUUCAAGCCAUGAUCAAUUGAUAAUGGAAAUAACAGAGCUGCGAAAUAGCAGCAAGAACAAGAGAAUAGGAACAGAAUUGACUAAAUCAAAAAUUAAAGAAAGAAUAAAAUUCCAGCUCAGCAGUCCUGAACAUUAUUUCUAACACUCCUCCUUGUUUAGGAGCUGCAAACUCCCAACUUUGUUCUCAGAAAUUCGAAUUUGUUGACUGGCAGUGGUUUGGUGAAAAUAUCAGCUGCUUGUUCUUCAGUUUUGCAGUAAAUAAGAAUGAUACUCCAAUCUUUCUGCACCUCUCUCAAAAAGAAUAAUUUGAUGUUGAAGUGCUUGGUUUUCCCGUGAAACACAGGAUUAUUAGAGAUGGAAAUGGCAGCUUGAUUGUCAACUAGAAUUUCUGUGCUUUCCUUUUGCUCCAGGUUAAGAUCAGAUAAAAUUUUCCUCAGCCACAAAGCUUGAUUGACAGCAGCUGUUGCAGCCACAAACUCAGCUUCAGCAGUGGAUUGGGCUACGGUUUCUUGCUUUUUUGAAUUCCAUGAAAACACACCAGAACCUAAAGAGAAACAGUAGCCUGAUGUGCUCUUCAAGUCAUCAAUUGAGCCUCCCCAAUCACUGUCAGAGUACCCGACCAGUUUGAACUCUCUACUUCUUGUGUAUCUUAUGCCAAAAUUGCAGGUUCCUUUGACAUAUCUUAUCACUCUUUUAGCAGCCUUGAAAUGCAAUUCACUAGCACAAUGCAUGAAUCUAGACAAGAUACUCACAGCAUUCAAAAUAUCAGGCCUAGUUGCAGUGAGAUACAUCAAGCAUCCAACAAUUUUUCUGAAUUGUGCUUGAUCAACCUUCUCGGCUCCAUCUUCUUUACAUAGCUUCUCCUUUUGAUUCAUAGGAGUGCUUACUGCUUUGCAAUCUUCAAGUUUGAACUUUUUGAGGAUUUCUUUGGCAUACUUCUUCUGACAUAUGAACACUUCAUGUUCAGCUUGCUUAACUUCCAUUCCAAGAAAAAAGGACAUCAAACCCAAAUCUGUCAUCUCAAAUACACUCAUCAUCUCUUGCUUGAACGUCUCCACAUUAUUGUUGUUAUUUCCUGUUACAAGCAAAUCAUCAACGUAAAGUGAGAUGAUAAGGAUGUUAUCACCAUUUUGCUUGAUGUAAAGAGUCGAUUCAGAGAGGCUUUUAGUGAAUCCCAAGUGCUGCAAAUGUUCAUCGAUUCGGCUGUACCAAGCUCUUGGAGCUUGCUUCAAUCCAUAUAGUGCCUUCUUAAGAAGACAGACUUUGUCCUCCUCUCCUUCAUUUGCAAAGCCUUCUGGUUGCUCAGUAUAGAUCUCCUCCUGCAAAACACCAUUUAAAAACGCUGACUUGACGUCCAUUUGAUACACCUUCCAAUUCAGUUGUGCUGCAAUGGCAAGUAGCAGCCUGAUAGUGUCAAGUCUUGCUACCGGUGCAAACGUGUCUGAGUAGUCCACGCCAAAGAUUUGUGCAUAACCCUUCACCACUAGCCUGGCUUUGAGCUUAUUGAUUGAGCCAUCAGCGUUGAGUUUUGUUCGAUACACCCAUUUUACACCGAUUACAUUUCUGUUUUGAGGUCUGUCAACCAACUCCCACGUGUUGUUUCUCGUGAUCAUGAGAAGCUCCUCCUUCAUCGCAGCAAGCCAAUUUUGAUCUAGCUUGGCUUCUUCAAAGUCUGCUGGUUCACACACAGCAAUGUUGCACCUUUGAUACACAUCAAGGAGUGACCGUGUGCCUCUAACAGGAGUGUCAUCUGUCAUGUUGAUGUCCCAAUCUUCCAUGCUUUGAUCAUCUGUGUCUGAAACAAGAUAAUUGCCUUUUGGAGAGGCUGAAUCUUCUUUGAUUGCAUCGUUCCAAUCCCAUUCUUCAUCUUCCAGGAAUUGGACAUCUCUGCUUAUAACGAUUUUUCCAGUUUGUGGCUGGAAAAUCUUAUAAGCCUUUGAAACUAAGCUGUAGCCAACAAAAAUGCCUGGAAGUGCUUUCUUGUCAAGUUUAUCCCUCUUGACCUGUGGAACAAGGGUGAAGCACAAACAUCCAAAUACCUUAAGAAAAUUCAGAGAUGGUUUGUAACCAUACCAUGCCUCAAAGGGUGUUUGAUCCUUCAAGGCUCUUGUAGGCAGUCGAUUUUGCAAGAACACAGCAGUGUUUGCAGCCUCUGCCCAGAAUUUCUUUGGUAAAUUCUUCUCAUGUAGCAAGCAUCUUGUCAUUUCCAAUAUGAACUUGUUUCGCCUCUCACUAACUCCGUUUUGCUGAGGAGUAUACGGAGUUGUUAGCUGAUGAUGAAUGCCUGCCUCCUCACAAAAAACGUUGAAGGCAUUGGAAGUGUAUUCCUUGCCAUUGUCUGAUCUGAGGGCUUGAAUUUUGCAGCCACUUUCAUUUUCAACUUUGGCCUUGAAAUUCCAGAACACCUGUGCUACCUCUGACUUGUGCUUCAAGAAGAAAAUCCAGCACAUUCGGCUGUAAUCGUCAAUGAAGACAGCAUAAUACAGACUCCCAUUUAGAGAGAGUGUCCUUUGUGGUCCUGCAAUGUCAGUAUGAAUCAAUUGCAGCUUCCUUGUUGCUCUCCAUGUGGCUUCUGGAAAGGGCUUCCUGUUUAGCUUGCCAGUGUGACAAGUUCUGCAGCUGGAUAUGUGAUCAUCAAGUGCUGGGAAAUCCUUAGCCAUCAUCUUGGAUUUCAUAAGCAUCAGCCCUCUAUGAUGAUAGUGCCCGAGCCUCUUGUGCCAAAUAUCUGUGAUAUUUUCUUUAAUUGGGAAAGCAGUAUGCUCCUCCUCCAAUGGAUUUAGAGCAAAACUCUUCCCUUUCAUGAUUAUUUUGAAAAUAUCAUGACCAUUCACAUCUUUGAUCAAGCAGCAAUUGUUUUCAAACACUACUUUAUAACCCUUCUCAAUAAGCUGACCAACACUGAAUAAAUUUUGAUUUAUACCAGGGACAUACAAUACAUCAGAGAUGAACUUAGUACCUGAGCAAGUCAAGAUUGCCACGGUUCCCUUUCCUUCAACAACAAGGUAUUCUCCAUUUCCAAUUCGAACCUUUGAAGUUGUUUGUUUCAGCUCCUUGAAUAUGUUUCUGUCAUGUGUCAUGUGGUUGGUGCAACCACUAUCAAUGAGCCAGCUUUCACUUGAGUCAUUUCUGGAAAUGCAAGUGGCCACAAACAAUUGAUCUUCUUCUUCUUGAUCAGCAAUUUGAGCUUCUUCACCAUGCUGUUGAAUUUUGUUUUUGCAGAUGACAGCCUCGUGCCCCAUUUGAUUGCAUUUGUUGCACUUAGCUUCUGGUCUUCUCCAACACUUAAAAUGUGGAUGUGAUCUCCUUUUACAAUGCUGGCAUGGAGGAAAAGGUCCUUUUUUGUUUCCAGUGUUGCUCCUUGUUGAAAUUCCUGGAAUCACCUGAUGAUGCUUGACUGCUUCCAUUCUUCUUGUAAUUCUUUCCUUUUUCUCUAUGCUUGACGAAUAGAGCUCCUUCAAUCUCAUCUUCCUGUCUCAUGAUCCUCCUUUGCUCCUGAGCUUGUAAUGCAUUUAGCAUUUCUGUCAAAGUAAUUUUUGACAUAUCCUUGGUAUUUUCCAAGGAUGUAAUUGUAGCUUCAAAGAUUUCAGGAAUUGUUACAAGAAUUUUUUGAACAAUUCUUGACUCAGGCAGGGACGAGCCAAGUAAACUGAUUCGGCUUGCAAUAUUAAGCAGCCUGUCAGAGUACUCUUUGAUGGAUUCAGUCUUCUUCAUCUUCUGCAACUCGAAAUCACGCAUCAAGUUCAACACUUGCAUACCUUGAAUUCUUUCAUCCCCUUCAUACUCAGUCUUGAGAAACUCCCAUAUCUCCUUUGCUGUUUUCAGAGACAUGAUUCGAGUGAAAAUGGUGGAUGCUACUACAGCAAACAAGCACGCCUUUGCCUUUGAUUUUUUUGUCUUCUUCUCCUUCUGUGAUUUGAUCUGCACCAUGGUGGGAUUGUUUGGAAGUGCAGGGAUUUCAUAAUCUUCUUCCACUGCCUCCCACAAAUCCAAAGCCUCUAAGUAUGUCUCUAUCCGUACUGCCCAAAACUGGUAAUUGUCACCAUUGAACACUGGUGGAGCAAUUGAUGAGAAGCUUACUUCUGUCUCCAUGGGUUACAACACAGAUCCCUUUAAAUCAAGAUGCUCUGAUACCAAUUGUCGUUGUUGCAGUGAUUCUGAACAACAAAAAUAACAAAGGAUAAUGCUUGUGUUUAAGAAGAGAUUGAUGAAUGAAAAGCUUAAAUACUUUAUUCAUAACUGCAGCUCAAUUUAUAGAGCUGAUACAUAACAAACUCCUACGAUCAUGGUCCUACAUUCAAGCCAUGAUCAAUUGAUAAUGGAAAUAACAGAGCUGCGAAAUAGCAGCAAGAACAAGAGAAUAGGAACAGAAUUGACUAAAUCAAAAAUUAAAGAAAGAAUAAAAUUCCAGCUCAGCAGUCCUGAACAGUAUUUCUAAUUUCUGCUGGAUAUCCAAUAAAAAAUACCUCAUAGUGUGAACAUCUUUAAGAAGGAGGAUAUCACAUUGCACCCCAUCAACUGAUCCACAAAUAAAUUUGCAUCUUUCCAUCAGUUCCAAGCUACUUUGUAAGGAAAAGGGAGGGAAGUGCCUUCAAAGAUACCUUCUUCAUAGCUUCUUUAGAUAUGAAUCCACACGGCUUUCGUAAUCACCAAUCACUAUGCACAGCUUCUCUUAUCAUCACAAGCUCCAUCUCUUUCCACGUCCUAACUUCAUUCGAUGAACUCUUCCCUCAGUUCCCAAGAAAAAUUAUAUUCUUCCCUCCUGCAGCCCUUUCCCUGUAUAUUUCCACCAGCUUCAUAGCUAUAUGGCCUGUGAAAACGACUCCCAAAUUAAAACACUUGAGAAGCUCUAAUAGUUUUCUUAUUAUUUCUUCACUCUUUGUCAGUGUGCCACAUUCAAAUACUACUGAUCGAUUCUUCCUCGUCACAACCACUCACUUUCCCCUAAAUCCCAUACCAACUAAAUCAAUAUCUCUUAUCACUUAUCAAAACUCCAUCUAAUUUCCAAAUGAAUCACACCAUUUGAACACUUUGCCAAUUCCUAAUUCCUUCAAAAUUUUCAUCCAUCAAAAAAAAAACUGCAAGUCAUACUUUUUCACUCUAACACAGUUCUCCUUAUAAUCAAUCUUCCAAUUUAACCAUACUCUUGCCUCUAAAUCUGGCACGCAAAGCUUCUACAUAACCUUCCAACGUUACUUCUUGCCUCCCAACAAGGGUGGAGGCAUGCAUGGGCUAGGGUGGGCUCUAGCUCAGGUGAAGAUUUUAUUAAUAUUUUUGUUCUAGUUUUAUGUAAAGAAAAUUUGUAAUUCUCAAUUUACGUGGAGCCUUCUAAUAUGAUGCUUUAACUUGAGUUAAAAUUUUAUAAUUUUUGAAGAAAUUCAGAAAUUUGAUAAAAAACAAAAUCAUAAUUUGACCAAUUUUAUGUUAUUGGGUGUAAUUUUCAAUCUGACCAUCAGAUUGAGCUAAAAUUUUACAAGGAAUCUUAAAAUAUAUUAAAUAAAAUCUGGUUUAAAUUUUAAAAUGAACAGAGUUUGGUAGUGCUAACAAAAAAAACAUCAAAUAAAAGCAAAAUGACUCAUUAAGGGUAAAAUUGUUAUUUGCCAUAAAAAAAAAUCAGUUCUUCCUUCCUUUAUAUGUUGCUGACUGGGCAGAAACAAAAUAGAAAAUGAAAGAAAAGAAAAGGCGAGAGAAAAAGAGAGAAAAGUAAGGGAAAAACAUAAAAAAAAUCCUAGAAAAAAAGAUAAGAAAAGUGAGAAAAUAACCUUAUAAACUUAUAAAGUCCAACUUAUAAAAUAUUAAUCUAAGGAAGAAGCAAGUGAAGGAAGGAGGAAUUGAGAGAGGGAAAAAAUUUAAUUAUUUUAUUUUUCAGUUGACAUGAGAUUGUUAUUUUAUCCCGGUUAAGGGAUUGUUAUAAUAUCAAUUCAAAUUCGAUUAUAGAUGAAUUAUAUUUCACAAAACAUCGAAAGAUGUAACUUUAAUAGUGAGUUUAUUUUUACUUUCACUUUAAUUUUAUAUAUUUUUAAAUUUAUUUUUUAAUAUUUUAGGUAAUGUAUUUGAAUUAAAACUUUACUAUUAACUUUAAAAACUCAUGUACAUUAAUUAAUAAUUUAUCUUAAAAAAAAUAUUAUAUAUUUAUUUAAUAGUGCAGGACAGAAAAAAAAUCUAGCAAAAUUUAUUCUUUCCAACUUUAUUUGUUUUGACUGAAAAAUAAUCUUUUAUUUUUGUACUUCACAGGCAUGUGGUGGCAAAAGUCGAGCACGAUAUAUAUAUAUAUAUAUAUAUAUUUCUUAAGAUACAUAUGGCUGGUGAUUGGCGGAUGAUGGUGUCAUUAAGACUCUUGGUGUGUACCCUCAUCCUUUCUGUUUAUAGUUUAGUCCAUUUGCAGCUUUAAUGGCUACUAUCAGUUGCUUUGGAACCUGAUAUCACUAGUCUCAUUAUGGUACAGACAAGCUCAGGAUGAUCAAUCCUUGAGAAUCCACAUCCAACCAGAAAUAAACCGAAUUUCGAGCAUAAAUGACUCGAACUCGCUGGAAUGCUUUGGCACCUCCUUCAAUCCUAGUUUGGGAAACAGAAACACUAUCACCGUUAGUUUUCACCGAGGAAGACAGCACCCCCAUUCUCUCCUGCUGUGCUGAUGAUGGGGCAUGAGAGAUAGUCCAAAGGAUUUGCCUCACGUUGAAGUAUGCAACUGUCUAUGGUUAGCCUUCUCUUUUGUGAUGCAAGCAGCAACCAAGCUCUGCCUUCACUGCAUAAAGAAAUGAUUGAUUCACGAAGCCUGACUUCUUUGAAUUUGAAAGAUUAGAAUCAUUGGAAGAGAAAGAAGAAAAGGUGUAAAUGACAGCGGAAUGCUAUUAUACCAUCUGCCAAGGUAAUGCCAAGUCUACUUGCGAGGUAUUUAUAUCAUAAUUUUUAAAUAUUAGAUUGUCAGCGCAUACCAAGCAAAGAGCUUCGAUUCACAACGAAAUGAAUCCGUGCUAUGGGUUAUCAUCUGAUAUCAUCAUUCAUCAACAAUUAAUCGAAUGGGUUUAUACAUGAAAUGUUUUUAGUUUCUUAAUCAAUAAUUGAAGUUUUUAAUUGGAAGUCAAAUUAUUCUUAGAGAAUAAUAUAAUUAAACUAAACCUUGGUUAAUUGAUUGCUAGCAAAGGUGUACAUUUACAUGGCUUGAAAAUGAAGCUUAUCUUCCAUUUAAUUUUAUCAAAUAAAUUAUUUAUAGAGUAGUUUUGAGUGAUAUAAAUCAAAUAGGAAUUAAAUCAUGUUAAAACAUUUAAUUUUGUUGUCCCUUUAUAUUACAAACAGCAACAUUACGUAUCAUGUUUAUAAAUUCCAAACCACUCAUUUGAAACUAACGCUUUGUAUUUUUUUUAUAAAAUAAAAUAAAUCCUAACACUGAUGUGGACUAAAAUGUUUUUCAUAUAAAAUAUGAGGAUCAAAAAACUUUCAUGAACAUUUAAAAUAUGAUGUGGACUAACAUUUUUUUUUUGUUAAAAUUAGUUCGGUUUGUACUUUCUAGAUCGUUUUGAUGUGCUGAUAUCAAAAAUAAUUUUUAAAAAAUAAAAAAAACAUUAUUGGCAUACUUUUCGGCACGAAAAGCUAUUUGAAAAACAACAACUACCACACUUCCAAACACCCUCACUUAGUAUAAAAAAGAAAUCAUCACGUCGUUAUUUUCCACUCAGUAUAAAAAAGAAAUCACACGCCUUAGAGGAUAAAUAAGCAAUGCGAAAGUUAAAUAAAUUUAUGAAUUACCAGCAUAAUUCACACUAAUUCCCCUCUCUAACUUGCACCUCAUCAAUUUUUAUUCCUUUACUCUCGAACGAAAAUAAUAAUAUUUAAGUUAUUAAACCCAACUCGAAUUAUAAUUCAAGUAGGGGGUUAACAUAAAUCAAUACAAAGUGAUAUGACUUUAGGAGUUUUUUCAAAAAAACAAAUUAAAAUGAUGUGAACUUUUUUAAAUUAAAUUGAGUUUUAAUUGAUCAAAUAAGUUGGAUUACACCAGGUCAAAUUCUAUCCGAUUUAAUUUAAAAUUCAAUCUAAACUCUUAACUUACCUUCAGUCGGGUUUAAUAACAUAUUGACGUAACUUUAGACAAGUUAAGACAUGUUAUUUGUAUAAUCAGACCAAAUUCUCAAUCUUUAUUUAUCAUAAUAACGAUCCAACCCAUUAAUUUUAAAUGGGCCUAUAAAAACUCUAACUUGCCAUAAAAUCAGCAAUUUUACAUCCUAUUUUAUAAAAGACACUCCAACAUAAUUAAUUAAAAUAGUAUUUGAUAUUGUGGUAAUAAUUAUUUUUUAAAGUAUUUUUUAUUUAAAAAUAUAUUUAAAUAAUUUUUAAUUUUUUAAUUUUAAAAAUUAAUAUUUGACAUUACAUAUUAAAACAAUCUAAAAACAUAAUUUUUAAAAAAAGUUAUUAUUAUUUAAGAAAAACUGUAUCACCAUACAAACAAAUCCAAAAACACAAUUUUUUUAAAACAAUUAUUAUUCUUUUAAAAAAAAUUGUAUCACCAUAAAAACAAAUAAUUUCUAAGAGUGACAGUGAGCAACAGAAAUAAACCAUGGCAGAAACUAAAAAUACCUUUAACGGAAACUGUGCUUCGAUUCACAACGUUUUCAUCCUUGACCAAUGCUUGACAGAGUAGACGACGGGUCAGAACAGAGCUACCAGUCCUGCAUUUCUCGAAGGAUAGUUUUGGAAAUGCUCUAAGACCGUGGCCAUUAUGCUGUGUAUGUUUGAUAAUGCAGUGAAUAUAAUUUUAUAAAAAUAUUUUUCAAUUAAUAAAAUAUUUCUUAAAGAAAUUUUCAAUAAUUUUGUUAAGAAAUUUGCGUGGCCAGACAUUUUAAAGAAUGAUGCUAAAUUUGGGGUUACAUAGGCAGCUGCUGGCUCCUCUUGUAUCUUUUGGGUUAAAGGCAUCGUUUGUUUCCUGCCGUUGUCUAUUCUCCGGUCGUAGAAGCUGACUGCAAUCCUCCGACUCUGUUCUCAUAGUCAGAUGCUUCCUCUGUUUUCUCCUGGCAUUAAAAUUACAGCUCACCCUCAAAUCUUAUUGCCUCUGGUCAUUUUCUUGAAUGGUGCUUGGUGUUGUCUUCUAGCGUUUGCAGUAUCGUAAUUUGCUGGAGUUUUUGUAGUAUUUGAAUUGUGGGUGAUUGAGCUGCAGAAUUUGUGCAAUUGAAUUGAAUUUGUGCUAUGGGUUAUCACGCGAUAUCAUCAUUCAUCAACAAUUAAUUGAAUGGGUUUCUACAUUAAAUAUUUUUAGUUUCUUAAUCAAUAAUUGAAGUUUUUAAUUGGAAGUGAAAUUAUUCUUAGAGAAUAAUAUAAUUAAACUAAAUCUUGGUUAAUUGAUUGCUAGCAAAGGUGUAAAUUUACAUGGCUUGAAAAUGAAGCUUCUCUUCCACUUAAUUUUAUCAAAUAAUAUAAUUUUGAAAUAAAUUAUUUAUAGUAGUUUUGAGUGAUAUAAAUCAAAUAGGAAUUAAAACAUGUUAAAACAUUUAAUUUUGUUAUACCUAGGUCCCUUUAUAUUACUAACAACAAUAUUAUGUAUCGUGUUUAUAAAUUCCAAACCACUCAUUUGAAACUAAAGCUGUGUAUGCUUUUUAUAAAAUAAAAUAAAUCCUAACCUUCAUAUGAGGAUUAAAAAACAUUCAUGAAAAUAUAUGAAAAGCUAUUUUUGUCUCUAUGGGCUAGGUACGAUGUAUUCAGGUAUGGAUAUGGGUCUGGGCUUAGGAUGAUAGAUAUGGGUCCAGUAGGAGCACGAUAUUUUUUAAUGGUAAGGAAUGAGCUAUGCCUACCAGGCUGGUUACUCGGUCCAUUCACCUCUCUACCUGAGGCUUGUAUAGUUUAUUGAAAAAAACAAACUUAUAUCGUUUCUUUUAGAAUUCAUUUCUUUAUAAAGCAUGACAAUGUAACCAAAUUUGCAUUAUCUAUAUAAAAUAAAAGAAAAUAUAUAUUUUCACAAAUUCUACCAUAUUGCUCGACCAAAAUAUUUAUUUUUUGUUUCUAUACAUAUUAUAAUUAGUUACAAAUAUAACACCCAAUUUAAUAAAAUCAUAUGAGCAAAAUUCCAGGACUUUCCAUGGACAAAACCCAAUUUAAUAUAUAUAUAUAUAUAUAUAUAUAUAUAUAUAUUUCUCUACAUAUUCAAUAUAUUCAUCUAAAUGUAUUUAUCUGAAUGCUAUAUUAUCUUAUAAUUUAACUGGGACCAAAGAUAAAUGAUAACAUUUAUUUAAAUGCUAUUUAUGAUUGACACACAAAACCCUGUUUUCAUAGUUAAUUGAAGGAUAAUAAAUGGAAGAAUGACAAAUUGCCAGGUGGAAAGUUAUACCUCAUCACAACAAAUACUUUCCAGCCAAUUAAUUAAUGGCGGUUACAACUAAUUACAACAAAUACUCUUCACUUCUUCUCUAUAGUUAUGUUAAUGGUAAGAAAAGGUUGGAUAUUAGAAUUUUGAAAAAUAAAAUAAAAGAUAAGUGAUGUUCAGAUUAGAACUUGAUAUUUGAUAUAAAAUAUAUAUUUUUUAAUUAAACUUUAAUAACAAGUCAUAAAUCAACUCAAAAAUAGUAAAUAUUGUAAAAAAAAAAUGGUAAUAUUAUACACAAAAAAAGAGACUCAUGAAAUGACAUAAAAAAUAGAAUUUUUGUAUAUUUUUAUCUAUUCAUGAACUUGAACAUGAUUUAUAUUUAUAUAAUCAUACAUUUUAAUUGGAAAAUAAUCAAUAAAGGAAGAAAGAAUCGACUUUAAACAAAUAAAAAGAAAAUAGAAGAUGAAAUAUAAAUCACGUAAGAAUUAAGUCUUCUCGAAGACUAGCUUAAGAGUAAGAAAGAGGCAAAAUCUAUAGGAAUUUAAUUAAUAAAUGUUUCAUGCGUGUUGUUUCGAAUUGUAUAAAUAUAAAGAAAAUACAUUUAUACAUAUUAUAUUAUAAUGAAUAUAUUUUUCUGUGCAAAAUUGUUAUUAUUUUUUCAAAUCAAACCCCCGGUUUGAGUAUUGAGCAUAAAAAGAAUUUGGAUUGUUGAAUCAUUUAAACAAUUAGUGGAUCGCCAAUGAAUCAUUUUAUUAAAAUGAUAUUUUGCUUUUUUAUAAAAAAAUUUAUUAAUAUUGAUUUAACUAAGUUUGUAUCAGAUUUUACCAAAUCAAAUAAAUCAUUACAAAUUCAAUUGAGUAAUUAAGAUUUUAUCUUAUCAAUGUUUUUUUCUAAUUCAAUUUUAAACCUGGUUAAUGCCAGGAUCUGGAGGAUGUGCUUCCUAUAUCAAAUCACCAUGCAGGGAAGAGUUUAAACAUUUUUCAUUUUUCCUAUAUCAAAAAAUUACAUUUCUUAGCAAAACACACGAGUUAUAUAUAUAUAUUUAAACAAAUUACAAAUAAUCUAAUCAAUUGAUUAAAGUUGUGACACCUUAUAGUACGUAGACGACUAUAUAAUACUAUAAGAUAUUUAACAAUAUUUAUUUUUAUGAAGAGUAAUAUGUUGCUUGUCUAUGUAAUUUCUCUUUUAAAUUGGGUUUAAUUUCAAAAUCAACGUGUAACUUUGUACGUAGGGGCAUGUCAUGGGCAGUGUUGGACCAAAUUCUCAAUCUUUAUUCAUAGAGGUGGAUCAUGAUCGAGAUUCGAGCCUAUUAAUUUUAAAUGGAUCUACAAAACCUCUAUUCGGCCAUAAAAAAUAAAAUCUCAGGUGCCCAUCAAUGAUAGGAUCUAUUUUGUAAAAGACAUUUCAACAGUAUUAAAAUAAUGUUUAGUAACGUGAUAUCUGAUAUUUUUAAAAAUAUUUUUUUAUUUAAAUUAUAUAUUUUUAAAAUUUAUAUUUAAUAUUAUUAUAUUAAAAUAAUAUAAAAAUAUAAAAAUAUAUUUUUAAAAAAAAUCUUGGUGUCAAAGUGAGUGAAUAAAAAAAAUAAAUCAUGGCAGAAACCACGAACACCUUUAACAGCAAUGUCGUUUCAGUUUGACAGAGUUGUGUUAAAAAAAAAAUUCCUUCAAUUUGUAUUGACUUUUUAAUGUUUUAAGUUUACAGUGCUCCUAUAUAUAAACAGAGAAGAUGUUCUUAAAAACUAUGGAUUCCUGCUAUAAACAGGACUUAUACAAAUGUGGAAUAAAUCAAUUACUAAACUAUGGAAUAGGACUUAUACAACUGUGGGAUAAAUCAAUUACCAAACUUUUUCUUACAAACUCUCAACUAAAUCACUUUGUAAUUAUACUAACACUUUGAGUCAAGUUAGUGCAAAGAUAUCUUACCCAACUUGUCAAGGGAGCUCUGAAAGUUUUUGCUGAAGACAACUUUUGUAAAGAUAUUCGUGAGCUGAUUCUUUGAUUUGACAAAUGAAAAGUUAAUCACUUAUUAUUUAAGAUUUUGUUUAAUAAAAUGUUUGUCUAUUUCAAUAUGUUUCGUGUGAUCAUGUUAAAUUGGGUUAUAAAAUAUUUUAAUGGCAGCUUAAUUAUCACAGUAUAGGUUCGUUCUUGAUUUGGGAGCAAAACCAAUUUCUGAUAAUAAUCUUCUGAGCUAAAGCAGUUUACGUAGUCCUUUUACCGUCCCUUGAAACUCAACCUCUGUGCUUGACAAGGUAGCUACUUUUUAUUUCUUGCUUCUCCAUGUGACUAAAUUGCCACCAAUAAACGUGAAGUAUGCUCAUUAAUCUCAUGCAUAUUUUGAUUAUUUUGUUGAAUAUUUUAAUCAGGUUUAUGAUAUGGAUUCUUAUAAUAAAAUUUUCAUUUAAUUUUUUUAUUUUCAUGGGGGGUUUUAAUGUAGGGAACAUAGGAAGUGUAAAGGUGGCAACUUUUUUGCUUUAUUUUAUACCGUAUUUAAAGCCAGUGCCUUUGAGGUUUUAUGGCAGCCCAUCAACAAUAUUCUUAGUAGGAUCUUAUCAUUUAUGGUACUAGCCUGUUGGGCCUCCCUUUUCAUUAUUUUAAGCGUAGUUGCCACCCAUCUUUCUGUGGCUCCAUGUUCAUUCUCCAAACCAUUCAUAUAGGUAUCUUAAAUAGUGUAGCUGGAGCUUUACUGGGUAUGCUUUUUAAUAUAUUUUUAAGUAAAAUAUAUUUUUAAAAAUAUUUAAAAAACAAACAUUACUGUACUUUCAAAAACAUAAUCCUCUUGUAUCUGACGCUUUAAAUUCCAACAAUGAGUUACUGAUUAGAUAAUAUCUACAUUCAAUUAAAAAUAUAAUUUCUUGACAGCGAAAUAAAGAAAAAAGUAGCAACCCUGUAAUAUCUAGGUAAUUUCUAUGCUCUUUAAAUUAGGCCUCUAAACUGAGACUGUAAUGAGCCCAUGACAGAGGAAGACAUGAAAGUGUAAUUUCAGAAGACCAUUAUUCAUAUAACAAAUUUAGUAAAUUUAGUAAACUCGUAAAGUUAAACCGAUUUUACUAAUUCUGUACUAGUUAGAUUUGAUUUUAUUAAUUUUAAAUUUUUAGUUAGAUUUAGUAUGUUAAAUAUAUAUUAACUUAAAUUUUACUAAUAACUCAUAAUUUUAACAACCUUGCUUGUAAUAGCUCUUGUGGUGGUUGAUGUUUAAAAAAGAUAAUUGAGAAAUUAUUUUCACUCGUGACUUUUUUGAUUUAAAUAAGUAUUGAAUUAAAAAUAUUUAAUUAAAAUUAUUGUUUUAAUUUAAUUACCACAAAAGAUACUGGUGAAGGUGGAGAGGAUGCAAAAGAUGAUUGGGUAUCCUAUUAAUCGUCAAAACAUCAACUAUUGUGGUCAAUUCUGCUGACUGCUGAGACUAAAAGCCAACCACUUGAAUAAUGGGCAUUAGCUGUUUAGCACUCCUUGGUAAACACUUCAGGCUCCUUUCCCGCCCCUUUCCUCGCUGGUUCCUUAAUAGCUUCAAGGGGUGCGAGCGCCUCGUUCGAGGAUUGAGCAUAAAGGACUAAAAGAGUUCAAUAAAUACUAAAAGACAUAAAGUGAAGUUUUUAUAAUAUUCAUAGCAAUGGUCAUCAGCUAAUUUAUAAUUUAUUUAUCUACUUUAUCAAUGAAAUAAAAGUGAUAAAAGAAAAGGAGAGAAGAAAUAAAGUGAAGUCUUCUUCUGCAUUAUUAGCACAUCACGUGAAAAUAAAGAAUGGCAUAUAAUAAAAGUUAUUCCAAUCAAACCUCCUUUUUCAACCGAUGGGGUCUCUUGUCAAAUAAAGCAAGGACAGACCGAGUAAGAUGUGGGACCUAACUGCACUUUCCUGGCACGCGUAGUUCACGCAUACACAAGCACAUUCAGAAUAGUAUUCAAUUUAAAAACACAAAAAAAAAAUAAAGGAAUAAAAGAAGGAAAAGUGAUCAAAGAAGAAGAGAGAAGAAAUAAAGUGAAGUCUUCUUCUGCAUUAUUAGCACAUCACGUGAAAAGAAAGAUACAAACAAGAUUACUCCAUUUUCCAGUCACUUUUUCAACCGAUGGGGCUUCUUGGCAAAUAAAGCAAGGACAGACCGAGUUGAUGCGCUACGUAACUCCUUUUUCCUGGCCCGCGCAAUUCACGCAUACACAAACACAUCCAGAAUAAUAUUCAUAAAAUUAAUUAACAUCCCGUAAAAAUAUACUUUAAUUUAGAAAAGAUUUUAAAAUGUUAUUUUUCAAAUUAAUAAUAACAAAAUUUUAUAUUAAAUUGGUUCGCUUAAGUUAACCUAUUAGAUUUAUAAUUCAGGUUAUGAAAUUAUAAUACCUAGUUCACAAAUAACCAAAUAUGGUGAAGUUUUUCCAAUCAAACCCUUUUUUUUUUUUAAGAUGUAAUUUCUAGAAAAAUAAAUCAAAGACAAACAGAGUAAAAUUUCAAAAAAUAGAGAAAGAUGGAAAAUCCCACCAAUAUUUAACCCACUUAAAUUGAGUCCAAAUCAUAAAAGCAUCUACAAAGAGUGUGUUAAAUGAAAAGUUAAAAAUUAAAAAAUAUAUAAUUUUGACUCUUUCAUGUUUAUUUUACACACUUCAAAAAAAUAUUAAAUAAAAUAUUAAAAUAUUUUUUUUUCUUAUAAAUACUAUUUCUAAAUAUCUAUCAAAAAAACCAAUACUAAAAAAAUAGAGUCAUCAAAAAAUAAACCAAUUAAAUAUAAUUAUAUGAAAAAAUAUAUUUUAAAUAGUGCAGCCUGAGCUUAAUGGUUAAAAUAAUUUUAUAUUUUUUAUAAUUGUUAACAUCAACACAUUAAAAUCAUUAAAAAUAUUAAAAAAUCAAUAAUUUAAUAUAUUUUUAAAUAAAAUAUAUUUUUUAAAAAAACAUAUAAAUUACUACUAUUAUUUCAAACACACAAUCCUAUUCCAUCUUAAAAUCUGAGCUAUUAGGAUAGUAAAGUUAAUUCGUUAAAUUUACAAUUGUGGUGGUGGGAUAUUAAAAAAAAUCUUAUAUUAAAAUUAAAAAUUUUAAAAAUUCUUGAAUAAAAAAACAACAAAACAAUUAUUCAGGUAAUUGUAUAAAAUAUAAUAAUAUAAUGUAUAAUUUAUAAUUGAUUUAUUUACCUUAUCAGUCUUCUGCUGCAUGAUCACAUCACGUGAAAAGCUUGGCAUUUAGUGAUGUUUUUCCAAUCAAACCUCCUUUUUUCAAAGAUGGAAUCUCGAGGUAAAUAAAUCAAAGACAAAACCGAGUAAAAUGGAGUCCAGAGCAUAAAAGAAUCUCCAAUGAAGCUGCUAAAUGAAUAACUAAAAAUAAUAAUAAAAAAAAAAUUGUUUUUGUUUGUUUUUUAUAUUUCAAGAAGAAAAUCAAAUAAAUCGUUAAAAUAUUUUUUUUUCACAUAAAUAUUAUUUUUAUAUAUCUCUCAAAAAAAUCAAAAUUAAUAAAAUAAAACCAACAAAAAAAAGCCAAUUAAAUCUAGGUAUCUAGAAAAAAAUAACUUUAAAAUCAUUAAAAAAAAAAAAUGUUUAUUUAUUUCACUUUAUCUCGAAAAACAGUAACUUUAAAAUCAUUAAAAAAAAUAAAAUGUUUAUUUAUUUCACUUUAAUAGAAUUGGCUUUUCAAUGUAUUUUUUCUAUUGGAAUAUAUAUUGUAAAAAAAAUAUAUUUAUAUUAUUUAAAAUACUAUUUUAUUAGUUUAUUUUUUUAAAAUAAUAUUUUUUAUUAAAGAUACUCCAACAAGGGCCGAGAGAGCAAAGGCUUUUACGAGUUCUGUGUUCCGUAUACUUCUCAAGGGGAAAAAAAUAAUGUUUUGUUAGAGAUUUGUUUUUGAUAGAAUUGUUAGCGAUCUUAGCCGAUGCAUCUGGAUUAUAAUUUUUAGCAUUUAUACUAUUUUAUAGCGCUAAUAUCUUAAAAAAACUUAUUUUCUAGCUUUUUUUUCAUGGUAUAAUAAAAUAUUAAAAAAUAUUUUUCAACUCAUUAUCCUUAAUACAAUUAAAUUUCAUAGAAUAGUCUAUUUUUUAGAAAUAUAGUUUACUAUGAGAUUUAUUGGAUAAAAGAAAUUCACUUUGUAACAAUGCACUAGAAACUAAAAAAAAAUAAGCUAAUGAUCAUUUAAAAAUAUAGUAUAUUGGAAUCAUCUUGCUGAAUAGGUGAGUUUGGGAGUUUGGUUGCUUAACAGGCGAGUGAGGGUUAAAUGUAUCCAAUUAAAUAAUAUCUACAUUCAAUUAAAACUUAUGGUACAAUUACUUGACAGCAAAAUAAAGAAAAGCAGGAACCCUGUAAUAUCUAGGAAAUUUCUAUGCUCUUUGAAUUAGGUGCCCAAACUAAGGCUAUAAUGAGCCCUGAAUUUACACAGAAGAAAUUUCAUGGGAAAUGGGUUGAUGUCAGAGGCAGACACGGAAACGUAAUUUCAGAAGACUAUGACUCAAAUCAGUGGCUGAAAUCCAAUCACUCAAGGGAUGGUGACACGUUGUCUUGAGUGGGAGACAACUGGUCUUCAGUACAAAGAGAAACAACGUUUUUUUUUUAUUAUUAUUAUUAUUAUUAAAAGCGAGUGUACGAGUUACUUCCAUGUUUUUUAAUUAAUUUUAAAAUUAAUAAUUAUAUAAAUUUUUAAUAAUUAUAAAAAAGUUUAAAUUCAUGAAAAGAUUUGAAUUCAUAAUUAUUAAAAUACAAAUAUAUUUUCCUGAGUGUCUUUGCUCUCGUGACAGCUCACGAUGGUGGGGGGUUUAAAAAAAAAUUUAAAAAAUAUUUUUACUUGUGAUUUAUUUAAUUUAAAUAAGUAUUUAAUUAUAAUUAUAAUUAACGAUAUAUUGUAACUAAAAUUACUAUAAAAAAGAACAUAGUGAAGGUGGAGAGGAUGAGAAUAAUGAUUGGAUAUCUUAAUAAUUGUAAAAAGAAAGUAUUUUUUUAUGGUGAAGUUAUUUGUAUAUGAGAAAAGACUGAGUUUUGUAGCUCAGAAAAAAUAAACAUGUUGAUAUUGCUUUUUAAUAACCCAUGAAUGGACCGUAAAUUGCAACGGGUUCACAAACACAAACAUGUGCUUCACAUGUAACCAAACUUAUUGUUAUCUGCAUUAAAAGCAAAAGAUGCUAAAAACACACACAUUUGAUCGUUGAAGAUGUUUUUAAAUUGUUUUCUUAAUUAUUUUUCAUUUAAAAAAAUAUGAAUCAAAGAAGUUUAAUAAUUAUAAUUAUUAAAUAUUUUGAAAUAAAAUGAUCCAUCUAUAUUAAAAAAAAACAUCAUUCCCACGUGUGGAAGAUAAAAUUAAUCAACCUAAUCUUAUUGGAUUGCAUUUUAUUAAAUCAAACCAUCAGUAUCUUUAAUGCAGGAUAUUUUUGUUUUUCCAAUUCAAGUAUACUUUUUAAUAUAAUAAAUUUUUUUAACCUAUUUUUUUAUUAUUAUUUUAGUAUCAUUUUGUUAUUUCUAAUAGUUUGUGGUUACCAGUUUAGUCCUGAAUUCAUUAUUAGAACCAUCAAUUUUAAAAAUCAAUGUAAGUUGAUUUUUAUUAUUUUUUAUUUUUUAAAAUUAAUUUAUUAAAAAAAAAUUCCAUGAUUUCUUUUUAAGAGACUAACCCUUCAUCGACAAACACUAAUGUACCCUGAAAAACAUAAUCUUAUUACAUCUGACGCUUUAAAUUCCAACAAGGAGCACCUACACAUCGAAAUAAAGAAAAGUACUGAGUGCCUUGGCGGUGGGAGGAGCUCUGCUCCUGAGUUCGAGUGUUUACAUGUAUAUCUAUCAUUCUCGUGGUGUUUUAUAUAUCUAUUGGGUUUAUAAAGUAUUCAGUGGGAUUAGUUGUGGUGCGCGCAAACUGACCCGAACAUCCAAAUAAAUAAAUAAAUAAAGUAGAAACCCUGCAUGUGGGAAAUUUUUGUUAGGCCUCCAAUCUGAGGCUGUAACGAGCCCUGGAUCUACACACAAGAAAUUUCAUGGGAAAUGGGUUGAUGUCAUAGGGAGACAAGGAAGCGUACUUUCAAAAGACCAUGAGACAAAUCAACGGCUGAAAUCCAAUCACUCAAGGGAUGGUGACAUGUUACCAUGAGUGGGAGACUGCUAGUCUCCAUCUAAAUGUUUAAAGAUGACUGGGUAUCUUAGUAAUUGUAUAACAAUUGAUUUUUUUUGCUGAAGUUGUCGGUGUGGAUGAGAAAAUACUGAGUUUGUAGCUUAGUAAAAACAUGUUGAUGUUGAUGUUACUUUUUAUUAGCUCAUGGUUGGCCCGUAAAUUAUAAUGGGUCCCACAAUCACAAACCUAUGAUUCACAUGUAAUUUAUGUUUUACAACUUAUUUUUAAAAUUAUUUUUUAUAUAUAUUUUUAUACCAUUUUUAUUUUAAAAAUUUUAAGUUUAAAAAAUAUUAUUUUAAUAUAUUUUUAAAUAAAAAAUACUUAAAAAAAAAAUUAAUAUCAGACACAGUGAAUGUUUUAUAAAAUUUUACAAUCGCUUUUACAUUUUGUUUAGAUCACAUUUGAAAAUGCGGUACACUACAAUAAAGUCCGUUAUAUGAUUAAGGGUAUGUUUGGUAUUGCGGUUGCUGUUGUGAUUGUAAUUAUGGUUUUAAAAAAAAUUGUUUUAUAAAAAGUAAUUUUAGUUGAGGUUGGUUUGAAAAAAUAUAUGUUUGGUUAAAACUGUAGUUGAAAUUGAGGUUGAACAAAAAAUAGUUUAAUGUGUUUGGUUAAAAAAAUGUUUUUCAAAUUGAUGUUAUAAAAUCAUUAAUAUAUAUAUAUACUAAUAUUAAUUAUUUUUAAUUUAAAUAUUGUAGAUUUAACUACUGUUAUUACAUCAUGAAAUAAAUAAUAUUAAUAUCAAAUAUUUUUUAUUAUUAGAUUAAAAUAUAUGUAAUCUCAUUACAUAUGAAAUCUAUCAAACAAGGACUAUAUUUUUCAUGGUUUCUUAAGCGUGCAACAACAAAAACUGAUUUUUUAAAUUUAUAUAGUGUUAUUAAAUAAUAAAGAUUGUGAUAUAUUUAUUAUUGAAAUUGCGAUCAAAUUUCAUAAAUGCUACGUCAUCAUGCGAUAUCUUUCUAAUUUAUAUAGUGUUAUUAAAUAAUAUUAAAUACUAGUUUUUCGAGUAAAACAAUUUAAAAAAAUAUAUAUAAUUUCACUACGUACAAAAGUUAUUCGACAAAAACUACAGUUUUCAUGAUUUUUUGAGCAUGUAAUAAAAUUAGGUAAAAUAUUAUCACGAAUAAAAUUGAGAUUACAGUACGAGUAAAUUUAAUUCACCUUAAACUAAUUUUUUUAAAAAAAAUAUCGUUUACUAUUAACUGCACUGGUUUUUUAGGGGGGAAAAUAAACUUUGCUCACCGGUUUUUUUUUUUAAAAAAAUAAAUAAAUAAACUUUUCUUACAGAUUUUUUCUUUUUUUAAAAAAAGAAGACAUGGUGACAAUGGAGCCAUGCUCCACUGUUAAGUGGUUGUUACCCACGAGAAGCAGUAAAAAUAACGUGGACCCUAUCAAGCAAAAUCAAUCUUGCUUGAUUACCAAACAUUAAAAUAUGUGGCUGCGAGUAAACUCGCCACACUACCAAACAACAUCUAAAGUCUUUAAUUGUCUUGCAUUUAUCUUUAAAACUGCUAUAAGAAUUAAUUAAUUGUGUCAAUUCAAUUCUUUCGAUUGACAUUGAUGCCAAACAUGUUAAUUCAUGAUAUAAUUAAGCAAUUCAAUACAAAUUUACUAAUAUAAUUUAUUUCGGCUUAAACCUUUGAAUAAAGCAAAAUGCAGAGGUUGUGAAAGUGAAAUACCUUAAUAAUUUUUAUGCUUUACAACUCUAGGAGCCACACAAAAUAUAAUGCGUUUGUUACUAUUUAUUUGUUAAAAAGUAUUUUUUUUAUUAAAAAAUGAUUUUUUAAAAAAUAAAUUGAAAAAUAUUUUUUAAUAUUUGAUUAUUUUAUAUAAAACAAGCCAAAAAAUAUUUUUUUAAUUUUCUUCUCAAAUUUAUUAAAAGAAUAAGAAACAAAUAUUUCAAAUAAAAAUAUUGAAGGAAGAUGAAAUUAAAAAAUAUAUAUAUUUUUAUAAAUUAUUUUAAAUAAAAUAAAUAAUAAUUAGAAGAAUAAGAAACAAAUGAAAAAUUAAAAAAUUAAAAAAAAAUAAAACAGAAAUAAAUAAUAAUCAAAAUAAAAAAUUAAUACAAAAAUAAUAUUAAACCAAUAAUUUAAUUUAAAAAAAAACAAAAUAUAAUUUAUAAUUUAUAAUUUAUUUAUUUGCUUUAUCAAUGAAAAGUGAUGGUAGGAGGGAGAGAGAGAGGAAAUAAAGUGAAGUCUUCUGCUGCCUGAUCACAUCACGUGAAGAGCUUGGCAUUUAGUGAAGUUUUUCCGAUCAAACCCACUUUUUUCAAAGAUGGAAUUUAUUGGAAAAUAAAUGAAAGACAAACCGAGUAAAAUGGAGUCCAGAGCAUACAAGAGCCGAGAUUGAAACAGGAAAUGCAAGAAAAAGAAGAUGGGCCCUUGUUUUCUCUUUUUACGGCCGGCGACCGGAUAUAAAAAGGGAGGAGAUGAAGCUUUCAAAUUAUUUUCAAUUUUGCGGUCACUUAUUGUGUCCAUGUCAUUUUGUGUAAUUGCCCAGCUACCGGUACUAUUUUAACACUGUUAAAAGUCUAAAUCAUCAAUAUUUCCCCAAUUUAUCUCUAAAAAAAAUUCACUUCAAUUAAUAGCAUUUUUUUAUUAUUUCUUAUGUCAAUGUUUACCUCUUUUUGAUAAACUCGUAUAUUUUUGUACCAGAGGUCUAAAAUUAUUCUGUCCACUUAUUACUUAUUUAAAUUUAUUAGAAUGUUUUAAAUAACUUUUUUAAAUUUUAAUCCCAGAGUUUACAUGCAUAAUACAUGAGUUAUAUAAAUUAUGAUUCAAAAUAUUGUUAUAACUAAAUUAAAAGAAAAAUUCAGAGUUAAUUUCUUGAAUAUUAAGUUUUCUGAUUUUUCUAUAUAAUUAAUUUUUUAAGUUGAUUUGAUUAGUAUUAUUAUACUUUUCUCAUUCUCGAUAAAAGAAAAAAGAAAAAACCAGAAGAGUAUUUUCUUUCUAUUGAAAAUAUUUGUGGUUAGAAGAAAGUAAUUUUCACUGGAGUGUCGUUUUGGGAUGCAACAUGAACUUGACCUGUCUAAUUUGUACGGCAUGAGAAGAUGUUGCUUUACAUGGCUUCCUCCUUAAAAAAAUUCCAUCACAUUUGAGAAUUUUGUUAUAAAAAAGAUAUCUCUUUUAAAGAAGAAAAGUGAUACCUAAAAUUUAUAAAUGAUCUAAACUCUUAAUUUUUAAUCGAUGUAAAAUGUUAGAGUAUCAUGUUCCUGAAAAAAUCUUUCUAAGUGUAUAAUAUGUUGCAUUUGGGGCAAAAUUAAUAGUUUUGAAUGUUUUUAUUACUGAAACUUUUUUUUUUCUCAACCUCUUUUUCUCUCUCUUCUUGUCAAAUACAAAAGGUUUUUUUUUUAAUUUUUUAAAUAAUUUUAUUUUUAUUUAUUUUAUUUUUAUCUUUUGUAGAUUUGUUUUUUUAUUUAUUUUGUUUUUUAUCGUUUGAUUUUAUUUAUUUUUUUAUUAAACAUUAACUUUAUUUUUAUUUAUUAUUUUUUUAAUUAAACAUCCUUUUUAAUUUAUCUCUUAAUAUUUAAUUUUAAUAUCAAAUUUAAUUAGUCCUAUUUUAUCUUACACUUUAAAUUCCUACAAGUACCCGAUCAAACAAUAUCUGCAUUCAAUUAAAACUUAUGGUACAAUUACCUCAUAGCGAAAAAAAAAAAAAAGUAGAGACCAACUAAGAAAUUUAUGUGCUGUUCCCAGCUAUGUUGCUGACAUUGGACAAGAGAGACUUCUUCAGCCACCGAUAAAAUUAUUUUUGUUGACUUUUUGUGCAGUUUGUCACUUUGCUUCGAUCUUUCUCUCUUUGCACCACAAACACUUGGACAUGGUAGAUACCAAGCACGGUUUUGCUGUCAAUGUACGAUACCAUAUUUGACAAUAUCUUUUUUUUUCUUUUUUCUUUUUUAUGAAGAGUAGUAUGUUGGUUAUCUAUGUAUGUUUUUUAAAAAAUCACAUAUAUAUUUAUCUAAAAUUAUUGAUAUUUAAAAAAUUACAUUAUUUUUUUAAUAAUUCGUUCCGCUGUUCUUUUAGAAUUAAGCGAAUAUUAUGCAAAGCUUCAAGUUUUGUGUAAUUGUUUUUAAUACAAGAGAGUUUAACCAUUUUAAAAUGUUUAAUGAGUUAUUUAAAAUAUUGAAAGUAAUGUACAAUAACUAAUUUAUAAUUUUAUCAUUGCUCUUGCUUUAUUAUAGGUCAAGUCAAGAUUUUCUUAAAAAUAAAAAAUUAUUUAAAUUGUGAAUGUUUUAAUUUAUUCUGGUAAAACAAAUUUAAAUUGUGUGGUGAUUUAACUUGAUUGAAUUUGUAGUUUAAAAAACAAUCUAGAUAACCAGUAAAAAUAUAAUUUAACUCGUAAAAAAUUUCAAGAUUACAUAUAUUUUUUUAAUAUUAAGAUAACAACAAAUUAAUUGAUUUGGGUCAACUCAAUUUAACUUAUUAAAUUCAUAACCCGAGUUAUGAGAUUAUGAUAACCAUGUAGAAAAUAAAUUAUUAAGUCUAAUUCUCAACUACCAAAUAUUAAAAGAUAAAAUUAAAAUAAAUAAAUAAACCAUGUGGAGAUUGAUUCGAUGUGACUUAAUUGAUUUAGCUUGUUCAAAAACAACCCGGAUAAUCAGUAAAAAUAUAAUCUGACUUAGAAAAAAAUUCAAGAUGAUACUUUUUUUCCAAUACAAAGAUAAUAAAGUAAUAGAUUGAAUUGGGUUAACCAGAGUUAACUUGUUAAAUUUUUUAUCUGGGUAUAAGACUGUGAAAUCUAAUUCCUAUUCAACUAAAUAUUUAAUGGUAUAAUUGAAAAAUAAAAUCAAUUAAAAAAUGAUCUAAAAAUAUGAACAUAAUUAACAUGUCAAGUUCAUAACCUAUGUUAUAAUAAAGAUACAAUCUUAUAGAAAAAAAAAAUCAAAAUAAAUUAUGAAGUUCAAUCUUAAAUAACCAAAUUUUAAAAGAUAAAUUUUUUUAAAAAGAACGUAAAAAUGACCCGAGUAAAUCCACCAAACUCAUAACUCGUUAUGAGAUCGAGAUAAUCUUAUAUAAAAAAAAAUUACAUGAUUUAACUCGUCAAAUCUAUGACUUUGGUAACAAGACCAAGACAACCUCUUAAAGAGUAAAUAAAAAUAAAUUAAAAGUGCAAUCCCUAAUUGACCAUGUCAAACUCGAUGUGAAUGAUGCAAUUUCUAAAAAUUUAAAUUAAAAAAUAACAUAAAAAAUAAUUUAGACCAACCCGUCAAGCAUCAUUAUUAGAUUACGAGGCUAGGAUAACAUAAUAAAAAUAAAAUCAAAACAAACCACAAAGUCUAAAUUCUAAUAAAAUAUAUUAUUAAAUAAUAAAAUUGAAGAAAAAAAAUUAAUUAAAAGAAAUUCGAGUCAAUUAGGCUAACUUGCUAAGCCUGUGAGUUAGGUUAUAAAACAAAAAUAACCCAAUAAAAAGUAAUUUCACUAUUGAAGGACUCGUGAUCUACGUCAUGAAAUCAACAUAACCUCUUACAAACAAAAUAAAAAAAAAACAACUCAAUUUAAUUUGGAUUAAAAUGUCAAAACCUCCACCUCUAAUCAUAAAACUAGGAUAAUUAUAUAGAAAAUAAUUUGAAAUAGAUUAUGAAAUUCCAUUCCCAACUGACAUUAUAUCAAAUGAUAAAGUUAGAAAAAAAAUUCAAUUAAAAAAAUAUAAAAUAUAACCCGAGUCAAUUUAGGCUAAUAUGUUAAGUAUUAUUUCCAAUUUAUGAGGUUAGAAUAAUCUAAUACAAAACAAAUAAAACAAAAUAUGAAACUUAAUUUUUAAUUAAAAGAUAAAAUUGUAAAAAAAAUUUAAUUAAAAAAAAUCAAGUUAAGUGAGUGAAUCCAUUAAAUCUACAAUUUUUAUUAUAAAAGUGAGACAACUUAAUAAAAAUAAAUUAAUAUUAAAAUAAAAAACAUUCAAUAAAAAAAACACUCAUUCAGAUAAUUGUAUAAAACAUAAUAAUAUAAAGUAUAAUUUAUGAUUUAUUUAUUUAUUUUAGCAUUUAGUGAAGUCUUUCCAAUCAAACCCCUUUUUUUUUUUUAUAAUUUAUAAAAAAUAAAAAUAUUUUAUUUUAAUAAAUGUUUAAAUAAAAAACAAUAAGAGACAACCGUGACCACUUAAAUGGACUCCUAAGCACACCAAGUUAAGAGUUAAAGAGCCGAGAGAGAAAAAGCUUUUGCCAGUUCUUUACACAUUCUUUCCCCUUCUGUCACCUGAACAAAAUCCCCUCUUCUUCUUCUUGUUUGUUUACUCUUCCUUCGUUACUUUGCAAAGAGGAGAAACCAUGGCCGGGGCUUUAGUAGGAGGAGCUUUUCUUUCUUCUUUCCUUAAUGUUUUGUUCGACAGGAUGGCCUCUCCCCAGGUGAUUGCCUUCUUCAGAGGCCAAAAAGUCAACGAUAGUAGUCUGCUGCAGAACUUUGAAGAAAACAAUGACAUCUCUCAGGGUGGUGCUUGAAGAUGCUGAGGAGAAGCAGAUAACAAGUUUAACUGUGCGGGAUUGGCUGGUCGAUCUUAAAGACGCUGUCUAUAACGCCGACGACUUCUUGGAUGAGAUUGCUUAUGAAGCUCUACGGCAGGAGUUGGAAGCUGAAGAGCAAACCUUCACAGGUCAGACGCAGAAGCUUCUUUCUUUCAUUAACCCACUUGAAAUACUGGGGUCGAGAGAGAUCGAAGAAAAAAUAGAAGUCCUUUUGCAGGAUCUAGAUCCCUUAGUUGCAGGAAUGGCAGCCCUUGGUUUGAACAACCGCAAUGUAGAAAAUCCAUCAUCGCAUAGAACACCAACAACUUCUCUCGUGGAUGGAUCUGGUGUUUAUGGCAGAGAUGAUGACAGGGAAGCAAUACUGAAGUUGCUUCUAUCAAAGGAUGCAAAUGGAGGAAACCCUGGUGUCGUCCCCAUUAGGGGAAUGGGCGGGGUUGGUAAAACCACGCUUGCUCAGCUUGUAUACAAUCACAGAAGAGUACAGAAGCGGUUCGACCUCAAAGCUUGGGUUUGUGUUUCAGAAGAUUUCAGUGUUUUGAAGUUAACCAAGGCGAUCCUUGAGGGGUUCGGUUCAAAGCCUGCUUCUGAUAAUCUGGAUAAGCUCCAGCUUCAGUUGAAGGACAGAUUGGAGGGAAAGAGAUUCUUGCUUGUUUUAGAUGACGUUUGGAAUGAAGAUUAUGCUGAGUGGGACAAGUUGCUUACCCCCCUGAAGUACGGAGCACAAGGGAGUAAGAUUCUUGUCACAACACGCAAUGAAAGUGUAGCAUCAGUCAUGAGAACUGUUCCAACUCAUCAUCUAAAAGAAUUGACGGAAGACAGCUGCUGGUCCUUGUUUGCCAAACAUGCAUUUCGUGGUGAAAAUCCCAAUGCUCAUGAAGAGUUGCUAGAGAUUGGAAGAGAAAUAGUGAGAAAGUGUAAAGGCCUUCCUCUAGCUGCGAAAACACUCGGAGGUCUGCUACGCACCAAAAGAGAUGUCGAGGAGUGGGAGAAGAUAUUGGAAAGCAAUCUAUGGGAUUUACCCAAAGACAAUAUCCUCCCAGCUUUGAGAUUAAGUUAUCAUCAUCUCCCGUCACAUCUGAAGCAAUGUUUUGCUUAUUGUGCCAUAUUUCCAAAAGACCAUGAAUUUCAAAAGGAUGAAUUAGUGCUCUGUGGAUGGCAGAGGGCUUCUUAGUCCCUCUGCAGUAGAUGAUGAGAUGGAAAAGCAGGUGCUGAGUGCUUUGAUGAUCUCUUGUCAAGGUCGUUUUUCCAGCAAUCAAGUGCCUCGCUCAUCAUUUGUGAUGCACGAUCUCAUGCAUGACUUGGCUACCCAUGUGUCCGGUCAAUUUUGCUUCAGCUCCAGGUUGGGGGAAAAUAAUUCUUCCAAGGCCACAGAAGGACUCGACAUUUAUCACUCGUAGUAGAUACGGGAAGGGUUUUUCAAGCACAAAAUUAGAAAACAUCCGUGAAGCCCAACUUCUACGCACAUUCCAACUUUUCACGCUAUUGUUGUCCUCCCGAAUUUAUAAUGAGAUCUUUCAGUCAACACUUGGGCGCCUACGAGUGCUAAUCAUGACUGGUUGUAGAGAUCAACUUGUUAUGUUCAACUAGCAAGUUGAAGCAUUUGCGGUAUUUGGAUCUCUUCGGUCAGAUUUAGUAACGUUGCCUGAAGAAGUGAGUGCUCUUCUCAAUUUGCAAACGUUGAUCUUGAAAAUGCAAACAACUUGCUAGUCUACCUGAUCUUGGAAAUUUGAAGCACUUACGACAUCUGAAUCUUGAAGGAACAAGGAAUCGAAAGGUUGCCUGAAUCUCUGGAAAGGUUAAUCAACUUGCGGUAUCUUAACAUCAAGCACCCUUUGAAAGAGAUGCCACCACAUAUAGGUCAACUGGCAAAGCUCCAAACGUUGAAUUAUUUUCUCGUGGGAAGACAGAGUGAGACUAGCAUUAAAGAAUUGGGAAAGCUACGACAUCUACGGGGAGAACUUCAUAUUGGGAACCUUCAAAAUGUGGUGGAUGCUCGGGAUGCUGGUGAGGCAAAUUUGAAAGGUAAAAAGCACCUUGAUAAGCUGAGGUUUACAUGGGAUGGUGACACUCAUGACCCGCAACACGUAACAAGCACACUUGAGAAAUUAGAGCCAAAUAGAAAGCUGAAGGAUCUUCAGAUUGAUGAUUAUGGAGGUGUAAGGUUUCCAGAGUGGGUAGGAGAGUCCUCUUUCUCAAAUAUAGUGUCCUUGAAGCUCAAUGGAUGUACAAACUGCACCUCCUUACCACCGCUCGGGCAAUUAUCUUCUUUAGAGGAUCUCUCCAUUGAAGGAUUUUAUAAAGUUGUGACUGUGGGCUCUGAGUUCUAUGGGAGUUGUACUGCUAUGAAGAAGCCAUUUGAAUCCCUCAAAACAUUAUCUUUUAGAAGGAUGCCAGAGUGGCGCGAGUGGAUUUCAGACGAAGGCAGCCGGGAAGCCUUCCCUCUUCUUGAUGUGCUUUUAAUCGCAGAAUGCCCCAAAUUAGUUUCAUUUCCCAAAGGAGGGUUACCUGCUCCAGUCUUGACACGACUUGAGUUAGAAGAAUGCAGGAACUUGAAGCAGUUGCCUGAGAGUAUGCAUUCCCUCUUCCCAUCCCUUACCGAUUUGGUAAUAAGAGAUUGUUUAGAAGUUGAGUUGUGUCCAGAAGGGGGUUUUCCCUCCACAUUACAAUCACUUGAGAUUUCUAGAUGCAACAAACUCAUUGCUGGCCGCAUGCAAUGGGGCUUGCAAACGCUCCAUUCUCUUUCACGCUUUACAAUUGAUUGGGACGAAAAUGUUGAAUCCUUCCCUGAAGAGAUGCUGCUGCCCUCAAGUCUUACAUCUCUUAGAAUCUAUUCCCUACAACACCUGAAAUCUCUUGACUACAAGGGGCUUCAACACCUCACCUCUCUUAGAACAUUGAAUAUAAAGAACUGCCCUCUGAUUGAGUCAAUGCCAGAAGAAGGGUUGCCCUCCUCCCUUUCUUCUCUUGUAAUUGAAGGUUGUUCCAUGCUGAAAUCUCUUCCAAGGCUUCACCACCUCACCUCUCUUACAGCAUUGGGUAUAUAUGGCUGCCCUCUGAUUGAGUCAAUGCCAGAAGAAGGGUUGCCCUCCUCCCUUUUUAUUCUUUCAAUUCUCAAUUGUCCUCUGCUGGGUGAAAGUUGUGAAAGGGAGAAAGGUAAAGAUUGGCCCAAGAUUUCUCACAUUCCUCACAUAAGUAUAUAUUGAGGUAUUGCUACUAAAUAGUUUAUUUUCUUUUCAGUAAUCAAAGGCAAUUUCAGUUAAAAUUUGGAUGAAUGAAAUACAGAUAUUGUCCAUUUUGUAUUGUUUAUAUUUGUUGGAUGUUGAAAUACAGAUAUUUUCUUCCUAUUGUCUCUCAUUCAUCUCCAUAAAUAAUAAUCAUCAUUCUAUUUCAAUAUAUCGAGCUGGAGGAUCAUCACAUGCUUCAGAUUUUGAACUGCCAGCACCAUCCUUAAUUUGGACAGGGGGCUAUUAUCAUCGAAUUUUAGCAACGGGAUAUUUCUUUUGCUAAUUUAACAACAGAAUGUGUAUAUAUGAUUUUUUUAAUAUCAACAAUGAAUUUAGUAAUAGAAAAUCCAUUGCUAAAAAGGAUUAAAAAAUUAAAUUAUUUAACUAAUUUGCAGCGGAUUUUUCAUUAUUGACGCUCUUGGCAACAUCAAAUCUGCAACUGAUUCCAAAAAUAAAUCAAACCCUUAAUUAUAUAAAAUCUGCAUCUUCAAAAAUUAAAAUAAAAUUAAAAUUCACCAUCUCUUUCUCUAGUCUCUUCCCUUCUCCAAAAAAUCAAAAUUCAAAAACUUUUUUUUUUAUCUUUUAUAUAUUAUUUAACUUUGAUUAAAUUGUUUUUAUUCCAUAUAAAGCAGAAGUUAAAAAAUGAUUUUGGAGUACAUGUAAGUCAUAUCUUUUUUGGAAUUUGCUUUGAUAAAAAACAGACAUAAAGAGAGAAGAUAAUAUAAAAUUCAUGACUCCUUAUCGAUAUAUAUAUAUUUUUUUUCCUUAGUUCAUUCGUUUGAUUACAUUUUUGCUUCAACUCUCAUCAACACUCCCUUGUUUCGUUGCACGGCAUCAUUUAAAUGUACAUGGCUUGUGUUAUGUUCGGGAACAAAUAUUGGGCCAUUAACCUUUUCAAGCAAUGAUGGAGUAGGAGUGCAGUUAAAGAACACGCCCUAGCUGUUUGACAGAAUGCCGAUGAAGAUGAUAGUCAUUUUAGUGGUGCUGCUUGUAACAACCCAGGUAAGAAAACUAACGACCUCUUGAUGUGGUUUUCUAGGAAAUAAAUUAAAUGUUUUUAUUUGUUCAUGUGUUUUCUUCAGGAGGUGGUGCUAACCAGAGAAAGCUAAAGCAGAGGAGGAUGGCCAACAUGUUGGAAAGGUAAAAGGAUGAAGCCUUUUGUUAGAGGUCUAGGUGCUGUUGCACUAACAAAAGCACAUUGCCUUGAGGAAGCCCUCAAGUCUUACAUCUCUUCACAUCUAUUCCCUAAAACACCUGAAAUCUCUUGACUACAAUGCCAGAAGAAGGGUUGCCCUCCUCCCUUUUUGCUCUUUUUAUUAACAAUUGUGAGAGGGAGAAAGGGUUAAAUGAUCUUUGUAUAUUUGACUGUCCAGAUCUGGAAUCACUAUGUGCACAUGAAAGACCUCUCAAUGAUCACAACUCUCUCGAUUAUUUGGAAAUCGAGGACUGCCGUAAAUUAGUUUCAUUUCCCAAAGGAGGGUUACCUGCUCCAGUCUUGAGAGGACUUCAUUUAGAAGGUUGCAGCAACCUGAAGCAGUUGCCUGAGAGUAUGCAUUCCCUCCUCCCAUCCCUUAACCGUUUGUAUAUAAGUAACUGCCCUUUGAUUGAGUCAACGCCAGAAGAAGGGUUGCCCUCCUCCCUUUCUUCUCUUGUAAUUAACAGUUGUCCUAUGCUGAAAUCUCUUCCAAGGCUUCAACACCUCACCUCUCUUACACGAUUGAAUAUACAUCACUGCCCUCUGAUUGAGUCAAUGCCAGAAGAAGGGUUGCCCUCCUCCCUUUCUUCUCUUGUAAUUGAAGAUUGUCCUAUGCUGCGUGUAAGUUGUGAAAGGGAGAAAGGUAAAGAUUGGCUCAAGAUUUCUCACAUUCCUCACAUACAUAUUUGGAGAAGUUAAAGGAGCUAAUACAUAAAUCACAUUCUUUCAAUCGUCCAACAUAUUGAGGUAUUGCUACUAAAUAGUUUAUUUUCUUUUCAGUAAUCAAAGGUAAUUUCAGUUAAAAUUUGGAUGAAUGAAAUACAUAUAUUGUCCUAGAAAGUUGUAUGUUUUUAUUUGUUGGAUGUUGAAAUACAGAUAAUUUCUUCCUAUUGUCUCUCAUUCAUCUCCAUAAAUAAUAAUCAUCAUUCUAUUUCAAUAUCUUUUUUGCUAUAAUUAAUGCUACUAUUGUUCCUCUAUCAACUGCGGCAAAUAAACAUCACAUGCUUCCGAUUUUGAACUGCCAGCGCCACCCUUAAAAAACAAGUGUCCAUCUUAAAAGACAACGGGCCUAGCAGAGCUGAAAAGGAUUAAAAAAUAUUUAAAUAAUCUGCAACAUAUUUUUCAUUGUUGACGCGACAAAAUCAAAAUUCAAAAUUUAAAAUCUCCAUUCUCUCCUUAUCCGCAUCUUCAAAAAUUCAAAAUCUUUUCCCCACCUCUUUCUCUAAUCUAUUCCCCUUCUCCAAAAAUUCAAAAUCCAAAAACUUUUGAUUUGUUUAUUUUAUUAUCACUUAACUUUGAUUAAAAAACUUUUCUUGAAGUUUACUUCCAUCAAAGAUCUUUUAUAGAUAUAAAAAGAAGAGAUAAUAUAAAAUUCAUCCGCGUAUUGGAAUCACAAUUCAGAAUCAAGUGAAAGCGGCCAAUGUCACUCGAGAGAGUAGGCACUUGCAAAUCUGCUAAUAAUUAUUGGUGUUUAUUCCUCAUGAUGAUCCAGUGAGCUGACAAUAAAAGAAAACCUCGGCAUUACUAGUAAAUCGUCACUGCAAGCAUGGAAGAGAUUCAGGUAGGAAUUACCCUUGUCUUCAUUGAGAGGCUUUAACCUCCCUAGCUCCUUCAUCAGCAGGCCCAUGGUUCGAUGCAUCCUCUGAAGCGUCUAAGCAAGGAUUGCUUUUACACUGACUUACAGGCUGAGCACUGGUCAAGAGACUAGAAAGUUGAGACCCCCUUUGCGAAAAGUUUGGUUUACCUUUCGGAGUCUCAGACAGGCUUCCCGUUGACAGCUUUGAUAGGCCCAUAGUCAUGUGCUCACACGGGAGCUUAGUUGAAAAAGGUGAUUCAGGUGUAUCAGGAUGCUUCCCAGGAAUAUCCAUCGGUCUAUGAAACAGCAAAUGAGCCACAGUCCGGUCUACGGGAUUGGUCUCUGUUUCCACCUCAGGCAUCUUAACCACCCUGCAGUAUACUCAUAAAAUCCAUGAGGAAAAUGACAGGCAAGUUUGAGAUUGCCAUACUCUAAACAAAUUGAUAAAGACUUGAUUAAUAAUUUUGUGCAAACAAAUUGAAUAAUUUGGAAUGGGAAGGACGAGAUGUAAAGGAACAAACCCAGAGCACGUAUUGUUUGUACUGCUGGUUUCCUCUUUUGCAGCAACUUGUUCGUCCCUGCUACUGUUGUUUGUACUGCCAGUAUCACUAGCAUAAUGCCUUUGCAUUGCACUUUGAGCCAGCCGGAACAAGCUAUCCCGAAUACAAAGUCUAAUUCUGACAUCCAACUGUUGUAAAACAUUGGUUUGGAAUCGUAACCAAGCACAAAUUAUUUAGCAGGGAAAGAAUGCAAUAGUACGUGAAGCAUACCUUUGAAAUAAUAUCUUGAAGCCUGUAGAGUACUGUGUCCUCCAUUGAAUAAUCAUUAACCGCCAGAGAGACUGUAUUGGAAUCGUCUUGCUCAGUAGGUGAGUUUGGGUCAAAUGAAGCAAGUGUACUUAGAUCCUCUACUUCAAGGUCAGCUCCUUCAACAUGCUGAAUUUGAUUUUCUUGGGAACACUUUAGAUGAACAAGCUGCUGCUGCUGUUUCUGAAUGGCAAGCAUUGCCUGAAUUUGUUGCCGCCUCCUUAAUUUUUCAAUCUUUUCCUGAGGUGUCAUUCUCUGAGGUUUCACUGGACAGUCAGCUAACUUGUUUAUAGGAUCUGCAUUGCCUGAAACUUCAUAACCAGAAAUUUUAGGUCGAUGAUUAAAUGACUAGAAAUUUUGUUGGAAAGUCAGAAAACUUUAACAGGAUUCGCAUUACCUGAAGAAACUUCAUAACCAGAAGCUAAAGGUCGAUGCUUAAAAUCCCCAGACUGAAUGUGAGACAACCCAGGCAUAGAAUAUGGAUUUGUAAUACUCCCGUAUGCAGAAGGGGCCACAAAUGGAUUGGAUAUCUGCUGGUACUGCAACUGCUCGGAACCCUGUAGCUGUUUCUGUUGGCUGAGAAGUGAAAGGGGUGAAGAUUGCAUAAUUUGGGGUGCUAAAUGAUCCUUAAGUUGACAGGCUGGGAUUCCAGAUGAAGUCCAGUUUCCAUAAAAAUCUUGGUAUGAUUUCAGUUCACCUUCUUCUUCCAGUUUUUCCCGACCUUUCAAGAUCUUCUUUUGCCUGUAAGUCUGAUCACAGAACUAUAAACAUAUAAAUAGACAAAUUACUUAGAAUAGAUCAACGUUUUAACCAUCUAGACCUGCAGGGGAGAGUGACUAAGGCACAGUUAGUAUUUUAACUCAGUACAUGGUUUGUAAGGAUAAAUUCAAUGUUUUUUUUUUUUUUUAACUGUAACUUACGAUCCAAAGGGCUUCUAUUGUUCAGAAUAUAUUGAGGUAUUAGCUAAACUAUGCCAAGCAAACAGAAUUUGCAUGUCCCUGGGAAGAGUGGAUGCCAUGCUAGAAAUAUAAAUUACUGAUGCCUCCUGAAUUUUCACAUGUUAUUCCUUUCUCCUUCCUACUAACAGAAAACCACACAAUGGCUUUACUUUAGGCAAUCGAUAUCAUGGUUAAGUCAUGGAUUUGACAUCCAGGAUAACUUAAUUGAUGCAUUAUUGAAGUCAUGACUAAAUCAUGUAAAUCCAUAUUCACCCAACAUCCAAGUUUAUUCUCAUUCCAAAAAAUUAAACUAAAAAUAAUAGCAUGAAAUAUGAAGAGACGAAGAGGAAUUUAAAUAAUAUAAUUUCUCUUUUCUGUCGCCAUUUUCCAUUCCAGAGAAGUACUCAGGAAGUCUUAAUAAGUUCAAGUGUAAGGUAACUUUUACCCUUCCCAGCUCUAAUUAGGUUUCGCUGUCCCUCCAAUCUAAUUUAAGAUCUAAUAUGAGGAAACCACACUGUAUUAGUGAAAGGAUCACAAUAUCAAGAUUUUCCAACUUCAAUUCAAUGAUAUAACUUUUCUUGAAUCCUGGACAAAAGAACUUAGAACAUCAAAAGAUCAUAGCAGGAUUCUAAAAAACAAAGAUUGUAUUUGGUGCUUAUUGAGUCUAAAAGUUUUCCUGGAAGAAAAGGGUAAAAAUCAGUAACAUGUCUGGUUCAGUAUCAAGAUUUUGAAAAUAUCAAAAGGAAGGAAAAAAAAAGGUACCUUGUUUGCUAAUUCAUUUGGAAAAGCACCAUUUUCCUCUGUCAGUUGAGAGUUAGCCGCUGUGUUCUUUCCCACAACAGCCAAAUCUGUCUGCAAAAGCACAAAAAAAUAAAAUAAAAAUAAAUGCUAAGCUUCUCUCAGCUCCUGCACUUGAGCAUGGGGCAUUAAUAAGUGAACUCAUUACUGAAAAUUGAGUCGCUAUACCUGCUCCUUCAGUAUAGGCUUGUUUUUACCUUCAUCAUAUUCUACAUGAUCAAGGCUUGCCUGAGUAUUCUGCAGACCAUGAGAUGCAGGGUCGUUCAUUUUUCCAUAGCCAAGGGCAAACAGCUGGUCCUCUUCUCUCGAAGCCACAGAUAUUGGAAAGGGCUUUACCGGGCUGUUAGUUGUACAUUUUGAAGAAGACCAUAGCUCAUCAGCAUUACCAAGAUUUACAUUGCCAAAUAUUGGGUCAUCAUUGCUGCAAAAUCACCACUUGUGAGGAUAUUGAGUCAGAUGGUUAUCACUGUUCUCCAACAGAAUCAAGAUAAAAUAUAAGAACAUUAGUCAAGAACAGAAAUGCAGGAAAGCCCUUCCACAAUUGAACAAGCUCACCAAUUCCUUGCAAAUCCAGUGCUGCUAUAUUACAUUCUUUCUGCCAUUUAUACUUGAAAUUGAGGAUAUUGUGCUGCUAAAAACUGGCAUCCUUCAGGUUCUUUUCCCAAUUAACAAAAUUAAGCCAAGGAUCAAAAACCAUAAAUUUUCAAACAUAGUCAUUUUUUGUUAGUGUUGCUUUCAGCAGACAGCACUUAUUUGGAAAAGGAUAUAGAUCAACAACAGAAGAAACUACAACUAUUAAAAGAGUCUGGUUGUUUUUCCUUCACAACAACACUCUUGUACUACAUGAACUUUUUCUUCUGAAAUGAAAAUAGACAGUGAGCAUAAUUAUUUUGUUCGCGAAACUUUCACUUCACAGUCAGUAAUAAGAAUUUGUUCAAAUUAUCAGAAUAAUGAGAUAUACAAGCUUCCAUAUCAGGGUGCUGCUGACCAUCUUUCAUUUAGGUGCAGAAAGUAAGAAAUGGUAACUGUGCUUUACCUAAAAAUUCGAUCAAGAUCAUCAAAGCUUCCAAUGCUAGCCCAGCCAUAAUCAGCAAAAUCACCUUGCUCUUCACCUUCAUGAGGAUUUUGAAAAAUCUCAGUGUCCUUAUCAAGAUGAUCUGUCUCUGCGUUUUAAAAAAAAAAGAAUUAGAAUGACAGUAGCAUGUAAGAUACUAUGCUAUGAAAACAUCACGCAACUCGUCACCCUAUCUACAUUUUUUCCUUGUAAUUGAAAUCUCAUCACCUGCUGAUGAAUCGAGUUUGGUAAUCUCAGUUAGAUUGUUAGAGAUUGAAGUUUCCAAGGAAUCCUGCUCAGUUUUGGCAGCAUCAGGUGAGGACAAGUUAGGCCAUCGGUCCAUGUCAAGUCCUAAGGAAGAAGUUCCUUCACUUGUGUCAACAUUCGAAAUGCUCUCCAGCUUUCUGCCAUCAGUAUCAACUUUAGCCCCAGGUGCCUUCUGCUCACUAGAUUUAAUGGUGCUAGCUUCUUCACUCGAUUCCUUUUUCUUGCAAUAAUCUUCACUUGCCUCUGGAUAUGGCACGAUAUGGUCAUCACUAUCUUCAUCCUCACCCCAUAUUAUGUUCGUAAGCUGAAAAGAUAGUGAGUAAGCAUCAUCACUAAAUGUGGGAUACAUGAGAAGAAUGAAACAGUCACAAGUUAAUCUCUGGGUAACUUAGCAAGACUAUUUUCCCCAACAUAAUAUUCUGAAUAAUACACUAAUUAAUCAGUUCAGUUCCUUGUAAGGUGUGCGUGGGCACAUAUGAGCACACAUGUGUGUACGAGAGUUGCUAGUGUCAAUGAGUUGGGAACCAAAUAUUUAAUUGAGUCAUGCAGAAAAUACUAAAAUGUUCUAAAUUGUGUUAAAAAUAAAAUAGAAAGUAGAAGCCAUUGGCAUGAUUCAUUUAAAAAUUUCAACAAAAUUAAAAAAAGAAAAGAAAAGAAAAGGAGGAGAUGGCCCAAAGCAUGCUCUCAAUAAGAUGAAGUAAGACCUAAAGCUUCAUUGCAUGUACAGAGCACUUUGAAAACUUCAGUCUGGACAUAUAAAACCAAGGCAAAUUAUCUUCUUUUUGGAACUUAUUUCUUCACAGUAAGAUAUAACAUCUAACGCUACCUGCAUCACUUUCUCAUGGUCCUCCCUGACUCGAGUGAUCAUAAACCUUCUCAAAUCCCAUUUAAAGAAGAUUCCCUUUCUCACUUUUCGUUGGUAUUAUUUGACACCAAGAUCACAACCAAACAUUACCAAUAAGUGUGUCACCGGAGAAAGAAACUUAGGUGCCCUAAUACCAUAAAUAAAACCUAUUCAAUAAAAAUUAGACAAUAUUUUAUAGCUGUACAUCUAUAAUCAAAGUAAAGGCCCAAAACUCUGAAUCCUGAAUAUGUGAAUCAAAGUAUCUAACUGAUGCACCAUCAGCAGUCUCCUAUUUGACUUGUGAUUAAUGACCUAGCAGUUCACUUCAACAACAUUAUUGAAAGGUCCCUAGUGAACGUAAGAUUGAAUUUCAGACCCAGCAAGAAGAAGUACAUUUUCCAGUAGGCAUGCAUAUCACCUUUUUAUCAAUAUCCAUGGAAGACAAACCAAGCAAUAUCAAGUUUUUUUCUGCUGGAUAUCCAAUAAAAAAUACCUCAUAGUGUGAACAUCUUUAAGAAGGAGGAUAUCACAUUGCACCCCAUCAACUGAUCCACAAAUAAAUUUGCAUCUUUCCAUCAGUUCCAAGCUACUUUGUAAGGAAAAGGGAGGGAAGUGCCUUCAAAGAUACCUUCUUCAUAGCUUCUUUAGAUAUGAAUCCACACGACUUUCGUAAUCACCAAUCACUAUGCGCAGCUUCUCUUAUCAUCACAAGCUCCAUCUCUUUCCACAUCCUAACUUCAUUCGCUGAACUCUUCCCUCAGUUCCCAAGAAAAAAUAUAUUCUUCCUCCUCCAGCCCUUUCCCUACAUAUUUCCACCAGCUUCAUAGCAAUGCAGCCCGUGAAAACGACUCCCAAAUUAAAACACUUGAGAAGCUCUAAUAGUUUUCCACAAAGAACUACUUUUCUUAUUAUUUCUUCACUCUAUGUCAGUGUGCCACAUUCAAAUACUACUGAUCGAUUCUUCCUCGUCACAACCACUCACUUUCCCCUAAAUCCCAUACCACAACCACUCCUUGAUCUUCAACUAAAUCAAUAUCUCUCAUCACUUAUGAAAACUCCAUAUAAUUUCCAAAUGAAUCACACCAUUUGAACACUUUGCCAAUUCCUAAUUCCUUCAAAAUUUUAAUCCAUAAAAAAAAAAAACUGCAAGUCAUACCUUUUCACCUCAACACAGUUCUCCUUGUAACUAAUCUUCCAAUAUAACCAUACUCUAAAACUAACCCAUAAUCCUAUAAAAAAAAACCAUUUCUUCUUCAAAUUAGUCCUAAAAAACUUCAAAAUACAAGUAACUAUCCAUUUUAAACAAGAUCAGUGAAAUCUAAAAGCAACCCACAAAUCCAAUUCACAAAUCAACUGCAUAUUCCAAUAUAGAUAAAGGAAAAAAAAAUCAUUUAGUUACCUCUUCGUCGUUCCAAUCAAACAUAGCUAAAGAAACCAGAACAGGUCACAAAACGAAAACCCAAUUCACAUAUUAUAUCUUGAAUUAUUUCACACAUCGCCAAUCCUUCAAAACCUUCACCAAAAAAAGAAAAAGAAAAAACAUUAACUUACGUUCAGAAAAAAACAUCAAAACCCCUUAACCCUAAAAACCAAACCAAGACAAAAAAUUUACAUGCAAAACAAGAAAACAAGAACCUUAACAGUUGUUAAAGAAGCAACCAAAAGAGUUUUCCAGAGACUGAAACAAGAGCAUAAAAGAAAGGGAAAAGCCAAAGGGUUGUAGAGCACGUGAGAAUCACGUGAGUUUGAUUGGCUAUUUGACUGACACGUGUGUUUACGACAGUAUCUUAGUGUGUGGUUAGAAUUUAAGGAUAGAUCUAAUACUUGAACGUGAUUGGUUAAUACGUUAGGAGUUUGAUUUGAGUUUGAUUUGGGUUGAAUUUCAUGUGAAUUUAGAGAGAUUUGGCGGGCGGAUCUAAGUUGUGGCUGUGGUUGCUUCGAGGGUUGGUUUCGCGGGUCGGUUUCUUGGGCCCAUGUUGACCAAGUGGUGUUUUUUGGGAUAGCCACGCCCACGCUUUUGGAUUAAAAAAAAAAAAACAGGAGAAGAAUUAUGAGAGUGGAUUAAUUAUUAAUUAGGUAAUGAUUGAGGAUUAGGGUUUAAAGUAGGGGAUUAGGCCGUUUGACUCUUGACGUAGGCACUAUUAGGGGUGAGCAAAAAAACCGAGAAAACCGAGAAAACCGAACCGAAAAAAAAAACCGAUUAAACCGAUUAAAAUUUUGAAAAAACCGACCGGUUCGGUUUGGUAUCGGUUUUAGGCUUAUAAAACCGAAAAAACCGAACCGAACCGAAAAAAUAACCGAAAAAAACCGAGCCAAACCGAGCCAAAACCGGAAAAAAAUGAGCCAAAACCGAAAAACCGAGCCAAACCGGAAAAACCGAGCCAAGCCGGUUUUUCCCCUAAAAAAACCGAACCGAACCGAACCGAACCCGGCCGGUUCGAACCGGUUUCGGUUCGGUUUCGGUUCGGUUUCGGUUCGGUUUCGGUUUUUUUUUCCUAAAAAAAAAAAAAUUCGGUUUGGUUACUUUUUUUGAUAAAAACCGAACCGAACCGGUUUUGCUCACCCCUAGGCCCUAUGCAUGUGAUUUGUUGUUAUUGUGCCAUUUCAUUAAAUUCGUUUAAAAUGUUUACAGACAAAAGAUACGUAUAAAAUUUAAAAACGUUAGCUCUUUCUUUUUUUAAAAAAACAAAAUUAAAGUCUCACAACUAACCUAUAGAAACAUUGUUAUAAAAUCUAAGGUUGCUCAAUGGGUCAAUUUGAAAGUCUGCACUAGUUUAAAUUUUAAUAAAUAAAAAAAAAUUGAUUGAUUCAGUUAAAAAUCUGAUUUGUUCUAUUAACUUGAUUUAAAUUUAAAUUUUUUUUAUGUUUUUUUAUAUAUCAAAAUGAUAUUUUUUUAAUAUAUUUAAAAUUAACAAUUUUGAUAUGUAUUUAAACUUUACCCCAUUUUAUAAUUACUGAUCAAAGUAUUUUAAAAAUCAAUAUAGUAACACUUCCUAAAAAUUAAAAAAAUAAGAUUUAAUUUUAAAUAACACAUAAAGUAUUUGAAUAUAUCUCAUAAAUUUAAAAACAAAUAAACAAAACUUUCACAUCUCCCAAAAGAAAGAGAGUUUAAACAGCCCUGCUUAUGUAAGCAAGCAAGAAAGAAAAAGACUAAAUCAUGAUUAAUAUAUAUCACCUCGUUUAUCUUCAUAUCAAAUAUAUCCUAACUUGUGUAGACGGGUGUGAAGAAUUAAGCUAUAUUCUAACAUCCAAAUUAACUCUUUUUUUUAUAAAAAAAACUCUAUUUCUGAUUUGUACAAAAUUCAAUAAUUUACAUGUCAAUCACUUAAAACCCAAUAAAAAAUACUUUAAAAUAUAAAAAAAAAAUAUAAUUUUGAAAAGAAAAGGGGACUUUCAAUUAUUCAUCAAAGAAUAAUUUAGACUAUUAUAUAUCAUACAAUUUAAUUUAAAAAUCAGUCAAUAAAAAAAAAUCCAAUUUAAGUUUGAUUAACUUAGCAGGUUAACAUGUAAAUAGUUGGCCUGAUUUUGAUGGAGUUGAUUUUUAAAAUAAUGUAUGGAAAACGAUAUCAUUUUAAAAAGGGUAAUCCACCUGACCUAAUCUGGUUCUAGAACAAGUUUAAUUACAUUGACUCCAAUAAUUAGCCUUGAAUGUAGAAAAACGAAGAAGGGAAGUAGAACAAAACUGGGCUGAGAGGCCUAUGGACAUUAAAUUGAUUCUAGUCUUUAUUAAUGGGCUUGUGGCCUCAGCAUGAAAACUGGCAAAACAGUAAAAAAAUUAUAAAAAAAAAAGAGGAGAAAAAAUCAACCACGACUCCACUGGGGAUCGAACCCAGAAUCUCUGGUUCCGUAGACCAGCGCCUUAUCCAUUGGGCCAUGGAGUCUUUCAUGCCAGUGUUUCGAUUCCUAUAAUAUAUUAAUAAAAUAUACAACUCUACCUUCCGAGCCUGUACUAGAGACAGCGAGGGUGGCCAACAACUUCAACCACUUACAAUUUGAAAAUGGUAUUCUGGAUGUUGCUUCACGGGUAGGGCUUUACUGCUCAUCAACAUUUCCAAUAUCUUUUUCCAUCUACACGAUGCAUUUACAAGAGUUACGUUAAUCGGGUAAUUAUGUGUACAUUUUUGAAAAAAUAUUUUUUAAUUGAAAAUAUAUUAAAAUAAUAUUUUUUUUCUAUAUAUUUUAUUUUAUUUUAUUUUUGAUAAUAACACAUUACAACAAUUUAUAAAAACUUUAUUGAAUUUAUAUAUAUAUAUAUAUAUAUAUAUAUAUAUAUAUAUAUCAAUUCAAUAAAGUUUUAGUUGAAAAACUAUUUUUAAAAACAAAUUCAAUAACAAAAACAAACCUACCAUAACCAUUACUUGUACUUUUUUUUUUCCACAGGUUUGUUAAAAAAAAACACCUUUUUUAUUAUGUACUCGAUCGUCGAGUGCUACAAAUUUAAUUAGCUUUCUUAAUGGGAUCGAUUUGUUUCUUUGCAUAGGUUUGUAUUCGUGUCUUUCAUUAAUUAGAUGAUAAAAAAUUAUAAUUUUUUUUACUAAUAGGAUCACUGUGCAAUUUUUAUCUUUUCUUGAACUUAAUUAUUUAUCAUCAAUCCAUAAAUAUCCUUACAUGAUCACACACUACUUGUACAAGUGCGUAGAUUCACAACUAACUAAUGAGAUCCAUGCAUGAAUCACUUGGAUCGAUGGUCUUGGGAUUUGAAAAAAAAACAAAACAUGCAUAUAGUUUCAUCGAUCAUUUCGGGUUUAUUACCAAAGUAAAACUGCAUGCAAAAGCUAGCAUCAGAAAGAGAAGAGAAGACAAAAUAUUUUUGCUGUGGCAUUCACAUGUUCAUGCAUGUUUCCAUGGACGACAACUGCUGAGAUCUGCAAUCCAGCACUACUUGUAAAUUCAAACUAGCUUUCCCACCUAUCUCUUCACACGUUGCAACCUUCUACUAGAAAAAAACACCAGAAUUCACACGUUAAUUAUCCACCUGAAAAUGACUCCUGGACACGUAAUCACCGUUUCUUCUCUCUCACUCUUGACACUAUUUUUUUUAAUCGUUGAAGGGUUAAAGAUGUUGAUAAUUAUAGUUUUUUUAUUCUAGUUAUUAAAUAUUAAUUUAAUUAUUUGGUACGAGAAAUUUACAUCCCAAAACCUUAUUUAGAGUUUUAAAUUAUAUCGAUGAAAUUUAAUUAAUUUAUCUAAGUUUUUAAUAAUUUGGUUGAGUUGAUCGGCCCGACUCGAUUGAAACAUAAUUGAUUCAAUUUCUGUUAGAAAAUAAUAUAAAUCAUAUUUAAUUAUGAUCUCACCUAAUAGUUUAAGUUAUUGGAUAUAUUAAGAUGAUUUUUUGAUAUAAUAUUAGAGUUUUGAUAAUCAAGUGAUUACGAUUUGAAUCUCAUCAUUUCUAUUUAUUUGAUAAAAAUUAAGUACAAGAUAGUGUAAAACAUCUAUAUAAGUUUCAAGCUCAAAAGCUUUUACUUAAAGAGAUAUGUUAGAGAAUAAUAUAAAUCAUAUCUUGUAACCUGACCUUAUAACUUAAGUAAUUGAGUUGAGAUGAUUUUUUUUUUAACAAUUUUAAUGAAUUAUUUUUUUAAAAAUAAAAUAAUACUAUUUUAUUAAAAAUAUUAACUCAAAUUUACUCGAUAAUUCAAUAAUUCAUAUUUAUUUCUGAGUGGAUCUCAGGCCAGGUCUGAGUAGUAUACUAUUAUAUUUUUAACAAAAUAAUUAAAGUAGCAUAAAAGAAACAAAGUAAUUAACGGCUAAACAUGAUGCGUGUGACCCUCUAGGCUAGGCGAUACUUUCAACACAGUAUCAUAAGUUCUCUUGUACCUGUUUGCAUGUAUAAAUAGGAAGCUAAUGGUGGUAUAAUCUUACACUAUUCACUCACGUUUCUUAAGAGAAAGUACUCAAGAAAAAAAUAUUCAACAAUGGCUAGCCUCAUUGCUCCUGACAACCAUGUUCCUAGUGAAGAUGCUGAAGCCCUCUACAAGGCCUGUAAUGGUACUUCUCUCUCCUUUUCUUUCAUACUAUAAUCAUAUAUUAUAUACUCGACAUGCCAACAAUUAAGAAAUAAUCUUAUAUUAUAUACUCUACAUGCCAACAAGUAUGAAAUAAUCAUAUAGCUGUUUGCAAUCACCAGCAAUAUUUAAAUUAAGAGAGGAUUAAUUAGGAGGAGGAUUUCCUGUGUCUAUAGUCCAACCUUAAGAACAUACAGCUGCCUAACAGACAACUUAAAUGUUAACAUGCCUGAAUAAGAUAUCAAAUUUCUGUAAGAAAUGGUAAAAAGUGGUUGUGCUGUAACAAUCAUGAGAAAAUAUUCUAUGAAAAAGAGGAGUAAAUAUUUUACUUUUAGAGAAACAAAAGGCAGGGAAAGGGAAAAGGAAAAAAAAAGGGAAAGUAUUAAUGACAGUCUGAUUUUCUUUGUCGUCAAUUUUUUAUUUGAAAGUGAAGAGGUUGGCGUGAAUGAUUUGUCAGCAUGAGUUGUUCUUUCUGCUUUAUUUUCCGGCAAAAUAUUUAUAAUUUUUGUGAUGGGAAGAUACACUGGACGACUAAGUUAUGCCUUGUUACGUCACAAACUUGAUGCAUAAAACCAGGAAAGAAAAAUAAAAGUUUCUCUCCAAAAUGAAAAAGAAAGAAUAAAAGUAUUUUUUUUUUUGCAAUAACAUAAAAUCAUAAUUAUUAUACUGGUCUAGUUUGUUGAGUUAAUAGAUAUCAACCUUGAGAUGUUGGUUUAAAGGUUCGAGGAUUUGCUCCCUUUAAGAUCUCAAUUUUAAAUUUUAUUAACACCAAAUUUUUUGAUUUAUUUUGGUAUAUGUAAGCUGUAAGCUAAUUUAUGAUAUCAUGUUUUUCCCAAAAAAAAUUGAUAUAAAUUUACAAUACAGAUAUUGAUUCAGACUAGUUUUUGGUUAAACCAGGUGGAGUUAAUAUUAUAGAUUUUAAAAAAAACUGUUUUAAUAAAAAAAAAAAUUAUUGAUUGACUUGACCUAAAUUUCUCGUACGGCAACUAUGCAUAAAACUCUUGUGCGCCUGCACCAAAAUUUUUUCUCUCAUUCACCCAUUUUGCCUUCAAAAAUGGUAUGAAAGAAAAUAUUCAUUUACUCAAGCCAACCAUGAGAGAUAAGUAAGAAUCUAAUGGUGGAAAGCAGGUGGUCAUGUUGAUUAAUGUAUUCAUAAAAUUUAAAUAGUCCAAGAAAUCAUUUGAUUACCACAUUGUUUUCAACGUAAGAGUGUCAGAAAGUGGUACUAUAAAUAUGAGAGCAUGAACAAGUCUCCUUCACAUUGAGUUUUCUAGCUAAAGAGACAAAAGAGAGUUAAUUGCAAUGGCUUCCCUUGUUGUUCCUGAAAAUGUUUCUUGUGUUGAUGAUGCACAAGCUCUCCAAAAGGCUUGCCAUGGUUAAGUUUACAAAUCGUUCUGUCUUGUAUAUGUACUUUCCUUUGUGUUUUUCACUGAGAUAAUUUGUACCCUUUUUUGUCAAAAGAAAUCGGCUACUGAGUUCAUGUUUUCUUGUUUUGAUUCUUGAAUUGCAUCAGGAUCUUGCUCGCUUCUUUUGUGAAAAAUUUUAUCCAAAUUGAAGUUGUGAUCAUCAAGUGAUUUUAUGCAAAAGGAAAUAUCAAAACUGACAACGGAAUUUGUCUCUGCUGUUUGUUUUUGCUAGGCUGGGGGACUAAUGAGAAGGCUAUAAUUUCAAUACUGGGGCAUAGAAAUGCUGCUCAAAGGAAGCAAAUCAGGCUAGCUUAUUCAGAAUUGUUUCAAGAAGAUCUUGUCAAGCGUCUCGAGUCUGAGCUCAAUGGAGACUUUGAGGUAAUUGUCAGUAUCAUGGUUAUGAUAACAGAAACUUUAUGUUUAUACCAGUCUUAUCUGUCAGAGGCAGGGCACAUUUGUUAAAGGGUCUUGUUCAACCAGUUGUGUUUUGCAAGAGAUUUGAUGCAUAUUAACGUUUAAUCAUAGUCAUUAUGUUCUUUCCAACCCAAGGAUUGUUGCAGAAUGGGAUGGAGUGUGAUUGUCGGUUUAUAUAUAUGCCUGUGAUGCUAAUUAAGUUUCAUAAAUUUGUGAACAUAGAAAGCUGUGUAUCGAUGGGUAUUGGAUCCAGAAGACAGAGAUGCAGUGUUAGCAAAUGUGGCUAUCAGGAAAUCUGGCGAUUACCAUGUGAUUGUAGAGAUUGCCUGCGUCCUAUCUUCAGAGGAGCUCUUGGCUGUGAGGAGGGCAUACCAUGCUCGGUACAAGCAUUCCUUGGAAGAAGAUCUUGCGGCCCAUACCACCGGUGAUAUCAGGAAGGCAUGUUACAAUCAUUGAUAUAUUGUGAUUAGGCCAUUCACAAUUGCCUGAUGGUUUGUUAUGAUCAUUUUGCAGCUCUUGGUUGGAUUAGUGACAGCUUUUAGGUAUGAAGGAGAUGAGAUUAAUACAAGAUUAACCAAUUCAGAAGCUGAUAUUCUUCAUGAUGCAAUCAAAGACAAGGCUUUUAAUCAUGAAGAUGUCAUUAGGAUCCUGACUACCAGGAGCAAAGCACAGCUCAUGGCAACUUUCAACCGCUACAGAGAUGAUCAUGGCUCUUCCAUCACUAAGGUACAGAAAAAAAAAAAAGAAGUUCAAUAGCUUGCUUCUAGUUACCAAGUCAAAUGUUUAUAGUUGCAAGUUGUCGUGAGGAGCACUGUGAAGGCCUCCAAGUUUCUUCCCGCUCCUGAGGCCUGUAACAGAAGCUUUAACUCUCUGAAAACAGAACUUCCAUCUACAAGGUUGAGUCUGAUUAUAAAAAUGGAGCAUUAAUGGUCAUUUUUGUUUAAUAGGACUUACUAGAUGAGCCUGCUGAUGAGUUCAAAACAGUGCUCCGUACAGCCAUUCGAUGCCUCAACGACCACAAAAAGUACUACGAAAAGGUGAAAUUUUUUACACUGUUGCCUUAAAUUUCAUAAAUGAAAGUUCAAUGGCCUAAAACAUAGUUGCCUUCUGCUUAGAUUUUGCGCAAUGCCAUCAAAAAGGUUGGGACAGAUGAGGAUGCACUCACUCGUGUGAUUGUCACAAGGGCAGAGAAGGACUUGAAUGAUAUCAAGGAGAUCUACUACAAGAGAAACAGUGUGCCCCUUGAUCAGGCAGUUGCCAAGGACACUUCUGGGGAUUACAAGGCUUUCCUCCUUGCUCUGCUUGGAAAGGAGGAAUAGUUUUGUUCUUCUUUCAGCAUUUCAGAGUUUUCAGUCACAAUUCAAUAAUGGUUUCUUAUGUAGAACUUUCUUACUGUGAGUCUUUUGUUUUCUGUGGUCAUGUUCUUGAGUUCCUACCUGGUCCGUGUGACAUUAUGUAAUCCAAUGCUAUGUUAUCUGCAGUUGAGUGUUUCUCUAAGUGGCUGCCUGUUGGCACAUUCAGACCAAGUUUCAUUGAUGCACUGUAACUCUAAGCUUCCAUUUGAAUCAUCUUUCCCUAAAAAUUUAAGUCGGGCUAAUUGGUUAAAAAAUACCCUGACCUUCAAGUAACAGAAGAUUAGUCCCUGAUCCUUUUCUUUUACCAUGAACUUGAUCCUAAAUCUAUUUUUUUUCAACAAUGUAGUCCUUCCAUUCAUUUUUCCAUCUAUCUAUCAGCAUGUGUGGUCACGUGACCGUGUAGAAGGAUGACACGUGUGCCUCCCAUGUGGUCAAAUUUGAUGGAAGGACUACAAUGAUGGAUAAAAAAUAGGUUCGGACCUAAAUCAGAAUACAAAAAGGUUAGGGACUAAUCUCCUGUUGACAGAAAGUUCAGGGUAGUUCUUAACCGAUUAGCCUUUAUGUCAAGCAUCAAUUUAACUCAUGGCCUCUGCAGGGAUUGCAGAAGCAAGCAAAACAUUUCCAGCUAUAAAAUCCAAUACCCAUCUAGAUCAAAUAAAUAUGAUGGAGCGGUAAGCAAAAAAUUGCCCACAUGUAUUGUUGCCCUUAUUCAGCUCCAUCUACCAGUAAAUCCCCGAAUGCUUUUUUGAUAUUGUAAUGCAAUUCUUUUAAAGGGUUCGCAGUUUUUGGUGAAUUCUAAAUGAUGCUGAAAGGACAAAAAUAACUUUAAAAUUAUUUCAAAAACAUUUACUUUUAUAUAAGUUUCUAUCUUUUAACUAAACACAUUUCUCUUUUUUCCCGAUCUUAUAAUACUAACCAUACUUGGUUUGCCUUUUACAUGGCACUUGAGAGUUGAUAAACUUCUUUUUUUUUAUUUUCUAAACAACAAAAGGUAAUUAAACUGCUUGUAGAUUUCAACAUGUUUUUGGUUCAAACAAUUCAACAAUAUUCUUUCUUCAAUAGCAAGACAAGCAACGGGGCUGAGAGCAACAUUUGUAGACAAAAUUUGGAAUUGAAAGAUAAUAAUCCAAUAUAUUGAAGCAUGAGAAAUAAGAGCAGCUGAAUAAGUUGAUGGAUUUUAAACCUAUGUACAAGCAUAACAUUCCACCAACUACAACAAAAGUGCUGAGCUAAUUCGGAAACUGAAAAAUUGUCGCAUGUUAUUGCCACUGCUGUCUGGCAAACCAUAUCUUGUAAUAGCCGUGAGACUAAACUGGAUGAGUAAGCAAAUGCUAGCAGAUAUGCUGACCAGGAAUGUUGAUAAGGCCAAGUACAACAUGCAAGCUUCGUUUCCAGACUCGAUGCUCAACUAGAUUUGAUAUCAUCUCCAAACUUUGUAUCAUAUGCACCAGAAGACUCCCAUAGAAUUUUAUACUAAGCACAGAUCUUGGCUCUCUGACUCUCCCUAGAGCCUGGAAGCCGCCUCAACAAAUAUGAAAAAUAGAUGAGUCUGUUAUCGAAGGGAAGGGUCAGAAAGAAAUCGGGUUAACUACUAGCAUCAUAUGAAGAAAUGAACAAUAACCUGGAAAUUGAUCUUCUGACAAAAGACAUCGAGUCUUGAUGCAUAUGAACCAUGCCUCGGUCUUUGAUGCUCUAUGCUACCUUAAGAUUCCCGUUUCCUGCUCUGACUGUUGAAGCCAGGCAGCAUGGACUUGGAUUUAGAGUGAGCUCGACUUAUGAGUCUCUGAUGCAAUAAGAGAAAACUUGAAUAAGAAUCAAGGAAUUCACAGGGAUAUAUAUGAUAUGGACAUUAAAAGUAACAAGCAGCAAAAUAUGUCUGACAAACCUGUAGACAUAAAGCAACUCCAUUUCUACGUCCGCCUCCACAGCUGGCCAAUAGUAAAUCUUAACUCAGACAUACAGUAAUUAAUCCACUUGAGUAAGAAACAUAAACCGAAGGGAGAAAAUGAAAAUUAAGAUCAGCGAUACCUCAAUGUGUUGAAUGGAUUAAAGAAGAGAGACUCUACCAGUCUUCUGGUUCAAUCCAGCGGCCAUCAAUCUUGAUGUAGAGUAAAUGAGAAAUCUUGGGCCAAUCUUCCCCUUUCUCCUUUUCACACCUUUUUUCUAGCUGAGGGCAUCCACUGAUUUCAAAAGAAUAAAGGGAGGAUGGAAGCCCCCUUUCAGGUAUGGAUUGGAGAUUAGGGCAUGUGUCAAUCUUCAAUUCUCUAAGACAGGUGAGGUGUAGAAGCCCGUUGUAGUCCAGAGAUUUCAAAUUUUCAAGGGACCGGAUUUCAAGGGACCGAAGUUCUAAAGGCAGCAGCAGCCCGUCAGGGAAAGAUUCCACAUCUUCAUUGUAAGCAAUUAUUAAUUUUGAAAGAGAACAUUGAAGAAGCAAAUCCCAUUGUGCACGGCUUGCAAUGAGUUUAUUGCAACUUUGGAUGCAGAGUGUUUCUAGAUCAAGUGGCAAACGCCCUUCUGGAAAUGACUCAAGUUCAGGAAGUCCUUUCAGUUCCAAAUCCACAAGGGAAAAAAGGAAAGGCAUUUGCUCAGGCAACGCCUUUAAAUUUAUGCAAUCAAGUAACCUAAUCUUUGUCAAAUUCGGAGCAGAUAACCCUCCUUUGGGAAAACAAACCAAGUUAGGACACCCCUGGAUUUCCAAGAAACGGAGAGACCUGUUAUAAGGCUUUUCAUAUGCUGAAAGAGAAUUCAGAUUCGGACAAUUCUUGAUUUUUAGAGUCUGUAAGUUGGAGAACAACUCUAGCGGGAAACACUCGAGUAGAUCAAAAUGAUCUAUUUCAAUAUUUUCAAACAUAGAGGAUAAGCAACCCAUCAGCUCCAAUUCCUUUACCAACGAAUCUACGGAGUCCAAUCUGCGAAUCUCGAGUUCAUACAACUCAGAAGGCAAUUUCUCUAAACGCAGAUCCCGAGAAGCAUCAUUUAACCAAAAUCUGUUAAUGAUUGGAUACCAAGGAAAUGGGCCUCCAAGCUGCUGACAAUCAAGGAUGUUAAGUUCUGUUAAAGAAGGAAGGUGAUGAUUCGGCAAUGCCUUCGUUAGGCUGAUGCAGCCUGAUAUGUGAAGCUCUCGAAGAAGAGGGAAAGCUUCCAUGUCCUCAUCAGAAAUCCAUUCAUUCCAUUGUGGCAUGCUAGCAAAAGUUAAAAUCUCGAGGGAUCCAAAUGGCUCCUUCAAGGAUGUGCAGCUUCCAUAGAACUCGUGACCCACCACCACAACUCCUUCAAAUUCCUGGAUGCAUAGUUCCUUUAAAGACCCUAGCUGUCCAAGUGGAGGUAAAGAGGUGCAAUAUGCACAUUUGAAGAGAUCCAACACUACUAUAUUUGAGAAAGAAAUGUCUGCUAUCCAAUCUGGAAACCUUGUACCCCCAUAACCACCAACAUAAAGACUAGUCACACCUGUAUGGGGCUGUAAUUUAUCAAGAACGUCUCUUUGGUGCUGUGAGUCAUCAGCAUCGCCAUCCCAUCUCAACUCCAACGCUUUAACCUGUUUCAUACCCUUCAAAUUGGCUUCCAAAGCAUCUUGAGCGUUCACAACAUUUUGAAGACCCCAAAUCGUUACUCCCCCUUGUAGAUGUUGAAGCUUGCCCAACUCUAUAAUGCUAGAACCACCCUGUCUUCCCAGAAAAAAAUCACUCAGUGUUUGGAGCUUUGUCAAUCUAUCCAUCUGUGAAGGCAUCUUCGACAGCUUUGUUCCUAAAAUAUCAAGAUUUUGCAAGUUGAUUAACCUUGCCAUAUCAGCUGGCAACUCCGUAAGUUUCUUGCAUUGCUUCAAGAUUAAAGUUCGCAAGUUAUACAAUCCACUCAUGGAUGCAGGUAACCUUUCAAUUGCUGUUUUCGUAAGAUUCACAUGUCGUAAUUGCUUCAGAUUGCCAAUUGAAUUAGGCAAUUCAGCAACCCCUUUGCAAUCUUCCAAGAUUAGCGUUUGCAAAUUGUAUGCAGUACUCACAACUUCAGGUAACUCUUCUAUUGAUGUUCCCCAAAGGUUCAGAUAUCGCAAAUGCUUUAACUUUCCCAUUGAAUUAGACAACUCAGCUAUACUAGAAAUAGCGAGACAAGGAUAGCACUCGUAAUCGUCUAAGGCUUGGUAAUAAAUCACGUGUUAGGCCAUCUUCAAACCGGUAGUCUUCCCACUGCUUUGCCAACGGUAGAAAAGUGCGCAAAUGUUCAGCUCCAUAGAUUCCUACGAAUUUUUUAAGGGAAUCAAAUGACUUUGGUACAUAUGAGAAAUGACGAGCCUUCGCUGCAAUCUUGUUUGAAUCAUCAUCCUCCAACAGGAAGCAAAACUCCCCCGUCACAGAUUUGGCCAAAUCAUUAAUGAGGUCGUGCAUAAUAAACAAUGAUAGAUUGUCACUAGAAUAUCGUUGAAAAAAUGACCUGGAAACAAGAUCAUCAAAGAACUCGCCACCUACAUCUUCAAACUCCUCCUCUCCUUUGAGUGGGACAAGAAAACCACCCUCUGCCAUCCACAAACGUACUAAAUCAUCCUUGUUGAAUCUAUAAUCUUUGGGAAAUAGUGCACAAUACGCAAAGCACUGCUUCAGUGGGGCAGGAAGGUAAUAGUAGCUCAGUCUUAAAGCUGGAAGAAUCGGAUCUUUCGGCAAAGUCCACAUGUCACUCUUCAACACUUUCUCCCAAUCUUUUGCGUCUCUUUUGGAGCGUAGGAGACCCCCCAGAGCUUUUGCAGCUAAAGGUAGGCCAUUGCACUUUCUUACAAUUCCUCUGCCAAUUUGUUCCAAGUCUGGACAUGCACCAGAACUUCCAUCAUCAAAUGCCUGUUUUGCAAAAACCAACCAGCAGUCGUCUUCAGUUAAUUUCUGCAGAUGAUGUGUUGGAACAGUUGACUUGACUGAUGCUACGCUAUCAUUGCGUGUUGUAACGAUGAUCUUACUCCCUUGUCUCACAGACUUUAAAGGUGUCAAUAAAGAAUCCCACUGAUCUUGAUUCUCACUCCAAACAUCAUCUAAAACAACCAGCACUGUUUUCCCUGCUGUUCUCUUCUCUACCUCUUUGUGAAGCUGAUCUGCAGUCAUGGUAUCACAAUUCAGUGAGCCGGCCUCUAGAAGCAUAUCUUUGAUUAACUUGAAAACAUCAGAUUCCUCUGAAACAGAGACCCAUACCUUCAGAUCAAACCGCUCUUGAACUCUGCUAUCAUUGUAGAUAAGCUGAGCAAGAGUGGUUUUACCAACCCCACCCAUACCCACUAUAGGAAUCACAUCUAGCUUUGCAUCUUCAGAUAACAUCAACUUCAUUAUGGCUUCCUUAUCGUCAUGCCUACCAAAAACCCCAGAUCCAUCCACCAGAGAAGUUGUUGGUAUUUUGUAGGACAAGGGUUGUUCUCCAAAACCCUCUUUCAGUCCAAGAGCAUCCUUUUGCUGUACUAAAUAUUCAAGUAGCUCAAGAAUGUCCUCUAACUUAGCUCCCAUCUCUUCCUUCUCUUCCUUCUCUUCCUGGACUGUAUUACGAGAAGAUAAAAAGCCUCUAACCUGAUCAGUGCUGGUUUGAGAGCCAGCUUCAACCUCCAGUCUCAAGCCUUCAUAAGCAACCCCAUCCAAGAAGUCCUCUGCUUCAUAAACAGCAUCUUUGAGCUCGACAAGCCACUCUUUUACAAACGAGUCACUGAUCUGCUUCUUUUCAGCAUCAUUGAGCACCUUAUUAACAGUAAUCAUCAGUAUCUUCAACUUCUUCAGCAGUCUAUCAUUUAGUUUUUGGCUUUUAAAGAAGUCAACAACCUGGCGAGAAGCCAUUCUAUCAAACAAAACCUGGAGGGAAGCCGAAAGAAAAGCUCCACCUACCAAAGCAGCAGCCAUGGUUUGAUCUUCACGUAGUACUGUUUGCAAAACGGGUGCAGUAAGAAUCAAAGCAAGAAAUGGUGAUAGAGAAAAUGAACAAGAAGAGAGAUUAGGAUUAACUUUGCUUGACAAACCAAGAAACUGCCUUCUCGUUUCUUUUUAUUUACUAUUAUUAAACCAGAAAGCGUGUUUUCUUCUGCUAAUUUCCAUGUCGGAUCCCUAUGGACGUUAAAUAUUAUCCAAGCAGUUCAUUUGGUUAAAAAGGUUUUGACUUUGUUUUGGUUUCUUGCUUGGAUUUAUGAGCUGGAACUUCGGAGUGAAUAUCUAAGAUAGUUUAUUCUCUUAAAUACACUGGACCAAUGUAAAAGUAUAAUAUUGUAAGAUGAUUUAUAUUAAAGAAUCAUCUUAACCCAAUAGCUUAAGCUGUUAGGUGAGGUUUUAAGAUAUAAUUUAUAUUAUUCUCUAACACAUCCCCUUGAGUAAAAGUUAUUUAGACUUGAAACUUGCACAGAUCCAUAUUACCUUGUGCUUGAUUUUUAUCAAAUAAAUAAAGAUGAUGAGAUUCGAACUCGUGACCGUUUGGUUAUAAGGCUCUGAUACCAUAUCAAAGAACCAUCUCAACCCAAUAGCUUAAGCUGUUAAGUGAGAUAUCAAGAUAUUAUUCUCUAGCAAUUAAAAAAAAGUAUUUAUUUUCUAUUGAUGCAUAAACUUGAUUAGAAAAUACUCCUUGCAAAGUCAACAUGUCAGUUCAAAACCAAAUACAUUGAAUAAUAAUUUAAGAGAUUUCGUUUGCAAGGAGCUUAUCAUUUUAUGAUCAAGCCGCGUUUUCCAUAUUUCAAAAGGCAUUGGGUUUGGAUUCAACCCAGCCAUGUUUUAAGCUUCAACGCUACGGCUAAUGCGUAUCUUACAGGAAUAACCAGAAUGGGGUGGCCCUUGACUCGGUUUAGGAGCUGGAUCAGCAGGUCCAUGGUCCAACCCUGGUCAGCUCUUUUAAGGAAAAGACUCCAUCUUGCUAUCACUCGGUUCAUGUUCUUCGUUAAACGCAAACACUUGGUGAGUACCUCAAGAACUCUUUCAUUAACACUCACACCCCACCUCUACACUAAACUCAGCAAACCUCAUAAAGAACAUGAGUUAGAACGAAUCAAUAGCACCAAACAAAAGAGUUUCUUAUAGUGAGCCAAACAACCCGACUGAGACUCGACCAAUCAAUUUGAAGAAUUUGUUUUUAUUCAAAACAAUGCUGUUUCGAUUUUUUUUUGAAAAUUUAUUUAGGUUGACUUGCUGACCUAGAAGAGAGGAGAAAUUUGAAUCUCACUACAAAAAUGUGAGCCAAAGUGUAAAUGAGCGUAAUAAUUUUUCGGAAAACUCAGGUGAAUGUACUCGAAAGUACAAGAGAGAGGAAGAAAAUGAAUUGCAAUGUUAAGAUAUCACAAUGAAGAAACCAAUGGCUGCGAGGAAGUAGACUUUGAUGCCAUGAAGUUUGCUGAUUGUAAAGUGGGCUGACAAUAGGCACUUCUGGCAUUCUCACAAUUUAUUUCCAUCUUACCGAACUUCCUAUCUAGUUCAUCAUGUUCAACCGCAUCCUGAACAUAAAAAGACAAAGCAUUUACGUUGUCAAUAAGAUUCAGCAUAUAUAGCUUAGUUGGAAAGCUACUCCAUUAUGUAAUAAAAAAAUCAAAUUAUGCCUAGACAAUUUGAAUCCAUAUCAUUUCAAUUUUAUUUGGCUCCGAACACCACUUCCUCUGCCAGACAUGUUAGCCAACCGAUUGGACAAAGGCCAUUGAGGAAAAAUGUAACUUGACAUCGAAAACCAUAUAAUCCAAGAUGCUUAGAAGUGCUAGAAAGCAAUAUAAUUUUUUUUUUGAAAUUUCACAGAAUAAUUUAAGCUUUUUUUACUGAAUUAAUUUUUUAAUUUGAUAUCAGGUCCAAAUGAUCAGGAAUUUAUAUCUGAGUAUUUCUAUUCUAUCUAAUAAAAUUAAACAUAAAAUAGUGGUUAUACAAGUUUAAAAAUUAAUAUAAAAUUAUUCUUGAAAUUCACCGCUCGCAAACUAUUUCUUUAACUGAAGCAGAGAAACGAGACAACGGAUUUUAAACAACUGCAGUAUAAUGAUGUGGGAAACAUUAAGAGAACAAAUACAUACCUUAACAGAAUAGUGGCGAAAUGUAGGAAGAAAACGUAUCUUGCAGUACUCAUUGAACAUUAUAGUAAGCAGUAAGAGUGGAAUUGUGGCUAUGGAAGCAGAAGGUUUUGACUUCAGCCCAAAAAGACCAAUCAUGGUGAUUUGCAUAAGAAUGAUUCCGACGAAUAUGUAAUGAUGAACGUAUGGCCAAUACUGUCCGCAUGUAUCAUAACCAGUUUCGUAAACAUCUUCAAUCUGCUAACCAUGUUGGAAAAAAAUCCUUGAUAAGCAAGCGAAUCGACCAUACAAAGGCAAGGAAAGAAAUCAGAAACUUAACCUGGUUGACAUAUACAACGUAGCCUAGAUAGAAGUAGCCAACAAGAAAUGGAAGCAGCAAAGGAGCGACAACUGCAUAUACCAUACCAAUGAUUAUUGAUAGGGAGACUGAAGGGAUGAUUCUAAAAUAGAGCAAUGAAUAGAGGUAAGGAUUUUCCUCGUCUCCUGAUCCGCCAACUGUGUGUGAUUUCACGGAAUCCCAAACAAGCAAGCCCGGCUGAAGGAUUUCCAAAGAAAAUCCUGACAACCCAUCUGUUAAGAUGUAUGUCACGAAAAAAUCAGCCUGCAAAAAAGAACAAAUUAAUUAGCAGUCAAGCGGAGCCUGCAAGUUCAUAAAUUCAUAUUAGCUAAGAAUUGUUUGCAUCAUAUGCCAGGGAAAAAGAGAAUUGUGGUAGAUAGCAUAUAAACUCAAGAAAAAGCUUCAAAUAAUACACCAACUAAUUAGAUUAAGGCAACCUAGCUUACUUGAGAAGAGACAGCACUGGCAAGAUGACUAGGAAUACUCCUAGGGUGGGUAAAAUACUCUCCAAGUUCAUCCAGUAGGGAUCCUGAUAUCAAGCUCAAAAAGAAUACAUUUCCCACGAGAAAGUAGAAAACCAUAUUGCAAGCUUUAAUCUCCUCCUUGCUCUUCGAAAUCGAACCGCCUAAUUUAGCCAUGCCAAGCAUUGCAAAGGGAACAACAUAUAUAAAGCCUUUGAGAAUGGCACUUGGAAGAUACCCUGUAAUAAUGGAGCUUAAUCCUGGUCUAUUGCAGAACAAGAACAAUAUGUCAGACAGUUAUACAGAACUCUGAGAAAGAGUUCAAACAUUCGAUUAGUAUUCUGUUAAGUGAUUGCUUAAAGUUUAUAAUAGAUGCGAAAACUAAUUAUUUCUUAAAGCAUAAUGCCAAAAAAACAAAAUUGGAAUUGGAAUCCUCACAUUAGCUCCAUAGCCAUGGCUGGGGGGAACCAUUUCUUAAGUUUCUCAAGUUUAGCUAUUCCUUGAACAGCUGUAACUGGGACUGCAAAGAAAAUUGUGAGGAGAGAUGCUGCAACAACGACCCCGAUUUUGCAAAGUGGCAAAAUCUUAAAGGGAAUUUCCAGACUCCUCCAAGAUACAUCCCUUGGUUCUGGAGCCAUUUCCGUGAUCCAUAUGAGUGGAUGUGAGUGCUGUUGAGUUUGGGAAACUAAUGCUGCACCACGUCGGGACUUGAAUGUAACAAAGGCAACAGGCAACUCCUAGAAAAAUGAAAACAACUCAAGUUUUAAUGGUUAACUUAUAACCAAAUGUGAGACAUGAAGCAUGUAAACUUUUCAUGAAUCGCAUUUAUGAUAUAUCGCAGUUAAAGAUGCAAAGUAUAACGCAAGGCAAAAACAAGGCAUGUAUCUGCAUGGCUGUUCCGAAUACCAUUAUAAAUUGAGCUUCUAGAAGUCCCCACAGUUAAUACUUGACAGAUGAAACAUAUUCCAACUUCAAACUUGAUACAAACAUCCAUGUAAAUUUCUCUGAAGUUACCUUUCCUUUCAGCAUACUUUCGUUCAGUAAUUGACGAAUCUUACGAACAAUUUCUUGCUGCUUUUCCUUAAACAAAGCUAUUUUCGCAUCAUCUUCUUGAGAUACAUCUAAGAGUAAGCUUUCCUUGUCGCGUUUCUUAACUGUUAGCUUUCCUCUCAGGUCCUCUAUCUUUCUCAAAACAUAUUUUGCUUGGUGCUGCAUACAACAAUAUCAGAGGAACCAAGCAGAAUUGAGAUGAAGAAUGUCUUACAAUAAGCAAAGACAACUAAAAAUCUUUCAGCGUGCAAUAACGAGCAUGCUCACUUGAAAGAACUUAAAUCAUUAAAAGCAUGGGUUGAUGAAAAUGUUAUUGAUAGUGCAUAACAUUGGUCACUUUUCAAUACCUUCUAUGGCAAACUUUGAGAGAAAUUUAGAAACAUUCUACCACGUAGGAAAAACUUUGCGCAUUGCAUACCUCAGCCUAAAUUCAUAGUUUCAGUUGCAUAAAUGCCAUAGGGGGCAGAAAAAAUAGAAACUCCCCUGAGCUACCAGAGCUUGACAUCUAAUAUCAAGUGUCAAGCAAACCUCAAAGGAUAUCAUGUUUCCAUAGUAAUGUAUUUUUUACAAGAGCUAUAUCGUGACAUUCUAAGGCAUAUAAUAUCUUUGAUUAUCAUACAAAGCAUAUAUAAUAACAUAGAGCAGCUAAUCUGCCGAGACUGAGAAUGAAAUAGAGCCAACGCAUUAGUGUACGAAAUUCCAAGUUGUUCAAACCUUACCAACAGAUCUUCGAUAUCUUUUCCAUCAUAUAUCAUCUGAUAAGAACAGUAACUGUUAGGAUGAUGUUUAGAGAAGAAGUGAUCAACAGAGCACCCAUAAGCGUUGUGUUCAUUGCAGAAGGGAACUUGCCGAACAAGAACAUUAAACCGAUCAGGUUGAUGCCUUAGGUUCCGAAGUAGUCGGAUCCGUUUAACCGAAAUUCCGUCAUAUUCCUGAAGAUGAAAUGAUGCAGGAAAACACCUCAAAUUUCAACUUAUCUUGAAUGUAAAAGACCAAGAAGCAACGUUAUUAUCGCAAUGAUCGAUCCACCAUUACAACCUGGAUAGUUCUGUCGAUGAUAAACAAUAACAUGCAAUAAGUGGAUUUAAAAAAAGUAGUAUUCUACAUUUGUGAAUAAAUAAACCGAAAAACUAACCUUGUACAGCAGAUAUAAUCCAUAAAAUGAUAUCAACCACAAGCACGUAAAAUGCACCCAAAGCCUGUGGAAUGAAGAAAACUUGGUAAAUCAAUUGAGUAUUUGAGUUAUAAAGCAGUCAAUUGGAAGAUAAGCUUAACACUAAAUGCCAGUACUGCUAUUCAUAUUCAAACACAUGUAACCAGUAAAAAUUUAGACAACAUGAAGUAUCUUGUAUGCAUACUUGAAUGCUUCAUAUCUAAAUCGUAAAAAACGUAUCAAUUCUUAGAAAUUCAGCAUGGUGAAAGAAGUUCAUUGAAUUUGCAAGAUGACAGGUUUCUUUCUUUCUUUCUUUUUCCCCCUGCAGAAACAGCAGUUUGUAUACAAACUAAUAGUUGCUUAGACAGACUUCAAGUUUUAGACAAACAAUAUGCAAAGUAGCAAAAUAUUCUACCCUCUCAAACCUGAACAACCAUAAGCAAGAUGGGAAACCCAACCUGUUCGAACCUGCACUAAUAUUUGAUAUUGUGAAAGGAUCCAUGGAAUGGUAGAUGCUAGAUUGUUCAUCUUGGUCACCGAAAUUGAUUGGCAGAAGUACCACUAAUCCAAUAAGAGAACAAAUUCCAAAGAAAUAUAUCCUGCAAAGCAAACCAUAAUUAGAAAAUGAGUAAUUUUCAAGAGGAUAUUCAAGAAAUAGAUCCUCAUUCUUGGAAAACAAAAACUUCAGAAUUCAUUCCAAUAUGAUAAUAUGCAUAAAAACCAAAAUAAAUAAAUGUGAAAGGGUGCUCCAUAAGAUCGAAAGAUUGCUCUAAAAUCUUUCCUGUUUAGUUUAUUUAGUAUAAAUCAGAAUUUUUCCAAGUUUUCUUAUCUUGAUUCUGUCAAGAAAGUACUGAAAUUUUUCCCAGCACUUUCUAAUUACUUCUCAUGCCAAUUCAAGAACAAAAAUUUUCAAAUUUGUCAAGAACAUAAUCGAGUCCAAGAAACAUUACAGACUGGAAUUCAUGGGCAAAGUUAAAAACACAAAAGAAGCAAACUAACCCAAAUUUGAAGAGUCUGAUAAUGAUGAGAGCAUCAAGGCCACCAAUAUCAAGAACUUCAUCUUCAGUGACUCGAAAAGCACGAAGAAUCCAAGCAACUGAAGGGAGAAAGCGGGAAAGAGUGAAAGACUGCUCAAAGUGAACAUGGUGUCGUUUGGAGAGGCGACGAGCGUAGUAAAUGGAGGCAUUAGAAGGUUGUUUCUUGAAAAUGGAGAAGAGGGAGAGAACUAUGAAUGCCAAGCCAAAGUUAAUGGCUGCCGAUGCAGUAAGACUUUCUGGAUUCAUUUUGAUCACUCAGAUUCAGACUCACUACCAAUGGCCAGAAUGGUUCUUAAGGAAGGGAUGGGGAGAGAGGAAAGAGUGCAAGGUUUGGGUUGUACGUGGCAUGGAUGCAUGCAAAGGAGGCAAAGUGGAUGGGGAUGAGCGUGCGCAACUGCCUUAGCUUGCAUGAAUUUUAUUAGUUUUGAGAUUUUGUGUUAAUUAAGUUUGGAAUUAUUAUGAGAAAAAACCUAAAAGAAAAUAUUAUGAGAAAAAACCACGUGUAUUAAAUUUAGUUUAGCUUAGUAGGUUGAUUUAAGAAACUUAUAAUUAGGAACCUGUUUCUGAGUUUUAAAUUGAAUUAACUUGUUAGUUUUUAAAUUUUUAUUGAUUUAGUUAACUAAUUAAAUUCGUUAAAAUCAACUUUGAUAAUUUUUUUAAAAAAUAAAAUGAUAUUUUUUUACUUAAUUGUUUAAUUCGAGUUUAGUGAUUGUGUUUAAUUUAAUAUUAUUUUAAAUAAAAUAAUUAUCUUUUUUUCUGGUCAAAAUUGUCAUCGUUUGUUUUUUUAUUUCUUAAAAUAAAAAAAAUGAAAAUGAAAUGAAAAAGAAUAUAAAAUGGAUGAAAAGAAUGAAGUUAUAAAUGAAUAGAGAAAUAAUGUUUAAAUAAUAAUUUAUAAAACUACAAGCACCAGUAAAUUAUAAGGGACAAAAUUAUAAUUAACUCUAAGAUUUAUUCAUUUUCUUUACUGCUUUUUUUGUUAUUCGAUGCCAUUUAAUGCUGAUGGGCUAAAAAACAUGUUUGGGCUCAAUUGAUCUGGCAAGAUAGCCCACAUAAACUCUACAAAGUGGACGAUGAGGCCCAUAAUAAUUUCUAUAUGGGCCGUAAUGACCCAAGAAAUUGAGGUGGCUUAAGAAGUUAAAAUUGGUGGACCAGAGAUCACGCGUGCUGCUGCUGUGAUGCUCGUCCGUUUAUAUUAAAAUAAUCCUUAUCAAAUGCUACAUAUUUUUCAACUUUUUCUUAUUUUUUUUAUAUAGUUAAAUAACUCAGAACUUUUCUGAGUUUUGGAUUUUUUAAUAUCUUAAACUAUUUUUUAAAUAAAACUCAGGCUUCUCUGUCUAAGUUUUCGUCCACUCAUUUUUAAAAAAAUUUUAAAUUGCAUGUUUUUAUAUAUAUGUCAUGUUUCUAAACUAUCAUCUACAAUAAUAAAAUUUAAUAAAAAUAUCUUUUAUUAAAAAUAAUUUAAAAUAUUCAAAUAUUCAAAUAGAUUACUAGCUACCAGGUUUUUCUUCUUCUUUUUUCAUCAUAAAAUACAAGUAUAUAAACGUUAAAAUAAAUAUAAAAUUUUAUUUUUAUUUAUUUUAACGUUGAAACUUAUCACUCACACUAAAAAUAUAUAUUUAUAAAAAAAUUACUCUUUUUUUAUGUGAAAUUGAAUAUUUGAUAAUAUUUAAGGAGUAUAUUUACUUUCCACCAUGCCUUCAAAGGUAUUUGACUUGGUAGAAAGCUAUAUAAAAUUAAAUUGUCAUCAUAGCAUGAUGUAAUGGAUUAAAGAAAAUGAAAAACUUAUUUCUUAGUUAACCCAAAAUUUUGAUUAGUAUUCUAACAAAUUAAAAAUAAAAAUAACUCGUUUUAGGGUAGACUUUGCUUGAUCUUGUGACACACGGGUUAACGUUGACCAGUCCAUCACCGAGCCUCAGCCUGGGUCAGUUCUGACGACGAUGCUCUCCAUAGGCAACCACAACUGCAAGGGAGUGGCUUGACCUGGAUCCCACAGAGGCAAAAGUGGAUAAGGAGAAGAACAAAGGGAUGGCAGGGCAGCCAUGAAGGAAAUCUUUGGAGCUUUUAAAUGCAAUUUCGAGACAAGCAAUGUAAAACAGACCGGAAACUGUGUUGUUGUUUUCUCAGUUGACUUGGUCUCCUCUAACCUCAUUAAAUUUUACCAGGAAAAAAAGAAAAAAGAAAUAAGAAACUUACCGGAAACAGCAGCGGCCUUUAACGCAUCAGGGAAGAAGUCAGAACCCUUGACACCGACCCUUUAGAUACCCUUCUCCACAACACUCCAAACAAGAAAUUAAUCUCCAAUCCCUUCACACUCACCAACUAGAUAUUUUCGCCUAUAUUUCGACGGUUGUCCAAAAUGUAAAGGAACACGACAAGUAGAUGAAACCAAGAAACACUAGUGUUCCAGGUCCUCGGUCUUUGUUAACGUAUAUUACUUGUAGAUCCCGUCCAAGAAGAAUUUAACCAUGGAGGUGGAAACUUCUUUUGUGGAAUUUUCAGUCAGUCUUCGCAGUUCUUGAUUCUCUUCUUCAGGUUCAUAGUCUUAUUCGUUUCUUUUACCUCUGGAUUAUGAAUUUUCUUGCUUUUGAAUUCUUGUUCUAGUACAUAAGACUUGCUGUGUACACGUUUGUGUGUGUAAAUAUAUAGACAACCACGUGUGUGUGUGUGUGUGUAUCUUGUUGUUUUCAGGCUCAGUUUCUGUUCAGUUCUUUUGAUUUCUUAAUACCUACACACUUCCUCUGUCAACUUCUGUAGAUUUCUUGAGUUUUGGUUGGUCACUUCUAUAAUUACAACCCUUAAAUACUCUUUCUCCACAUACUUGAUACGAUAAAGAAAUGGAAAAUCCUGAUAGCAGAAGCAUUUCUGAGAUUGAAUCAGAGCAACAAGCCUCAACAGAAGAGGUGGUAUCACUUGCUAAGAACUCAGAAUUCGAUAGAGAAAUAUUUACUGAAUUUGCAGUUCUACUAGACAAGUUCACACCGGUUCUUGUAGCAAUAAAGGAUAAUGAGAAACUCAUGGACAGACCGCCAGUCAAAAAGGGAGUUGAAUCCAUAGAGAAAGAGCUUAAUCGAGCUAAUAAAUUAAUUGAAGGAGCUUGUUCAAGAUCACCCAUCAAGCAAAUGAGGUUGUUACUCAAGAACUUGGGAGAUCAUUAGGCCUUGUGCUUUUUGCAAGCAUUGAUGCAUCCACAGAAGUUAAACAAGAUAUUGCAGCAUUGCACAGAGAAUUGAUGAAUGUGAAGUUUGAUAUCAGUUUUACACCAAGUCCAAGUCCAAGUCUCGGCUCUAGCCCUUGUGUAAUUCAUGGUCAAUCCGGGUUCGUAAGUGAGCAGGGCUCUUUUAUUAAUGAAAUUGAGGAAAAAGAUUAGUCUUAGCAUUGAUGAUGUAGUGUUACAACUCAAGUAUGGUAAUGAUGAAGAAUUCAGGCUUGCACUUUUGGUCUUAAGUGAUUUUAUUAGGGAUCAGGUAAUUGAUAAAGAGUGGAUCCAUGAAGAAGAUAUUAUUCCAAUUCUGUUUAAUCGGCUAGGCUCGAGCAAGCCUCACAACAGGUUAACUAUCAUCCAGAUACUGAGAAUUCUCGCCUUGGACAAUGAUGAAAACAAGGUGAAUCAUAUGAGAAAUGUCUUAAGUUUUCUACAUAAUUUUGGUUGCAAGUUUAAGAAUUUCUACUUUGUAGCCAUCUCACAUUGUCUGGUAAUCUGCAGGAGAAAAUGACAGAUGGAGUCUGCUUGUCAGGGUUGGUGAAAUCUUUGGCACGUGAUGCCGAUGAAGGGAGGGAAGCUAUAGGUCUGUUGUCAGAACUCUCAGAUAUUUCUGCAGUUAGGCGACGAAUUGGAAGAAUUCAAGGAUGUAUUGUUAUGCUAGUCACCAUGCUUAAUGGGGAUGAUCCAACUGCUUCUCACGAUGCAGCAAAGUUGUUGAUUGCACUGUCAAGCAAUACUCAAAAUGUGCUUCAUAUGGCUGAGGCUGGUUACGUCAAACCUCUAGUUCGUUGCCUGAAGGAAGGUAAUAUUAAAGCUUCCUUUCGGUUAAUGCAUGUUCUGUAGCAUAGUUUUCGUGUUCAGGACUGUGGAUGUAUUUGAUGUUGUUUGAUGUGCCUUUUGAGUGAAAAGGCAUUUGGGAUUUUUGCGAGUUGUGUGAAUUCUCUAUUGAAAAUCGAUAUGAAGUCUGAACUUGAUUGCUACCAAUUUUUUUCCUUUCAAGUCCCUUGUUGUCUAAAUAUAAUCAUCUUUUUUUUAUAUAGGCUCUGAUAUGAGCAAGAUCCUCAUGGCAACAGCAGUUUCAAGGAUGGAGCUCACAGAUCAGUGCAGAGCCUCCCUUGGUGAAGAUGGGGCAGUUGAACCCCUUGUCAAGAUGUUUAAAUCUGGAAAACUUGAAGCCAAGUUAUCUGCUUUAAAUGCAUUACAAAAUUUGUCAAACUUGACAGAAAAUAUAAAACGUUUGAUCAGUUCAGGUAUUGUAUCACCCCUGCUCCAGCUACUGUUCUCCGUGACAUCUGUCCUUAUGACACUCAGGGAGCCAGCUUCUGCAAUACUUGCAAGGAUUGCUCAAUCAGAAAAUAUUCUGGUUAAACAAGACGUGGCCCAGCAGAUGCUCUCGCUUUUGAAUCUUUCCAGUCCAGCGAUUCAGUUUAAUCUUUUGCAAGCUCUAAACAGUAUCGCAUCCCACUCUAGUGCAUCCAAAGUAAGAAGAAAAAUGAAGGAAAAUUGUGCAGUCCAGCUUCUUUUACCCUUUCUGACAGAAAGCAACAUCAAAAUCAGAAGUGCUGCAUUAAAUUUGCUUUACACCCUUUCUAAAGAUUCACCAGAAGAGUUCAUGGAACAGCUUGGAGAAUCCUAUCUUAUCAACAUAGUCAAUAUCAUCUCAUCAUCAGCAUCUGAGAGUGAAAAAGCUGCCGCAAUCGGAAUAGUAAGCAAUCUUCCUGUUAGCAAUAAGAAAUCAACAGAAGUACUGAAAAAGUUACAUUUUCUGCCCAUUCUGAUCUCACUAAUGAGUUCAGGUGCAUCAACAUCAACAAAAACAUGGUUAGAAGAGAGCAUUGCAGGCGUCUUAUUCGCUUUACCAUUCCUUCUGAUAAGAAAUUGCAGCUUCUUUCAGCAGAACUAGGGGUGAUUCCUAUCCUUUUGAAGUUGCUAGCAAGCGAAUCAUCAGUAGCCAAGUGUAGAGCAGCGAUCUCACUCACACAACUAUCGCAGAACUCAGUAGCUCUUCGAAAGUCCAGAAAAUCGCGGUGGACAUGUAUGCCUCCUUCCGCAGACACUUUCUGCCAAGUCCAUGAUGGCUAUUGUGUCGUUAAAAGCACAUUUUGUUUGGUCAAGGCCGGUGCUGUCCCUCCACUGAUCCAAAUAUUGGAAGGUGAAGAGAGAGAAGCUGAUGAAGCUGUCCUCAACGCCCUCGCAACUCUCUUGCAAGAUGAAAUCUGGGAGAGUGGAAGCCUCUACAUGGCCAAAACGUCUGCUGUCCAAGCCAUAAUAAGAGUGUUGGAAUCAGGAACUGUAAAGGCUCAAGAAAAAGCACUAUGGAUAUUAGAGAGAAUUUUUAGCAUUGAAGAACACAGAUCACAACAUGGAGAAUCUGCUCAGGCGGUCCUCAUCGAUCUUGCACAAAAUGGCCAUCCAAGAUUGAAAUCCACAGUUGCAAAAGUAUUGGCACGGCUUCAGCUAUUGCAAGAACAAUCUAGUUACUUUUAAGCAGUGUUAUUAAAUCGAUCCGAGUUGGGUUUCAAAAAAAACCAAGCAACAGUUGAUUCAAUCAAACAUAGAUUACCGGGUAGAUCAACUCACAACUCUAUUAUAAAAAAAAGAAAAAAAAUUCAAAAUUAUGUUUUUUGAACUUGUUUUUUUUAUAAUUAAAAUAACAUUGCUUUAUUCAAUUCGGUUUAAUUCAUCCAACCCGAUUUAAAUAAUAAAUCAAGGUUUAAUACCUCUGUAUUAAAGAGAGAAUUUACAUGGUGUGAGUUGUCAAUUUUUUUAAUGAUUUUAUACACAUUAUUUUAUUCACUUGUAUUCCCUUGAUGUAUUUAGAUAAUUUUUUUUUGUAUGAAUGAAGCAAUUAUGUUUUUGAUACUAUAGAAAUUGUGUUUCUGAUUUCCGUAUUUGCAUGGCUGCCAUUCAUGGAAGUACUUCCAAAAUGCUAUGUCCAUGUCUUAUGGACAAAAUUAAAAAAAAAAUCUUAAGAAAUAAAUUUAUAGUUAUAAAUCCUGAUCUAACAGAUAAACUUGAUAUUUAAUUUAAUUUAGGUUUUAUUUUGAAUUAGAUAUUUUUAAAAAAUUAAAAUGAUUUUAUUUCAUAUAUCAAAUUCAAAACAAUGUGUUAAUUUGUGGAUUCAGAGUUAACCCAACGAAUCUACUUAUAGUUUAAUUUAUAAAUAUUCAAUAUUAUCACACACUCGAGUUCGAAUCCUGUAAAGUGUAAACCCAUCUCUAAUCUUCAAUACGACAUGUCGUUUGCAUAAGACAUUAGUAAAAUAGAAACAGUGUCGUUUAGACCCGCGCCAUCUUCCUCCUCUAUUUCACUAAGCAAAAACCCUAACUUUCUCUCUCUAUCUAAAAAUGCUCCGUCGAAACAUCCGAUUAAGAAGAGAGUAUUUGUACCGAAAAAGCUUAGAAGGCAAAGAACGUUUACUUUACGAGAAGAAACGCAAAAUCAAAGAAGCCCUAGCUGGUACCAAUCCUCUUCCCUUUUUUAUUAAUUAAUUUAAUAAAAAACAGAUUUUUUAAAUUAAUUUAAUAAUUUUUACAGAGGGAAAACCGAUUCCUACUGAGCUUCGAAACGAAGAAGCCGCUCUUCGUCAAGAAAUUGAUCUUGAAGAUGAAAACACCGCAAGUAAGCCUCCUUUAUAUAUAUAAUAUAUAUAUAUAUAAUUUCUUAUAUUUUUUUAGUUAAUUAUUUUAUUGUUUGCAUUAUUUUAGUACCGAGGAUCAUAUUGAUGACGAGUAUGCGAAAGCGACCGAACGAGACCCGAAAAUUUUAUUGACUACGUCGAGGGAUCCGAGCGCUCCUCUUACUCAGUUUGUUAAGGUAAUUUGUUAGGUUUACGCGUUGAAUUGUGUUGAAAAAAUUAACUAUGAAAUAUUAUGUUGUUUGAUUUGAUUCGAAUGGUUGGCGGAACCUUGCUCAGGAAUUGAAGUUUGUGUUUCCAAAUGCGGAACGAAUCAAUCGUGGUGGUCAGGUUAGUGAAUUAAUCUGUUAAGUUUAUGCUCGGAGCUGUGCUCCUCCCUUUCAUGGUGAGUCUGAUGUUUUUGUGGGAUGGAGCAGGGCAGCUACUGGUAUAACUAAUAAUUUCUCUUUCAAGAGACUGACUUGGGGUUAAGAAGAUGAUUUGGCAUUUGUGUGUUUCGCAUUUAAUGAUUUACGUAGAGGUGGUGAAGAAAUGUGUGGUUAAUAGAAUUUUGUUGUGUGUGUAUAGAGGAAGUUGAGUUUUGUUAAAGCCUGCGAGUCUAGAUUUUCUUGGCUGUGUAGGAGAUUGAUUCUGUUUGAUAUGUUAGUGACUUUUUUGAAAAAAUGCUCAUUUGCAGGUUAUAUCUGAGAUUAUUGAAAGUUGUCGGGCACAUGAUUAUACUGAUGUGAUUUUGGUGCAUGAGCAUCGUGGUGUGCCAGAUGUUUGGUUAUAUGCCAUCUACCAUUUGUCCAACUGCUUACUUUGAAUUGCUCAAUGUGGUAAGUAGUUUGGUUAUUCUAACAUUUUUUGGGAGUAUUCAUUGGGCUAAUGUUUUGGGGAAUUCUGUAUGCUGAUUAAGUGUCCUUAUUGUAGGUUACUAGACAUGACAUUAAGGACAAGAAAGCCAUCGGAACUAUGCCUGAGGCCCACCCACAUUUGAUUCUUAACAAUUUUAAAUCCAAGGUAUUAAUUUCUCAUUCCCUGAAUGUCUAUUCUUCAGUAUUGGAGUUUGACUUCUUCAUGUGCAACUUGUGGUCAUUUGAAGAUUUGAUAGACAAUUAGCAGCCUUGAGUUAGCUUGUUGCUUUUGAAAGAAAUGGAAAUUGUGCUAUUUAACCAGUACAUAACCAAUUCAAACAAUUGCUUUAUUACUUAAACGUUUUAACCUGUGGAUGGUUCCAUUGUGGAAUUUCUUUUGUUGAUAUUGACAGCUGGGAGAAAGAACAGGAAAUAUUCUAAAACAUCUUUUCCCUGUGCCGAAGCCAGAUACAAAACGCAUCAUUACUUUUGCAAAUCAAUCUGACUAUAUCUCCUUCAGGUUGGUUCCCUGUUCAAGUCCAUAAAAGAUUCUUGUUUCAAGCCAAAUGAGGACCAUUUGAAACAACUUCCAUGAUGUCUUAUUUUAUGCCAUUAUAUUGUAAUUGCAUGGGAUAUCCACCUUUGCUUGGAGUUGCUUGGGAUACCUGUCUUAAGUUCAGCUUGUUUAUGUUCGUGAAAGAGCUCCAAGUAGACCUCAUCAAAUAGCUUAUCUACAUUGUUCAUUUUCUAGCCCUGUUAGUGUAGAGGUUUGCUAUGAGAAAAUUCAUAGACAAUCUUAUGAAGCUGAAACAUCUCAAAGAAAAGGAAUUUAAGUGUUUUUGUGGAAAACAAUGUUUUUUUUUAUUUUUAAAUAAUUCUGUGAUGAUGCUUUAGUCUUAGCUUAGCAAAUGACAGGAGGCAGCAGUCAUAAGCAAUUUGCCUUCUGCUCUACUAGCUCUUACAUCACUUUGUGUUGUUGGUAAUAGCAAUGAUGUUUGAUGUUGGGAAAGUAUUCAAAUUUAUCAGAAAAUAUCCUGAGUUUACUAACAGAGUGUAUAUUUAAAGAUUGAAACUUUGAAAAAUAUUCUUGAAUUACUUGGCCAGCAACAUAACAUGUAUCAUGAUAAAAAAAGUAGAAAAAAAAAAAUUUGUAUUGUUACCAAACAUGGUCAACCUGGUUGCUGAAUAGGAAGAAUGUAUAUAUGCACAAACCAUUACCUGGAAUAUUAUUUUCCUGUCAUGUGUUUGGUUAUCUCAAGUCUGAACAUUUUCUUCCUGUUGGCUAUUGUGUUUUCUGUUUGCAAGCUGUUAAUUAGUGAAAUUCAUCAUCUUUUUUGUACUGAACUGAUCACCUUUUCUUUUUUUCUUCCUAUGCAAUAUGCUAUGGCUGAUUUUUUUUUAUUUGGUAUUGUUUAGGCAUCAUAUUUACGAAAAGCAUGGAGGCCCUAAGUCUGUUGAGCUCAAAGAAAUUGGUCCACGUUUCGAAAUGCGGCUUUAUCAGGUAUCUCUAAUAUCAAUUAGUUCAAUUUUUGACCGUGCGUAAGAUUUCUUGCCUCGAAGUUAGAAAUGGCUUCCGUGAUAUUCUAAUUUUAUUUUUCCGUGAUAGAGAAAUUGUAGACAUCUAGAAUCUGAUUGAUAUCAGUUAUUGGCAAAACAUUAUUACAUCACUUAUAUAGCCUCUGCAAUGCCUUCUGAUAUUAUUACUAAUCGUCAGUGUAAUUUUUGGAUUAUUGAUGUUUCUGUUUCUACAUUGGCUCUGCAGAUAAAGUUAGGGACAGUGGAUCAGACCGAAGCACAAAAUGAAUGGGUGCUCAGACCAUACAUGAACACAACAAAGAAACGGAAGUUUAUUGGAGAUUGACAUGAGCCUCAGGAACUAAUAUCGAACUUUGUACCUUCAUUUCUUCUAUGUCUUGGCAAUUUUGGUAUCAAAUAUAUGCACGAGCCGAUUUAUAUUUGCUCCUGUUGAAGUUAUUUUCCCAUCGAAUGAGUAGAUAUGUAUCCGUGCUCUCUCUCGAACACUUCAAGCCAUUAACCAAGACAAAUUUUCUACUGAAUUCAUUGAGAUUUUUGUAUUUCAGCAACAAAUGAUGAUCGUAUGGCAUGAAAAAUAGAAAAUAAAUGCCCUUGGCAAUAUUGAUCUGAAAAGGAGACCGGGAUGGUCAAUUUCCAGCACCGGGUAUGAUGGGAUGAUAUUCCUGAAUUCCAGGGCACAAGAAAUAAUGAAAGAGCGGGAAAAAAUCAACGAUGUUUCACAAAACGACUUCAAAUGACUGGCAGUGAUUUCAAUUCUUAGAAGAGUUUUCCGUGACUAGGUUAACUAGUUGAUAUGAAUAUUACAACAAAAUCCCUUUGCAAGCAAGAUUUCUCUUUUUUGCACUGUACAGUACAGAUAAACGACUCCACAGAGUGCCCUUCAUCUUCUUCCUAUCAGAUACACAUACUGCCAGAAAAGCUAAACAGUUACUUGCCAGUUGGCGUUACUCCUCGUCUCUAUCUGCAAGUUAUUGCUUACAACUUGGGCGAUCAAGUGGGGAAAGUAAAGGCUACUCCUCCAUGCUUGUUUCCCCGUUUGCACCACUUUUUGGUGGCAUGCCAUCUUCAUCAUUUGGGCAAGCUUCGCUCACCUUUUCCCCAUUCAAUUGGUUAUCAGGUUGCAAAUCCCCGUCUUCACCACUUGGAAUAUCAUCCAUCUCUUUUGAUUCCUUUGCCUGGUUGUCUUCACCACUUGGAAUAUCAUCAAUCUCUGUGGAUUCCUCUGCCUCGUUUUCAUCUGGUGUAUCAUUGAUUAUUGCGCCCUUUGCAGGAGCAGGUCCAUCAGAUGGAUACGCAAUGUAGUGCUCAUGCUGAUAGCCCAUCAUACGUGCCUGGAAUCAAGAUUAACCAUGACUUCAAUCACUGGAACUUUAUACAGCAGACUAAGAUAAAAUUUGCAAGUGGAUUUUAAUUGGCAGCCAACAACAAAGCGGAUGCACCGCAUCACAGGCUGGAAAAGGUUUCUUCAUCUUGCAAGAUCAAGCUACUUUAUGCACGUGACUUAGCAUAUUAUAAGCCCAAAUGUUUACAUUUGAAGUACUUAAACAUACUUUACCAAUAUUGCAAGCCUGUCACUGCUUUGUGCGGUACUUGGUGCAACUUGAAUGUACCUCACCAUCACCCAACAGAUGGGAGUGACAGUGCCAAUGUCUUGGAGGUAUUAACAAGAAUAAGCACGCCCUUUUAAGAAUAAUGCAGAAGAUUUUCUUAGGAGAAGAAAAUGAUCGGAUAUGAAAAGUACAAACCAAAGUGCUCAAAACCAAAAGCCAGAUUGAUAUCUCUGACAAUAAACUAUUAAAGUUCAGACCGGGUGAAAAUCUGAUAACUUUAAAAUAUCUGAACAAGACAAAGCCAAAGGUCUUGUCAAGUUGAUCCAUCACAAACUACAACUUGUUAGGCAAGAGUUGAUUCACACCGUGUGUGUUUGUGUGUGUGCACUGGCGUUUGCAGGUGUGUGUAAGCUUCAUCAGCCUAAAAUGCUUUAUUCUUUACUCUGCAAUAUGCACAACUUUCACCUAACAUGAGGCAGGUUGCCCUUCAUAUUUUAUUAAGGUAUCUUUAACAAAUCAUUUUCAUAAAGGAACUAAGCAAGGCAUUCUCCCAUUUACUUACCGGGCUGUGCUAGUUUUGGGUGUGUGGCCACAGUAUAAGUUUAGGUUUUAAGACAGCCAAAUUGUCAAGACUGUUCCUCAACUUAAUGAAUUGAAGAAUCAACCAUAAAACAAGACGUGAAAGGUAUAUGAAGCAAAGAGCUAUAUACCUGAUGCAAUUGAUUCAUUUUAUCCAUUACAAUGUGGCCCAUCUCCUCAACGCUGCUAACAAAAUAAGGAUGUCCAAUGUCUUCAACUUGCCGCUCUGUAUAUGUCGAAACUUCACCAAAAUUCAGCGCAAGGCGAUCAGGUCUCUGAAGCAAAUGUUGAAAUGUAGGCUGCAGUUCAUAACAUUGUUCAAAAAGAGAUCGGCGGCAAAAUACAUAUAGUCCAAGUCGGGCACGGGACAUGGCAACAACCAAUCUUCUAACAUCACGAAGGUGACCCACAAAGCGAGAACGCACUAGAGAGAGCAAAAUAAAAUCAUUUUGCUGUCCUUGAAACUUAUCAACAGUGGCAACCUGUACAUGAGCAUUGAUGAUGAUUAUAAUGAUAUUGAAUAAAUACAUACGUACGUGUAUAUAUAUAUAUGAAAGCCUGCUGCCUGAAUUGCAACAAUGGUGUUAAGAGUAACAAGAUGGCAUUGGUGCAACAAAAGAUGCCCCAUGGAUGGAGAAUUGGUCAUUCCAUGUGCACCAACUCACAUGUAUAGCUUUUAUUUGGCAUUCAAGCAGCUAGAUGAACCUCAUUCUAAGCAAAAGUAUAUAAAUAUGUGAAAAUCAACCUUUAGAAAAAUUACUCAUUUUUCAUGUCAUUAUGCCUAGUUAAUGUAAGAGAAGCAAUCAAGCAUCUUACCUUGCAGGGUGGGCCUAUAAAGUCAUAAGGGACGCAUCUUCUGUUGAUAACAUCACGAAUAAGAAGUUUUUGCCCAUUGUAAGUGGUCAAUAUGGAGAUCUUGUUUGCAGGAUAACCAAGCAAACGCAUGUAUAUAUAAACACUAACAAUGUAUUCAGCCUCUCCCUCAUUUUGAUAGAACCAGGGAGAAGGAGCAGUCUCACCUCUCCCAUGAUAAUCAGGCACGUCCACUAACUGGUAAUCAUAGGAGAACCCAGCAUUUGCAUUCUUAAAGAUAGCCCCCUCCUUUACAUAAGGAAGGUCUCCCAAAUCUCUGUAUCUCCAAUUGUAAAGCUUAGCUAUGCUUGGCCUGGCUCUACCCUGGGCAUUGAGCUCAAUAUAAGGAAUACCCAGCCGAACAAACCUAGUGAAUAAGCUCUGAUCCAUGUGGCUAUACUUCUGAAAAGCCAUGUUUUUCACAACAGGAGGCAACUGGUGAUGAUCACCAAUCAGUAUGCAGCGUUUAAGACGUGCGUGACCAUCCUCCUGCCUCUGAAGUAACAUUGGUAUGAAAGUUUCAAUCUCCAAUAUUUGGGCACUUUCUUCCAUCAGCAAGUUGUCAUACUUAAAACCCAACUGGAGGAAGUCCUUUCUCUUCAGAGCUGCAUGUGUACAGGUCAUUGCCACUAUCUUUGCCUGUUUUGUCAUUAGGUAAUUUGCUCGAUCAGCAGUUGAUUUGAGCAAUUCAAAAGCCCUACACUCUUCUAGUUCUUGGAACAUAGUCUUAAGAUGACGAAAGCACCCUUUUGCUGCCCGCAUGUCUUUCUCAAAUGAUUGACCAGUAAAAACUGGCUGAGGGGUGUUGGAGAAGAACUCCUUAAAAGGAAAACGGUCCUGGACAAGUGUUGGUUUAUCUUCGUUAUCCGCACAAGUAGCAAGGAAUUGCCCAACGUGAAUAUACAUGCAGUAACCAAAAGUAUCCAGCAGUUUCACAAGUAUAAGCUACAUCCUCAGGAAGUUGGAGAGAUCUUGCAAGCCUCUCCACUUCGCUAAGCAAUUCCAACCGUCGAACAAGCAUUGCAUUGACACGCCCUUGCCUACUGAAGUCAAGAUCAGUUGCUAGUUCUUGUUCACCUUGACCAAGUCGAAGAAGAUACCGUGCUGGCACAUCUCUCUAAGAAAACGAUGAAAACGUUCCAGGCAUUAAGGCAACAUAUACACGAAAUAAGCUUUUCUAGAUACAGAACAGGCUUUAAUAUCAAGAACACCAGUGAAUGCUCCAUAUCAAGAGUGCAAAACUCAAGGGAUCAUAUUCACAAUAACAACUAUCUAAAUUACUAGUCUUUAUGUCAAUAUCCACGUGAAUAUAUUUCAAACCUAAUACCUGCAUUAUCUUCUCAAACAGGUCAUUCAAGGCCUGGUUGGAAUGGGUGAUUAUUAAUGUUCUCUGGGACGGACAAUUAUGAUAUAGAACAUUCAUGAUUUGCACGGCUGUAUCAGUCUUUCCAGUACCAGGAGGCCCCACAACCAUGGUUAGUCCUGGCUGGAUACCAGACAUGAUCGCUCCAAUCUGCAUAAGAAAAACAAAUGCAAUCAUUCAAAUAGAAAGUAAAAGCAUGUUUCUUAUCCAUCAUUAUCCACUUCAAUGCUUGUCAACCUUGUAAGUGAAAAAAGAGACCAUGGUGCCAACAUUUAGAAGAAUCUGUUAGAUUAUAAACCCCCAAUGUAGACACAUAAAAGCUUAAGAAAAUGAUGGACGUCAAAAGCAACAAAAAGUUCAAUUAUCCAGUAAAUCACAAAUAGUUGAACUGUUUCUCAUUGCAGAAGUAAUGUGUUUGAAACUUGGAUUUGCACCCAUUUUUACAAACAAUAAAAAGCAAAGAGAGAAGAGAAACUAACAAAGGAUUCCACCCAUUAAAUAAAUACCGAAAGAUCCCACAGACUAUGUAAAUGAGUUGCCAUUCACCUGUGUCGAUGUAAAUCUGACUGAAUUCUGGUUUGGCUGAUCUUGAGGAUAAGGUCCUGGAUCAGGAGGAAUGUACGCCUCAACAAUAAGUUCUUCUUUUUCCCUACCAGAAUCCACCAUAUUGAAACCAUUUUUGGAAUCAAUAGUAGAUUUCUCAUUCCCUGGAAUUGCAUGAGUGUAGCCCUUCAAUUUUUCUGGAAGCCUAAUUCGAAAAGGAGGUCUUGGAUUCAAGUUAGCCGAACCAUCUGGAUUUACAAAACAAACCUGCAGAAAAGAAAGAUGAGUACGUUGUAAAUUUAUGUUUCUCUUUAGAAUGAACAUACUAGGGAAAAUCAGCAUUCACCACACACCAUCUUUUUAAGGCAUUAACCUCCUUAAAAUGUGUUUUAUUGUCUCUAAACAACAGAAAUUUAUGUGACUUAGAAAAUUUCCACCUGUAAAAGGCAUUGCCAUUGCAACCAUAUAGCUCAUGAAUGAUCCCACAAUCAAAAAUUUCGCUGUAGACUACAGAAAUGCUUAAAACUCAUGGAUAAUGAAGGACUACAAGAAUUAAUGUCUGAUUAUAGUCUUAAAUUAUAUUCAAUAUUUUUUUGCAGUACUAUAUUUGCUAAAGAGCAGCCAAAAGUAGCUUUUAUUUGGAAUCUAAUUACAUUUAUAUUCCAUAGGGCUUCAUGUAGUCUACUUUUCCUGUCAUUAUAGGGUAUAGAUUUUUCAAUUUUCUUAUAGGUUUGGUACAUAUAUAGAGCAUCAUAUUUACACAUUUAAAAACAAUUGUAUGAAUACUGACUGAUCAAAUAAAACAAAUUAAAGGGAACAGAAAAGGAAGAAAGCUACAAAACCUCAUUUGCACCUUAUGAUGAUAAUCAACUUAAUAAAGUGUUUGGAAGGAAGGGAGAUGACUCCCUGAUGUGGACAGCAAAAGAAGCAAGAAUGAUGACUUUUUAUAGGCAAGGGUAUUUCUGUAAUUUUCAUUUUAUAUGGGAAAUCUGAAAAAUUGUCUAAGUCUAGGUUAUUUUCUAUUUAGUAUUCUAUCGGUUCUAAAGUAACUAGCUUCAUCAGGUUUCCUAUUCCAAACAGGAAUAGUUAUGUUAGAGGUUCAGGAAUCCAUGUCCUUGUUGGAUUUGGACAGCUAAAACUCUAUAAAUAAGCAUGCAGUCUAUCAAUAUUUUAGAAUGCAAUGAUAUCAAAUAAUUUCCAUCAAAGCUUUGAUUGCAUGACUCAAUCUCUUCUUAGGAGCGACUCUUAAGAACCAUAGGUGUGACUCCUACAACCUUUAAUUUCCAUCAAAUCUUUGAUUGCAUGACUCAAUCUCUUCUUAGGAGCGACUCUUAAGAACCAUAGGUGUGACUCCUACAACCUAUCUACAUCCUUGUAUUCCUUCAUAAAUUCACAACAAUACAGCCCUAAACAACUGCUAAAAGUCAAGAUUCAGAAAAGCCCCUAAGCUGUCCUGCAUCACUUCCCCUAUCUCAGUAUGUUAGCAAGAGCCUAUAUAUGCAAAUAAAAGGGGAAAUAAAAACCAAAGUCCAAUCAUAGAAGCAAAGAAUAAGCAAUACGAACCUGGUGAUCUGGGAAACUCUCCUUUAAAUGGUCUGCAUCCAAGAAAGUAUCUUUGAAAUCUACUUUCUGAAGAUGAUCAGGCAUUUUGGUCCAUUGUGCUGCAGAAGGAUCCCCAUAGCCCAGAAAAAUGUUGUGCAACCAGUCAGGAACAAUACAAUAUUCAUUCAUAAGAUCUCUUAUAGAUUCUAAGAUUGCUUUGAAGUUAUUUUCCUUAGGUUUCCUCCUCAUCAGCACAUUAAAUGUCCCAUAAAUGUCUUCAGCACCCCUCUCUGCAAUAUCCGUGACAUCCAUGUGGUACUGGGCUGUAUCUAAAGCAACGGUUACAGUUCUAAGUUCACCUUUUGGUGGUUUCCACUCCUCCCUUUUAAUUCUUCCUGUGAAAUCAUUCAUGAGUGUUCCCUCCUCAUCACGGAUCUCAAUAAUUUCACAUCCCCGCACAUAUUGGAGGCCAAGCCUCUCUGGAACACUGGCCUUCUCAGCUUCCUCGGCACUUAGAGGCUCAAAUGAUGGGCGAACUGAAAGUAAGAAUAAAACAUCAUGCUCCUUCAGAGCAUUCCAUUCAGAUCUUAUUCGUGCUUUAUAACUCGAAAUGCUAAAAGUAAUUUUUGCUGUCACAGAUGAUGGCUUGACUUCACCAAUAUUUGGCUGUUUGACCUCGGUGAUCUUAAAUUCUUUUAUUGGCACAGCCAUUCUUGACCAACCACGAAAAGCAGUCUCUCCCUCAUUAUUAAUGUAUGGAAGGAGAUGUGGUGUGGCUUCCUGAAUAUCUUCACGAAUCUCAUAUGUUGAUUCAAGCCGGAAGAGAUUAAAAUUUCUUAAAAGGUAAUCAUGAAGUGUUAAAAACUGCAGAUUAAGUUUAGGAAGUGCCAGACAACCUUCUCCAGAAUAGUUAAUGCUAGGCACAACACUCUCAUCCCACAUAAUCUGUUCAUUUGGAUAAAGCGGAAGAGCAUUUAUUGCUUCUUUUUGAGACUGCUGUCUCUCAAAGAAGGAGACCAUGACUUCAAUAAGAAAAUCAACUCUUUCAGACCAGGGAUCUUCCGCGGAGACCAGUUUGAGCUGGUAAAAGAAGUUAAAAUGUCAGUGAGUAGAUGUCUACUUGUUCCAGUAUCAGCACACUUGCACAUUGAUCAAUGCAAAAACUAAAAUUCAAAAAGAUCUGAACUUUUCGCACUACAACAUCUACACUUCAGACUUGAACAGACAUGUGGCAACAAAAAAGCCAGCAAACUGACAGCUGAUUUUUGACAGGCUGUCUUUUAUAUACAAAAAGGCGUGGUGGGUUGAACAAGUUAAAACAUUCUCGUUAGACAUAACAUAGACAAAGAGUUCUUCUCCCUGUGAUUGAUUGUCUACCUCUGCAGCUUUUACAUUCGAUUUAUAGAAGGAAAAAAAAAAGUAUUAUGAUUAUCUAAGAAGUCAGUGGCACCCCCUUUUUUCUAUCUGAUUUGGCGUUAGAACUUUAUAUGUAUCGAACUUUUAGCAUUUUCCUUGCAUAUAUACUCCACUCAAUGAUAUUCUUAGUAUAUUAGCUAUCAAAAGUUUAGGACUUUGAUUUCAUGAAAAUAAUAAAGCUAUGAAGUUCUACUUGAGUUCCAAUUACCAAUUAAACAAGCAGCAAUUUACUUUAGGCAGUUACAAAUAAGUUUGAUUGAAUAUUAAUAGGCGCAUUGCACUAUAAGUUGCAAACAACUCUAUACCAUAGUAAAGACCAAUCAAAGUAAUAACAAAUGAGCAUACAUGGAAGCAUAACAUGAUGACAAUAACCAAUUAUGAAAUAACACUAGCAUGGAGUAGAAAAAUCAGCUGAGAUAAAAUGGAGAACAUUAACCUAGUUGGAGUAUCAUCCUUCACAUACCUUACAGCAAACCAAGUCCUUCAACUCUUCGGGAGAGAGCACAGACAAUUUCUUGGAGAGAUCAGCUCGCUUGUGGAUUGCACCAACGUUAGACAAUGCAAGUUCUCGCAGCUACAACCAAAGUGGGUUGUUUAUAAAAUUAAUACAAAGAAUAGAAAUCAAAAGAUAAUUAAUGUCACAAGAAAGAUCAACUAUAAAAAGCUGCAUCCAUUUGCAACAGACAGUAGUUAGAAUUUCAGCAGUUACAUAUGAAAUACCUUGGGAAUUUUCUUAAAGGCAAGGAGCUGGAAGGCUUGGAAACGCUCAUAAUGAGAUCGAACCACUUCAUCAUCUGUUAAUUGUGUGCCAUAAUAAUCAUUAAUCUCAAACCGCUCAUAGAACUGCAGCAAGUCAACCAGUUGAGCAAAGAGUUUCCCUUUUUCAUGUCUGUAGAGAGCACUUAAAUGACAUUUCGCAACAACAGCAACAUCAGCUACAAGAGGCCUCAGAUACCUAUACAUGGUAGAAAAUGAAGAAAAGGGAAAAUAAAAAACAUAGAAUGAAAUAAACUGGUGUAUGGAGAAUAUCAACAUCUUGAAAGCAUAAGAUGCACUUGUAAAGCAAGAUUGGUUUUGAAUUAGAAAAAUUCAAGACAUGAACUAUAUAAGAACCAGCCUGUAAUAAUAAAAAAACUUGAAGAAGAAAACAAAGCUAAGUGAAAAUGAAACAGAGAGAGAGAAAGAGGAUGAGAGAGAUGAAUAUACCUCCUUGUUGGCAGUUGACUUAACAGAUCAAUUAGAAACUCCAUAAACCUCUCACAAUACAAGACUGCAGCAUCAUCAAUUUCAUAUUCAUUAGCAGAGCUUUUCUGGGGAAAAACUUUGAAAUCAAGCACCUAAGAGAGGGAUAAAAACAUAAUAGGUUAGCUUUGAAACAUGUUCCAGGGGAAAAAAACAGAUACCGACUGCAUUGUGUUUUAAGGUAAGACUUUACAUCAAGAAACUCUUCAGUGAAAUUCCUCAAAAACCUCACUUCAAGCGAGGUUGACGGGUUGAAAACUUCUCCUCGUUUAGUUGCCUCUUCAGCCUCUUUUCUUAUGGUCUUUCUCCAUUUCUUAAUCAAUUUAUUAUUAAGACAAAGCUCCAUCUGCAACCAAAAGAAACAAAUUAUAGGCUUAGUAGGCUAAACGGCAUACAAGCAAGACUGUUAGCAAAAUAGGAUUACACAGAGCAUAAAAAUCUCACCUGAAAGCGGCCAUAUGACAAACUGUGCCAUGACUCAAAACUUGCUAAUCUGAGGACCGUCUGACUCACCAUUUCAUCUUCCAAACUCUAUGCGGCGAAGUUGUUAAAUGACACAAGAAGAAAAAUUAAAAUUAGAGUAUGAUCCACUAUUCCUCAACAGAACAAAUGAGCCAUUCCAAAAACAAAAGGAAAAAUGGCAUUCAAUAGAGAAGAUCUACAUGAUUUCUAGUGCACUUUGGUACUCAACUGCGACGCAAAUGAGCCAUUACAUGAUGCUACAUGGGGAUGCAUGGUAUGCCAAAUUCCAUCAAAACAAAAAAACCUACCAGAGGAAUUAUCAAAAUAAAAGGAAAGGGGAAAAAAAGAACGUGUAGGAAAGCAGCACACCUGAAAGGCAUUAAUCAUGAAAACUAGGUAAUUUGUCUUCUCUGCUGUACUCAACUCUCUCCCCUGAAACAGCAUUUAAAACAUCAUCAAUCAAUUUAACAUGGUAGUUCUGAAGCAUCACCUGCUUGUACAAAACAUCUCAUAUGAAAUUAAUUAAGAACAAAACCCAAAUAUAAUUACCAGCAGAAUUUGAAAUAAAAAUUGUAACACAGUAGACCUGUUUAUUAGAAUUUAAUUUUUAGUAUGUCCCUCCUGGCAAAGUUUUAACACUGGCAAAUUAUAUGGUCAAAUACUUAAAGAAAAGGUCACGAACCUCCUUCAGGUGAAGAACUCUAUCAAGAAAUCUUUUGAAGACAUCCUUCCGGUCAUAAAAGCAUGACCAAGCUGCCACAUUUUCUCGAAACUGCAAUUUACAGAGACAAUAUUCAUGAAAACAUUAAUUCUUUCAUCCAAUUAAAUUCAUACUUGAUAAUAAAAAAUAGAAAAAAAAAUACGGCAUGAUUGCUAUAACAAAAGAAUACACCAAAACCAAAAUUUCCUCUAAUCACAUCUUCCCCAACUUUCGUUCUUCAACCAUCAAGCACAACAGUAGCAAAUGAAAGAUACAAAAAUAAAUAAAUAAAAUGCAGGGUUUCACUAUGAACCCAAGUCCUCACUUGACAAAACCUAGUACAUCUUCUUGACUUCAGCUGACUCAAAUUUUCAAUUCAUCAAGCUUCCACUCUCAAAAAUUCCAUCUCAAGAUCAAGUUAAAUUAUACAAAUAUAACACUUCAAAUCAACUUAAGAAUUACCUCCCCGUUUCCAAUUUCUCAUAUAUUUAAACAAACAGAAAAAUACAAAAAACCCAUUAUUCCUUUCUCAUUUUCAGUUUCCACAGCUAGCCCCCAAAAAACCCUAAACUUCAUUACUAAUUCACAUCCAGCGAAACACACACAAGCAAUAAACCUUAAAUAAAUCACUAACCUUCUCAUUAAUCAUAAGAAUCAUAGACAUGACAUGCUCAAACGUUGCCGUUUCAGGAUCAAAAUUGGGCCAUAAAUAAUUCUCCAAAUACUGACUAACUUCCAAAAUCAUCACUCUCUGCAAAGGCACAGUCUUUCUCCCUUCUUUCACCUUCAACUCCGUCUCAUAUAUCUUCUUCACCAGUUCCGCAUCAAACCCCCUCCUCUCCUCCUCUUCCACCACCAUGUCUCCGCCAUCCGCGACAGCAGAAGUGGUCGUUUUGAGCCAGUUUGCGGAGGCAAUCUUGGUCAAUCUGUCGCGUUGAAUCUCGGAGAGAGUGAUUGAGCUGGGGAGAGUUGUUGAACCGGGUUUGGAAUCGGCUGAUUUGGUCUCGGUUCGGGUUGCAGAGAGGUCGAGUGGGUACUCGGCCACGUGGUGGCGCUUGAAAUCGUAAGCGCCGGUGCCGUAUACUUUCGUCAUUUCUUAAGUUACUGAGACGAGCGCGAAAUUUAGGUUUUUUUGUUUUCAAUUCAAAGGUGACAUUAGGGAUUUUCAGAGUAUACAGAGAGAGAGAGAGAGAGAGAUAAACCCUGGUGGAUUAGUGGCGGUGAGAUUUCAUAAAGGUAGAGAUGGGUAAUCGGGUUUUACUAUUGGGUAGUUCUUAUUAUGGGCCAUUUUGGGGUCUAGGGUUCGAAUAUAAUACUUGGGCUGGGCUUGUGCAUGCUUUCUUUUUUGUUUAUAGUAUUUGUUUGUUUUAUAGCUGUAAAAUUCAUACCGCCGUAGAACAACCGGAGGCUUGAUUAUUUGGAUUAAAGAAAAACUUGAAAAACAAAAAAAAUAGCUGAUCUCAUAAAAAAAAACCUUGGGUUAAAUUACUGAUUUGUUCGACUACUUGUACAGUCAGAUCUUGUAAAAAACUUUUUACUAAAAGGAACUUUUUUAAAUCAUAGACAAUUAGUAAUUAAAAAUAUAUAUAAGAUUCUAGAUUUUCAUCAGACAAUUAAACAAUACAAUUUAUUUUAGGUAAAAUAUAUUUAGGAUGCUAAUGUCUUUUCUUGAUGCAACUAAUCCCCGUACUUAAUCUCUAAGACUAUUUAGGAUUUUUAAUAACAAAAAUACUAGAUGGCAACUCUAUUUUUAUUUUUCACUGAAAAAAAUAAAAAUUCUUUGUUUGUUUAUAUUUGACAGAUAAAUACACAUUUCUAAAAAUAAACGAUCGCUGCGAUGCCAUGGACGUACGACAAUCGAUUUAAUUACAAGAACAAUUAACCAAUAAAAAUAGUGCAAACGGGACAAAAAAAAAUCCUAGGAAAACUUUCCCUUUUUCCAGGGAUAAUAAAAACUGAAAAAAAAAGUAUAAAAAGAAAUGUUUUUUUUAUAUAUAAAAAUGGAAAUUGUUAGUGAGAUGAGCUUGAAAACUCAAUUUCCAAAGAUAACUAUCCUUAUCUAACGGAAAUUCAAAAAACCAGACCUUAAAAUAAAUUUAGAUUUAAUUUUUGUAGAGUGGUAUUAAGUAUUAAUAUUAUUUUGAAUUAUUAAACUUUUUUUGUAGUGCAAUUAAAUAAAAAAAUUAUUGGAAUCUUGGAAGGUUUAUUAAAGAAAUUUUUUUAAGAAGCUAUAAAAUUUUAUGAAGAAUUGAUAUUUGAUAACAACAGUAUGAUCAAGUUUCAAGAAGUUAAACAAAUAAGUGAUUUACUUUAAAUAUUAUUUCAAUAUAUGGCUACUACUUUUAUUAAUUUAUAUAAGAGAAUGAUUUUGACUCUGCGAAGAGAAAAGUCGCCUUGUCUCAUACAGGAUUGUUUGUAGUGACUUUAAGCUACUUAUAGAGACAGCCGUAAGAAAAUAUAAGGAAUACAAGAGAUAAAAUAUAAAAAUCGCCAAUCAUCAUGAUAAAACAAAAACAAAAACAAAAACAAAAUUCCUCAAUAAUUUUCUUGCACCAUGCAUGAAUGUGUCUUGUUAUCGGAGGUUCGCUAUACAUUACUCUCAAGUUCUAACCAAAUCACCCUAAUUUUCUACUAAGAGUAUUAAUUGGACAAUUUUUGAAAAUCAGUAGAAACGAGAGCAAUUUUACACACAUGCACGCACUACUAGUAAUAAAAGCAUACAACCAUCACUGUGCACGCAUGUUACUCUCGUGAUGCUUUACAUGUUUAUUGGAUUUGAAUGAUGUUUAGUGGACAUGAGAUUAGUCGUGGUACGUGCAAGCUGACCCGGACACCCACAUAAAAAAAAACAUACAACCAUCUAGUAGUUAGUCUAGUAAUAAAAGCUUGAGAUCAAAAUAUUUGUUCUCUCUGAUGUUUCAGGUUUGAGCUAUGAUUGCUAAUGUGAUGUCACUAGAUGACUUAUAUAAUCACUAAUUUCAUGGCCUGUGAAAUUAUCGAGGUGCGUACAAACUGGUCCGGACACUCAAUAAUAAUAAAAAAAAAACACAUGAAGCAACAAAAUUAUGUAACAAAAGGAAAAAAAAAAAAAAGACAGCAGAUUAUAUAUGGCAUCAAUAUUAACAAAACACGAAAAUAUAUAUAGCAAGAUUAGCUAAGAAUUAUUCAUUUAUUUAAAGAAAACUACAAAAAGUUGUGUUUCUAGCAAGCAAUUUAUUUGGACUCACAGCAACAUUAUUAUCUUAUGUCAACCAGUCGAGUCUCUUUAUAUAAUUCUUGUUAUCAUUGCAGAAAUAGAUCCCGUCGUCUUCUGUCUUCCAGUAGCAGGAUUUAGUAUGACAACAUGUGCUUGAUUCCAUGCUAUCAGUGAAAACAUUCGCAAAUCGAUGCUUUUCGGCCCAUUUGAAAUCACAAUGAAAUAUAGUUUUGCCAAAGGUUGCGAGACCGAACUUGGAAGUUGAAGUCUCCUCCGAUAUAGAGAGUAUGGUUUCCAAGGUCAUUGUCCUGAGACCAGCAAUGAAGGCUCAGUGGGUUCUUAUUGCUGCUAAAGCCAUUGAUUAUAUGAACCCUAAACUUGAAGCAAAAAACUAAUUUAUUAUCAUUGAAGGGUGUUGGUUUGGACCCCCAUGCAAGAACAGGGCAAGAUAUUGCUAGAAUGAAAAGGAGAGGGAAGGAAGCGCUCAGGCUGGAAGAUGCCAUGCUUGCAGGUAUUUUGUGUAUGAGCCACUUCACGGUGCUGAAGUUUAUAUAGAAAAGUAAUGGUGGUGAGGAUAAGACACGUUUAUCAGCAAAAUCCAUCAUUUCUUUUUAAUUUUACACUUACCUUUCAUGGACGCCUUUUCAUUUGUAAUCUAGAAGAGGAAAACAUAAAUUAAGAUAAACACCAAUCAAAAAAACAAAAAAGAAGAAGAAUGAAAUGUAUAAUUAACAUAUAUAGCUUAAUACCAAACUUUUUUUUCCAAAUUAUUAAAAAUUAUUGAUGUUGACCAACCAUGUUUAAUUAGAAUUUAACCGGGUCAAUCGUAUCAUAAAAAACAUAAUCAAGUCAAUUAGAAUUCACAAAAUCAAUUGUUUUUGAAUUUAACUUGAAACUUGAUUCAAUUUAAAAAAUCAAUUGUUUGUGAAUUCAACUUGAACAAAUCAACAACUUAUACAUGUAUGCCUUUUCAUUUGCAUCAUAAAAUCUAAAAGAGGAAAACAUAAAUUAAGAUAAACACCAAUCAAAUAAACAAAAGAAAAAAAAAAAAAGUAUAAUUAAAAUAUAUAGUUAGAAAUCUUAACGCCAAACUUUUUUUUUCCAAAUUAUUAAAAAUCAUUGAUGUUGACUCAAUCAUAUUUAAAUAAAAUUUAACCAACAUGUCACAUAAAACAUAUCAGGUCAACUAGAAUUUACCAAGUUAAUUGUUUUCAAUUCAACUCAAAACUUGAUUCAAUUCAACUAUUGAAUGUAAACCUCUAAUUGAAAAAUUUCAUGGUGCUUGUAAAAUUCAAUGGAAAAUCUUAUCACGUUAAUUGAAUAAUAAGAAAUAAAAUAAAAAUAGAAGUAAGUACGUAGUUGGGAUGAGAUUUUUAAUUAUUAAAUAAUGACUUUUGACAUUAAAAAUGAAAAGGAGAUACAACUUUCAAGUCGUGAGGAUCCACUUAAAAUUUUUGGUGUUCGUUAAAUAAUGAAGAAUUUACUCGAUGAUGAAAUGAGUUGUAAAACCCCCACGUAAAUAUACCAAAAAUAAUAAGAUCUCAAAGUAAUGGAAACUCAGGAUAAAAAAUAAAUAAAUAAAUUUAAUAUAUAUGGAGGAGAUAAUUUCUAUAAAUAAAUUUAAAAGUGUUAUUGAAGUUAAAAUAAGAAUUAUAAAUUUUUAUUUAAAAUUUAUAACGUCAAUUGAACUAGUAACGAGUUUGAGUUUUGAUGGAUAUAAGAAUUUGAAGAAUUUAAAAUAAAGAAGUAUUUUAGAAUGAGAAAAUAAUUCCAAGAAAUUAUAAAAAGGAACUGCAUGAAAAGGAUGUUAGUGUAAACCCCAAUAUAAAUUAAUAACGUUAUCGUGAAAUCAAAAUAAGUCUGUAAACAAAAUAUAUGAUAAUAAAAUAAAAUAAAUAUAUUUUAAAAUAAAAAAAUAAUCCUAGAAAUUUAAUAAAAAAUUAAUACAAAGGAUGAAACAAGAAAUUUAAAUUUAGAUAUUGGGUUGGGUUUCCCAAUACACAGGGUUUAAAAACUCUACUCCUUCCUAGCUAUAUCUAGAGCGAAAGCUGCUGGAAAACUAGCUGAGAAAAGAGAAGAGAGAAAAGCCAAGUUUAACACCAUAAAAUUCCAGAGAGAAAGCAUGAUUUAGGCAUGGUAGAUCAGUGAUUAACAUAAUCAAUCACAAGAUUAAAAGAGGAAAAUCACAAUAGCACUGUCCAUAGAAUCCUAACUAAUUUCCCCAUCAGUCACCCCUCUUUAAUUCUCCUUGAUUAUGGAGGACUUUAACCUUCUGCUCUCUUCCUACGAGUAACAUAACAUGUUGGGCUUGCAAGUCCUUGAUAUCACGGGGCCGAGCGAGCGCUGCUAGCUAGUUCAUCCCGUCCAGUGCCGAAACCAGUUUGCCUGACAUUUUCUGAGAGCUUGUGUGAUUGAUCAUACAAGUAGGCCUUGCUUGUGACUCGUCAAAGUUUCAGCUGCUAACUAGUAGAAUUUUGCUACAUGAAUCAUUAAUUUCCUUAAUAAUGUUCUAUUUUGGGCCUUUGAGCAAUACCUUCAAUCACUUGUGAUUGCUCACCUUAUAUUUGUGUGUCCAUUUUACUCUCUAUAUUAUCUCGGACCGUAUCUCUUUUGUUGUUCUUAUUCGCAGCCUUAAAAUAUGUUCAUUUCUGCAGUCACCGGAGCAGCUACAGGCCAUUAUCUUAUAUUUUAUACUAACUCGACAGUAUAUAAUUCUUUUAAAUCAAAACUUAAAUCUGCAGGUCUCAACUGAUCUUCUAAUUAAUCCCUCGACUUAUUAAGCAAUGGUUGCUUGGCCCUGUGACAUUUCUUUAAAGUAAAAGUUUCUCGUGGUAAAUUAUUGCUAGUAAUGUAGCCGUCAGGUUUCCACACAUAUAUAGCCUUGUAAUAAACUUCACCAAAUUCGGCCCUCGCCAACUUCUCAGCCAUAUUUCUAUUACUUUCUUGGCUUUAUUUGCAUUUAUGAAGCUACCUGUGACCUCUCUUUUCAGGGAUAAAGCAACCACAUGCUUAUGCAUCAAACAAAAAGUGACUCUAACCUGAAGAUGUUACUGUAUCUUUGAAAGGUAAUCUCACUCUUCUUUUUCCUUUUUCUUUGUUUUCUUAAAGUUGCUAUCAGCUAAGCUAUGUACCUCACUAAUAAUUGAUUAGUUUCCCUCGUUGCCAAAGCAGGAUUAUAAAAAAGAAAAGAAGAUAACAGUUGAGAAUAUUAUUAAGAAAAUGGCUAAAAAGAGAAUAGCCUAGCAAGCAGAAGUUAAAGCUGAAAAGGAAAGAAAAAAGAGGAAGCAAUAAAGCUUUAGAAACCAGGAUUAUAUAUUAACCCAGUUGAUUAGGAAAUCAACUUUCAAUCCAAACUAAGGAAAAAAGCAUUCUCUUUUAAGCUCUUAUUUGGUAUUGUGUUUUAAAAAGAAAUCGGGUAAAAUUUUAAUUUUUUUUACUUAAAAUUAAUAUUUUUAAAGUUUUUGGAUUGUUUUGAUUUAUUAAUAUCAAAAAUAUAUUUUUAAAAAAAUUAAUUUAAUAUAUUUACAAGUAAAAAAUAUUUUAAAAAGUAACAACUACUGUACUUCAAACCAAACACCCCCCAGAAGAAAAUUAAGAAGCCUCAUAAUGAAAUGGACGUCUUGUUUUUGUUUAUUCUUUGGUUUUUAUGCUGCAAGUAAUUAAACAACAAUAACAUGAGCUUGAAAGUUGCUCCUUUUUUGAAAGAACCAAGAAAGAGUAACAAUAUCUUAUGAAUGGAUUUCUUUUAUAGCACAACCUGUAUUAAAUUUAAAAGGUUGCCUUAUUUAAUAGCGCAACACUUUAAAAUACAAAAAAAAAUAAUAUUAAUUAAAGUGGUGAUCUAUUAGAAUUAAUGCAGCCCUUGCAAAUACAAAAAACAUUAAAUUGGGUUGCGCUAUUGGAACACUUAAUAUAUAUUAAGGGUUAUGCUAUUUCUAGUAGUACAAUCCUUUAAAUUAUUUUUACACAGUUGAUUUCAUUUUCUGAUUUUUCUUCGUGUAGAGCCAAAGAUUGGCUAUAAGCCAAAUUUUACACAGUUGGCAUGCAUUAAAGAGAACCAUCGAUCGAGAUGAGAGGAUAAUAAUAAAACAAACAUUAUUUGAAAAGACAGAAAAAAGAAGAAAUUAACAUGGGAUAUUUCACGGGGAAUUUUGGCACUUAUACAAGGAUGUGUAGCAGAAUCAGGCUAAGUACAGAAUGUGACAUGCAUACAACUAAGGUCUGUCUUCUAGUUUUUUGCAAGCUCACAUGGUGCAUGCCAGGAUAACUUGCUUGCCCUAGCUAGACCUGCAAAAGCAAGCAAGAAGCCCAUGUACAUCUCCUGUAUCCUUUUAUCUUUUCCGGCAGAGCAGAAAGCUUGCAAACCUUGCCAUGGCGGCAUUGAGUAUUUUUGGACUGCUUACUCUCUUUAGCCUUGAAAAGGUUCUUUGUGACUGGAAACAAGGCAUGGAACAGCUCUCUGUAUAGAGGUCCACUGGUGUCUAGACCACGCUCCAUCAUCAGAGAAUCCAGGAUUGAAAUUUGUCCAGACUAGUGCGAACCAGCGACAAAGGAUUGCCAAUUGUCGGGGGGAGUCUUGAGGACCCAUGUUGAUCAAGUUUUUUUUCUUUCUUUCUUUCUUUAAUUAUUAUCGAUUUAUUUGUCUAAUUUUAAUUUGGCAGACAAAAAACUAAUAUUGUAUUUUGCAAAUUUGCCACGAUCACUUCCUGACUGAUCUUGUCUUGCAUCUAAUCUUUUUCAUGGAGCUUCAAGAAAUAAAGUUCAAUUGAAUUUUAAUGGUUGAUGUCUUAUUUUCUACUAGUUUUCAUGUAUCGAAAGUACUAAAUUUAUAUUUUUAAUUUGAUAAUUAAUAAAUUAUUGAUAUAAAAAAUAAUCCGAAAACAGAUUUCUAGACAGAUGAACAGCCAUUAAAAUUUUUAUUUUUAUGGAUUAGCUUGAAGUUUGAAUCUUUUAACAGAUAAAAGAUCAUAUGUGCCAUUAACCAUGGUGCUAUCCUCGUCAAGCUUACAAGUUCAAUGACUUGUGAAAUUAAAGACUGCUUCGAGGUAGUAAAUUGUUGGACGGUUGAAGCUUUUAAAAUUUAUCAUUUUAUUCCAUAUAUAUAUAUAUAUGUGUGUGUGUGUGUUAUAAAACUAGUCUGAUACAAGAUAAUUAAUUCAUGAUUUAGUUGACUCAAAUUAGUCAAAACUAAUAAAUUGAUAAAAGAAAAAACUAAAACUUAGUUGUUUAUUUUAUAAAUAAAAUAAGAAGUCCAAUUGACACAAUAAUUAAAGCACUUUUUAAAGUCAAAACUCAGAUAUAUAUAUAUAUAUAUAUAUAUAUAAUACCUUGAUUGUAUUUCUCUUUCUUUCCAAGCAAGUUUAUUAUAGAGUAUCUUAAUUUCUUUUUAAGAUGGCGGACACUUAUUUUUCAAGUCACUUAAGGCAUACGUACCCCAGAAGACCUCUAGCCUUAAUCCAGAGCUUGAUAAGUGAAUCAUAACCAUCAAAUUAUCAACGUUGACAAGUCCACAUCAUACCAUUUUAUAAGUUACAGUGGAAUUAUGGAUUCAUGAGCCCAUUAAUACAUAAAUUAUAUGAACAUUGGUAAGAGAUUUUUGGUUAACAAUGUCUGAAACGAAACCGCACUGCUAGCAGCCAUUGCAUUAGGAGUCUCAAGAGCUGUGACCUAGCUAUACCAAAAGAGAGGCAAAAAGGGUAAUCAGUGUCGGUGGGAGUCUACAAAACGUGCAAAAGUAAAGGCACUAACUUGUAAGGUGAUUCACAUUUAGGAAAAGUAACUUGGGUUUCAAGGACAAAUGGUGCAACUUUACCUUGGCUAAUCAAAUGUAAUUUGACAUAGCAAUUUAGGGUUCCUGAGAUUUUCAUAAUCUAGUUUUACUGGAAAAUGAUGCAAUUUGGUUCAAUGAUAGAGAGCAGGGAGGGACAAAUUUCUUGUAUGGAAGUUAUUGUGAGAUUAAUUUCUUGUUUUGUAGUGCCGAUAACUGUAUCCGCGUUAGUAAACAAAGCUUAAAUACAUCAUUCAAGUCUAAUCAAAUAAUUUUUUUUUUUUAUAAUUUAUUUAAAAAUCUAUAUAAUAAUAACAAUAAUACGAGAAACAAGUCCGCUUACCUACCAAAUUAAACCUCAACAAGUAUCUUGGGCCGUUUAUUACACAUCAAAAGUAAUCUGAUCCCUUUAAUUUUAAAUAUUUUAUCAUUUUGAUCAUAAUUUGCAGGGAAUUUGGAAUGACAAAUUACUCUUACUAAAAGUUAGUUAGCACCUAGCUACUAGUCAAGCUAAAAGAUACAAUGUCAUGACCACUUAAUUUAUGAUUGUCAAGCUUCGCUUCGUCUCAUGAAUAGGGGGAUUUGGAUAACCAUCGAACUUACGUCAAGCACACAGAUAUGCCCCAUGCAAAAUUGUCUUCUUGAUUUGAUCUGAUCUAAAUCCUAAGCUGAAGUCCAACUCAUUUUUAAACUCACCUGCAAAUUUUCAAACUUGGCCAUUUUUUUCCAAAGGGUCAGUUGAACUUGUCCAUAAAGAGGCACAUCUUGAAAGACAUGAAGCCUUGUAUAUUAAUUUUCGUAUGAAAUUCACCCUACGAAGCAGACAUUUUGAAAUUUGAAUUUCCCAGUGGGACACAAAUUCAAGAUAUUUGUUACAAUGUUUUAAUCACAUUUAACUUGGUAUUCUUUGAUUAGUAUUUCAUGAUAAAAAGGACAUGUAUGUAAAAGGGAUACAAAUAUAUUUGAUUGGGGAGACAAAAACAAAAAUAAAUGUCUCUAAAAUAAUUUUAGAGUGAAUUUAUAUCUUUUUAAAACUAAAAUGAAGAGAAAUAUGUUCAAUUUGAUCUCAUUUUUCUGAACAAUUGUUAACAAAAAUAAAGAGAAACAUGUUCAGUUUGAUCUCUUUUUUCUGAACAACCUUCAAAUAAAAUAGGCACGGGCCGGUGCCUUACAAGCAAAGAUUUUAUCAAUUGCUUCAGGGUCUCAUUUUUUUAUUUUCCUUAAUGGCACCAUGCUUUUUUCAAUGGAGAUAGAGGAAAGGAGCGUUUGUAAAUGGACCUUUAGGGCAAGAGCAGACCCCACCAAGCAUCCCCAUUUUGCCGACCAUUGCUUGUCUUUUGUAAAGUUCUACCGCCCAAUCCUGAUAUUGAUGGCUUCCCAGUCAACAGGUGACUGAUAUAAAACAGGAAAAAUUCUCUACAGUAUCUCUGUACAUAGAAUCCCAAUGCUACCCCUCAAACCUCUCUCCUUGUCCCAAGAAAUGGGGUCUCAUGGAUUUUCUUCAAAUACCAUCUGAGGAGAAUUCAGAGAAAAACUUGUGGAGAAGACUCCGUUAAGGGCCAUUGAUGAGUGUUGUAGCUAGGCAGCAGGGGACAAGGCCAUGCACUGGUAUGUGUUCAUGGCAUUCGUGUAUUUUGAAGAUAAUGAAGGGGGUAGUUAUGUCAUGAGAGAAAAGAUAGUGGGUUAGGGCAUCGAAUCACCAAUCCUAAUAAACAAGUCAGUGCCAUAUGCAGUAUUUCCGUGACACAUGGCAAUAGAAAAUACCUCUGAGUGAAGGUCAGCAUCAGACUCUCAUCUCAGCCUUGUUCAAAUUUGUUCUGCCAAAUGACCAUUGAGGUAAAACAAAAGGCCAGCCCCCUGAAAACCAAACGAAACUUAACAGGAAGAAUCUUUAGUUGUUUGGUUGUCAAGAAGGCUCACUUCUUCCUGUUGGAGUACAAUCUCCAAAAAAAUCCACAAGAAAGCUAGUUUCCUUCCUAGACUAGAUCUCCCCAUCUCUAAGAAAAGUAACUUAAAUUCCCAUCUAGAAUUCAUGGUGCUGGCUUUUCUUUGAAGAUGGUGCAAAGAAAGGUGCCCAACAAGCUUGGUAUUCAAGCUGAUCAUGUUAAAUCCGAGAAGCGGUUGGGGAACCUGAAACCAAGUUCUUGUCAGCAUCAGGAUGGCAAGAAUAGAGGACCUGAUAUGAAGAAGAAAGCGAAGAGGUCAAGAUCAAUCAAGAUUUCAGAUAUUGAGAGCUUGAAAUCAUCAUCACCUUUGAGGAAAGCCAUAUCACAGCCUGGAAAGCUGCCUCCUCUCAAUGGUACCACAACUGUAGCAGCACCACAGAAGCAGCUUAUGAUCAAAAUAACUGAUGGUUCACCGAAUUAUAUGAAGUCAACCAGUAGUUCAGAGGCAAGAAAGGAGCGUUCCCAGGUGAGUCCCUUGAAUACUCAAACAGGUUCAAAUGGUAAGAGCCUGCAUUACAGAAACUCUGGGAAUUCGAGAUUUAGUCCUGCUUCUGGUAGCAAACCAGCAAGAACUUUAUCAAAGACAUCUAGUUUGAAGCUGGUGAGGACUCCUAGUUUUAAGCCAACGAGAGGUACUGCGAAGAAAUGUUCUAGAGUAGCUCUUUGUGCUGAUGUGAGUACACAAAAAGCUACCUGUUCUUCAACCCUGAAGGAUUCGAAGUUUCCUGCGUACCUCAUGCUUAAUCCUGGGGGUACUGAAGCAGAGGGAACUUCAGUCAUGAAGGUCUGCCCAUACACCCACUGCUCUCUUAACGGUCAUCAUCACAAACCUGUAACUCCGCUGAGGUGCUUCUUGAAGGCAAGGAGGCGUUCGUUGAAGGUCCAGAAUAGUAUGAAAUUGGAGGAUUUAUCCCCACGCAGAGCCAGGUCAUCUGGCGAUGGAACAGAAGAAAUUCAUGGCGGACUGUUGGAUUUUUCUGAUGACAAACCUGUGAUACAAGAAGUUGGAAAGGAUUUCUUUAUUGAAAUCUACGCUAAAAAUACAGAAGAUGGGGCCUAUGAAACCGAAAAGAGGACAGAGAAUGAAGGCAAGACAGCAAAUGUUUUUUUGGGAGAACCUGAAGGACAGAUUAAUGAGUCCUGCUUUUACGCUGGCCAUGAAGCCGCGGCUGAACAAGACAACAGCAAUCACGUUUCUGAGAGCUCGUCAGAUGAAUCACAAGAAUCAGAGAUUGAUUUUGAGGAAAACUUUAGUGAUACCAAUGCAGCAGAGAUCAAUGUUGCAGUGGGUUUCCUCAGAGAAGAUGAAAAGCAUGGGGAUACAGACUGCUCAUUGACCUUCUCUGAAGGAGAAGCAANNNNNNNNNNNNNNNNNNNNNNNNNNNNNNNNNNNNNNNNNNNNNNNNNNNNNNNNNNNNNNNNNNNNNNNNNNNNNNNNNNNNNNNNNNNNNNNNNNNNUAGGCCUAAAUCACAAGACUCAUUCCUCGCAAUUGGUUUGAAGCUGACAUGUAAAGAUAAAAAUGCUGUUAGUCUUGGCGCUCUUCUUAAUAUUAUAAUAAAUAUUUUCGUGGAUCUUAAAGUUAUAGGAAUGAAAAUUUAACCUAAACCUGGUUGAAAACGAUAAGUGAGUUAUUUUUAAUCUACCUUCUCUAAUGGAUAAUGGAUAAAAUAAAAUCCUAUACUUGUAUAAAAAGAAUACAACUCAUGAGUAACCAUUGUCAUCCUCCUUCCAAGCUUUUAGUAACUGAAAAUAAUUUAAUACAAACAGAGUAGAGGCACAGUUAACUAUUAGAACAUUUAAGUGCGAUUAACAACAAAUUAGCAGCGAUUAAAUUUGUCUAGAAGGCAGACUUAAGAUUAAUGAUGUAUUACGUCAAGUACAAAUUCAUGAAAUUGAUCAGUACUUUGUAAUAUAAAGCCAGCCUUGAGGCCUUAACAGUUCGCGAUUCAGUUUUGGAUGGUAGAAGUCCCAACCACAAACAUAAACAGGGACAUAAUAGAGGCUUGAUUUUAUAUGGUUUGAGAUUUGCUACCAAAAAAAUAUUUGGCUUUAAAUACAAAAUCUCUCUAGUUGAGAAUCAAUCUUAUGGUUACAAAAUGGAUGGUAAGUCAGUAAGACUUUCCACAAUGAAUCAAGCUCCCAGCACCCAGGAAGAGACCAAAAAUUGCAGCACUUCCAACUGUGGUUUGCCCAAUAUACCUUACUUUCAAAAGUCCAGGAACCUGUAUGUUCAAAAAGCAAAAGUUAGAACCAUCAGGGAUAUCAGUCACCCAACUAGCGGCACAGUGAAAAAGUUAUUAUGUGUCUAUCCUUAAAUCCUUAACCUGUAUGGAGGACUUCAAUCAAAGAUGAACGAUAAAGGUGAUAAAGAAUCAAUAGAGGGAUAGAAAGGAAAACGACGGAGAGCUGACUUAGUUUUGAGAGCCUAGUAGACCCUGCAGCUUGAGUGCUGAAAUUUUUCUGUUCAUGACAAUUUCUAAGAGCCCUGAUUUCUUUUGAAUUCAAGAAGCACCCCCUUGUGUAUUUCAAGGAUAUAGCGAAUGGGUUCUAAAUAACCUAGUGAACUCAAGGUUGUCUACUUGUUGCAAGGAAAAUUCUCUCCUGACAAGCAAGACUCUGCACUAACAAAAACCUAAGCCUCCCAUGCUUGAGAGCCCCAUUGGAUUGCAAAGGCACCAAGAAUUAACAGCAGAAAAAACAAAGUACACAAAUAUUGCAUUACAUGAGCUAUUGAGAACUUCUCAAGGCUUGUAUCUACUAGCAACACUUGAAUGAAAGGACAAGGAGGUAUGACUUGGCAAAUUAAACUGCUGGAAACAUUCGUUCCUCUUGGAAAAUACAAAGCUACUAGAUUAAUAGACGACACCAAACAACAUAUGCAUACCAUACAUGCCAUUUCCACCAAAAAUCCUCGAUGUUCUGUCUUACAAUUGUACAACUAUACAUCUACAUGAACUCCUGAAGUAAAUUCCACAUCUCUUGCUAGUUGUGUCGGUAAAAAGUCUAGGAUUUGCAAUGACAAAAAUGGAAUACCAAAUUCUCUUCCUAAAUAGCCAAACUUUGACGCAAUGACAACAAAGUAAUGACCUUUUUCUGUAACAAAAGCUAUCAAAUACUCAAGAUGUCUGAUUUGAAUAUAGAAGAAAAACAAAGAAAAUCAAAGAAACCCUUGAAGGACAAUACUACAGUGGGAAGGAGAGAUUACCCUGUUCCUAAUAGCCUCAUAAGUCCCAUAAACAGCACCUACACAUAGAACACAAGCAAUCAUCAAAAACCCAUCAUUAAUUUGUUAAAAAAAAACAAAGAGAUUACAGAAUAGUAGUAGUUUGAUAAAGGAAAAAAUUUCACUCCCAUAAGAAAAGCAAACUUGAUCCUUUUAGUACCUAAAUAGAAUACUGGGGUUCAGGGUUUUUCUUUCUUUUGAGAGAGAGAAUGAGAGAUCUUAUAGGAACUUACCGACUGCGCCGCCAACAGCACCUCCAACUGCAACGCCAGCGGUGACUCGAGCCAAGCAGCUGUCCCUGGCCAUUUGUAAUCGUGAUUGAUGAGAGAGUGUUGGAGCCGGCGGUGAUGGUGAUGGCUUGGGGGUUUAGUUGUUGUUGAUUUGCCUUGUUAAAUAGUUUGGGCUCAAAGAUUAAAGUUGGCCCACGUUAAUGGCUUAAAUACUAAAAAAUAAAUAGUAUUAUUUCUAAUUUCUUUUUAUAAUUAAAAAUGUUGCUUUAAAAAAAAUUAAAAUAUUUGUGGUGCGAAAGUAAAACCCACUGCUCUAGGUAGCUCAAGCUGUGUUUGGUAUUAUAGUAAUUAUUAUGAUUGUGAUGUGAAAAAAAUUAUUUUAUAAAUAAAAAUUAGUUGAUAUUGUUUUGGAAAAAUAUAUGUUUUAAUUAAAACUGUAGUUAAAAUUAAAAUUGAACAAAAAAUAAUUUAAUAUAUUUGGUUAAGAAUGUUUUUCAAAUUGAGAGAUUAUAAAAUAACUAAAAAAGAUAUAUAUUAAUAUUGAUGAUUUUUAAUUAAAAUAUUAUAGAUUUAACUAUUGUUAUUAUAUCAUGAAAUAAACAAUACUUUAUAAAAAGUAUUUUUUAUUAUUUCAUUAAACUAUAUGCAAUUUCAUCACUUACGAAAUCUAUCCAAUAAAGAUUACAGUUUUUAUGGUUUCCUGAGCGUACAAUAACAUUAAAUAAAAUAUCAUCAGGAAUAAAAUUGGGAUUGCGAUUAAAUUCAGCAAACACUACGUUAUUAUACGAUCUUUUUUUAAUGUAAUUAUGCAGUAGUAUUGAAUUAUAUACAUUAGUUUUUUAAAUAAAACAUAAUAUUUAAAAAAAAAAAUUGGAAAUGACGGAGUCUGGUGGAGAACUAAUGAUCCAGUGCUCCCCACUGAUCAUUGGUCACUAUUAACUUCCCUUUUUCUCUAUUUCUGCUCUUCUUCUUGCGCAUCUCUUGUUUUGCAACAGAGCAACUUAAAGUUGCUUCAGCAAAUCUUGCGAUUUAACCGCCAAUUAUAAUGGGUCCCACAAACUUUAAAUUGUGUUCAUACCGUAACCAAAAAUAUAUAAAUAGCAUAAUUUUUUUUUGUAAAUGUAGUUGCUGCAGCGCUAAACACGCACUAACUCACGGAUUAAUGGAUAAAUUUAAAUUAUGAUUUUUAAAAAUAAAAAUAAAACACCAUUAAUUUGGUUAAAAAAAACUAAGUCAAAGUAAAAUCCAUUAGGAUCAAACUUUGGACAGAUAAUUACUAAGUUGGCCUAUCAAGUUAAGUUUUUAUAAUUAUAAUUUUAUCAAAAAAAUAUGUUUUUAGUAUUACAGGUACUUUAUAAAAUUAUAAAAAUAAUUUUUUUUUCAAAAUAUAUUAACAUAAUUUUUUUAAUUUUUAAAAUUAAUAUAUUAAAAUCAUUAUAUAACAUUAAAAAAAUGUAUUUAAAACUUUUUCAAAAUAAAUACACUUGAAAACACCGUACCAAAUACUUUCUAAACCAACCUUUUUCUAGGAUUGGAACAUUGGAACCCAACAAUAAAAAGAGGAACAAGGGGAGCUAGCUAGUGCUCGUGUCUCAGCCUGAAAGCUAGCAUUAAUAAACCCAUACAAUUGAAGCAUGCGGUAGUUCUCUGAAUCAUUGCUCUGAAAGUAUAGUUGUGAUUGUUUUUUAAAAUAUUUUUUUAGUUAAAAAAAUAUAUUAAUAAUAUUUUUUUUAUUUUUUAAAAAUUAUUUUUAAGAUUGACAUAUUAAAAUAAUUUAAAAACACCAAAAAUAUAUUAAUUUAAAAUAAAUAAAAAAUUUUAAUUUUUUCAAAAACACUUUUUAAACACAGAAAAUAAGUGUAGAUCUAAAAAUUCCCGAAUAGAUCAACCUUUCAAACUGCUGCCGAAUCCAUGGCAGACAAGAGAAAAUCUGGUGAACUGAAACAUCUUAGUAACAAGAGGAAAAGAAAGCAAAAGCGAUUCUCGUAGUAGAGGCGAGCAAACUAGAAGCAACCUAAACCGUGAAAACGGGAUUGUGGAAAAGCAAUACAAGCAUCGUGCUGCUAGGUGAAGUGGUGGAGUGCUGCACCCUAGAUGGAGAUGACAAAUGCCCUCAAAUAUAAGACGUGCAUCAAGGUCAUCUAGCAGAACAAUUUCCAUACAUAGAGCUAGGAAUGAGUUUAGCAAUGUGUGCUGCCUUUUUGCCUUCUCUUCUACCUCUAAAAAGAAUCAAAAUUGUCUGUCUGCUGAUAAAAUCCUAGCAAUGUCCUUCGAUAGCGUUGUCCAAGUAAAGACCAGUGGUCUCUUUGCCCCCUUCAGAGUUUUUGGACAAUGCCUAAGCAAUCAUUAAUUCCUUCUAAACAAUCCAGCAGAACCUCGAAUACUUUGCAAACUCCAAAAAAUGCAACAAAGCUCGAGCUUGAGCAAAAUCAACUGCCACCUGCAACAUGAUAAAAUUCACGCAGCCCCCUUGAUGAUCCCUGCAACCACGUACUGCAGUACUCACCGUUCACAAACUUCAACCCACGUAUCAUAGAGCAUCCCCUGAAACCACCCAUCCCAUACAUGUCAAAACGAAGAAGAAAUGGCAGAAGAUGUUGAACAGAUAACUCAGGAAAAUGCGAGCUUGCUCACCCCCUACUUUCCAGGUUAGCCUUGUUCAGAACAAUUUUCCUUAUCUUAAAGAACUUCGUGGUUCCAUAGAAGAUUCCAAGCCUCCAUGUUUUGCAGUUGAUCUGGAACAGUAAAAUGCUAGACCAUUCAGAAAGCUGACAGUCGAUUAUCUCAUGAUGGUAACAGCUGGUUUAUCUCCUGUAAGUUCGACAAAUGAAAGAUUGUAGCAAAAGAUUUGAGGAAGACAAAGGAGAAGGAAGAGCUUAUGACUAUAUUAUUCACAUCAUGUAAGACUCGAUGGCAAAAUAAAAUGUAAAUGUUGUUAAUAAGAGGGUACUGAUUUCUAUUGUUCUAAGGAAUUUAAAAAAAUGCAAGGAAUUAUUCUUUUGUUGUUUCUAAUUGCAAGGUUUGCACGCUAUAGAUCACUAGCCAUUGUUUAGACAUUAUUCAUGCAAUGGGACGAGAGAAGCGAAUGAUGUAGGGACCCAAUUGCUCAUUCGAGUAAUUAUGCUACAAUGAGAUGGAGCUAGUUCGUCAUGUGAAAACGAUUCAUUUCUUUCUAAAGAAUUCCUUGCCUUUAGGUCAAGAAAGAAUGAUCUCCAAUUUUCUCUCUUUAAGCUUCUUUUUAGCAACUUUUUCUCUCCCAUCCUCCCAAGAAAAAACUUUAAAAAAGAUAGAAGAAAAUGAAUCUUUGUAUCAAAACAUGUUGUUUACUGGUUACUUAGAGAAUGUGUUUAGUAUUGCGAUAGCUGUUGUGGUUGUGAUUUAAAAAAAAUUAUUUUUAUAAAAAGUACUUUUAGUUAUGAUUGGUUUGGAAAAAUAUAUGUUUGGUUAAAACUGUGAUUGAAAUUGAGGUUGAACAAAAAGUAGUUUAAUAUAUUUGGUUAAGACUACUUUUAAAAUUGAGGUUAUAAAAUAAUUUUUAAAAAUAUAUAUUAAUAUUGAUGGUUUUUAAUUUAAAUAUUGUAAAUUUAACUAUUACUAUUAUAUCAUAAAAUAAAUAAUACUUUACAUAAAAUAUUUUUUUAACAUUAGUUUUUUGAAUAAAAAACAAUUAAAAACAAAAAAUAUUUUUUUUAUUUUAUUAGGUCGGACCCGGUUCAAUGUAUUUUUAGCUUUGAAACGGACCGGUCCGGUCGGAAAAAAACCCAUGAACUCCACUGUUCAGGAAAGAAAACUCAUGAACAACAUUGUUCAUGAGUUUUCAGCAGCUCUUUGCUGCUUCUUGAAAACCUGCGGAAGCAACCAGGCAACCAAACGGAUUCUUAAUAGCUUAAAUAAAAAGAGGACUAAAAUGAACUUCAUAAAAAAAUACAAAAUAACCAUCUAUUUUAUUUGUGUUUUUCACUUUAGUUGUUUUUUUUUAACUCAACCGUCGUGUCUAAAAAAAUAUGUAAUUGAACUCUACUCUGGAUUCAAAAUAGCAAGAGAAAAGUUCAGGAAUUAAAAUGAAUUUUUUUAAAAAAAUCACUACUAGAAUCUAUAUUAAAACGUGAGAGAAUGAAUAGCAAUGACUAGAGAGAAUCACUACAGAAAACCUCUAGCUAUUUUAGUUUUUACUAUAAUGAUUCUAACUUUAAAUACAAAAUGCACCAUGUUAAAAAAAUAAAAUAACAGGAGACCUUCAUAUGAAAUUCGGGAGAUUAAAUACAAAUUAAUUUUAACUUUAAAUUUAUUUUGAAUUGGCUUGUCCUAAAAUCAAAAUCAAGUUUUUUUAAAAAUAAAAAUAAUUAAAAUCACAUAUUUUUUCACGUGUUUUGUACAUUCAGAAAAAGUUAAUAAAUAUAUACAAGUACUAGUCUUAACAUUUAAAUCUAAAAGAUUGAAAAAGUAAAUAUAUUUCUUUAAUUACUAUACCAGCUUUUUUUAUAAUAAAUAACUUUAUCAUAAACAGUAUUUUAAUCCGGUUUCGUUUUCAUACCCUGUAGAUUGAAAUUUCCCAGUAUUAAGCCUAUAAUUUUUUUUAAAACUCAAUCUGGCCCCUAAUGACGAAAGCUAAGUGCUGACCUUUAUCCUUUCAUCUUCUCAUGUUUUAAUAUUUUCAAUCAUUUAGAGGGUACUUCAAUAAUAAAAGUUCUAGAUUAAAAAGUUUAUUUUAUUUUGUGAUUUCAAGUUUAAGUUUUGUAUUUAUUAAUAUAACGAUUAUUGAAAAUUUACAUGAUAUUAAUUUUAAAACUUAUAAAAUUAGUUAAGAUAUAUGCAAAUUAAUCUACAUAUCUACAUUAAUAAUAAAAAAAAUAUAUAUAUAUAUAUAUAUUUUCUAUUCAGUAUCUUUUAUGUACACGCACUUGUAGGAUGUAGGAACGCAUCAUAACCUAUGAGCGCCUCUUGUUUUUGAACUAUAUUAAAGUGUAUGAAUUAAUAAUUUCUCAUUUAUCUGGAAAUUGCUCUUUUAUUAUUAUAUUGUUGGUGGAUUUGCUUCCAGUUGGCUGAUAAAUGUUUAUAUUUUUUGCAGAUUUUUUAACAGUUGUUAAUAAGGUUUACAGGCGUGAGCCUUGGAAAAAGAUUUGAAUCAAUACGAUUAUUCGGGUUAAUAUUGUUUUAAUAUAUUUUCAAAUAAAAAAUAUUUUAUACUCAAUAAUUUUUUUUAAUUGAAUAAUUAAAAUGUGAAAAAUCUACUCUUAUGAGUUUUUAAAAGACAAUAAAAUUCUUGAAGUUCGGCUAUCAAAUAAAAACUGAACUAGAAAAAGAUAAUUCUGACCGACAAUUAUGUCACUUAAAUAGUAAAUAAAAAUAAAGAUACAAAGAUUGUAAAUAAAUAUUUUUUUUAUAAUUAUUAUACCAACAAAGUCAGUGUGUAUUAGUUAAAUUAAUUCUAAAAUAAUAUGGUUGGGAAAAAAUAUCAAAAUAAAACAGCAUGAUUUUGAACAAAACUAAAAAGAAUUAUUGGAAUUGACUAGGGAGAGUUAAUAUGAUCAUAAGCUAACUUGUUGCAUUAUCAUAGUUCAAUUUAAUUAAUUUUUUUAAGUAAAAAGCAUACUUUAUCUUAAUCAGAUUUUAUGUUAUUUAGGUGAUAUUUAACAUCGUGGUUCAAUUAUAUUUUUAAAAGUUUUUGAAAUUUUUUAGUUUUAGAUUUUAUUUUUUUAUAUAUUCUUUAAUUAUUUUAACAUGUUAAUAUUAAAAUAAAUUUAAAAAAAUAAAAAAAUAUUAUCUUAAUAAAUAUUCAAAUACAAAAACUUCAGGAAAUAACAUGCGUACAAACAAUUACUCAGUCCACCUGUGAAGCCGGGGCUGAUAAUAAGCCUAUUUCUCUAUUAGGAUUAAUUUCCAUCAAUUUUAAAUUACAAGGAGCAAAACAAAAUAUUCCGAAAGCUACACGGAUUAGAUGCAUCUGCUAACACAAAUAUUAAUUAAUGACCUCACAUUUUUAAUUAAAAAUACCGCCCGCCGCCACGCCCCCACCGCACCCAAAAAAACCAUCAAAACCAACGGAAAAUUUCUCCCAAACAAGACCCGCCUCCAGUUCCUUGGCUUUCCGCUUCUCCCUCCCUCCCUUCCUAAUAAAAACCACGUUUUCACGUUGCAAAAUAAAAAUCCCCAAAUCAAAAGGCCCUAAUUUUAUUUAAAUUUGACAAUGGGUGAUCACGAUGAUGAUCCUUACCCAUACCACAAACUCUGCGGUUACCUCUGUACAGUUCUCACAUCACCACACCCACUCCCUUUCCUUUCUCAUUGCCAUCUCAUCACAGACGGAAGCCACCAACAAAUCAGAUUCAAAUCCCUAAACGACGUCGUUCUGUCUCCGCUUUCCAAUCCUUACGGCCAGAACGGCGCGGUUUCUCUUCAAGAGAACAGUAAUGCGGUUGGGAAGAAGACGACGAAGAAGAAGAGAAUGGCGAAGAGGGGGAGUUGUUUGAAGAAAAGCGGUAAUUCAGUGGCGGAGAAGAAGAGAGUAGGGAGGAGGGUAAUUGGGAUGGUGAAUGGUAGUGUGAGCGUGGUGCAUCAAAUUCGCGCGCUUGUAAUGCACAAGUGUGUUAAGAUCUUAGCGCGUGUGUUGCAUGUUGCUGAGAGUGACGGUGAGGUUGUUGAAGUGAGAGUGGUGGUGCUUGUUGAUGUUUAUUUGCCGGUUUCGGUUUGGUCCGGUUGGCAGUUUCCCAAGUCUGGGCCAAUUGCUGGAUCUCUCUUUCGGCACCUGAGGUUUGUGUUUUUGGGUUUUAUUUUCUGGGUAUCGUUUAUUAUAACGUGGGUUUGUUUUAUUUUUAGCUAAUUUUAGCUGUAAUGUAUGAUUUGGUCUUCUUCCAUGUGUGUGUUUAAGUAAAUGAGAUGGAUAAAGCUCCUAGCUUUACGAAAGGAGUAAUGUUUUUUUACUCAAUUUUGAAUUUAUUUUACAAUGUGGGUUUUCCUUUUCCUUUUUUUUUUUUUUUCUGGAUUUUUUCUCUAGUUUUGUUGCACUUGUCUGUUCACUAUUUAGCUAAGUGUUGAAGGCGUUUCACAAUUUAGUUUAGAUUGGUUUUUCUGAGUAUAGAUAGUGUAAUUUUGUGUUCAAGUAGCAAUAUGCGGCUAACCUGGAGGGUUUUUUUAUUUAUUUUCCUUUUGUACUUUAGUGGAUGGACUGUUGAAAUUACUGAUGGUCGUUAAGUUACAAAUUUCUCUAGCUGCUUGGUUUUAGACUUUUGGUUCGAGGAUGCAUAGGAUCUAACUUGGUUUGACAUUUUUAGCUUUAGAAUCUGGACACUAUAUAUAUAUAUUACGUUCUUGAUAGUUUAGUUUUCCUUUAGCAACGCAUCUUCUCUUUUCUUGAAUCUUGUUGUGGAGUUGAACUACUAUAUGUUUGGUUAAAUUGCAAUGUUUUAAUUUAGUGCUUUCUUGAUUUUUCAUUAGUUAUCUAUGCUGGUAACAUGGUUGAAGUUUGCAGUUGCAAUUGGGAGAAGAGGAGGUCCAUGCUUGUUGAUGGAGGAGAGUAUUUUAAAAAUGCUCUUGGAGAUCAUAGAAGCAUUUGGAAUCUUUCUGGUUGUCAUGUUCUUGGAUGCAAUUUGCAUUGUGAUGUCCCUGAUUCUUCAAGCAAAAAGCGUUUUGAACUUCACGAAAUUUUUAAGGGUUUACCCAGCACGGAAAAUAAGGAACAGUAUUACUCUUCAAGAGUAAAACCAGCGGAUAACUCUUUGGAAUCUGGUAUUUGGGAUUUAACUGGUGAUAUCUUGAUGAGCAUUCUUUCUGCACUUGGUCCAAAGGACCUUGUCAGGGUUGCUGCAACCUGUCACCAUUUGAGAUCCCUGGCUGUUUCAAUUAUGCCAUGUAUGAAACUUAAAUUAUUUCCUCAUCAGCAGGCAGCAGUUGAGUGGAUGUUACAGCGCGAGCGGAAUGCUCAAGUCUUGCCACAUCCUCUGUACACUAAUUUAUCCACAGAAGAUGGGUUUACAUUUCAUGUAAGUACUGUUUCUGGUGAAAUAAUUACUGGAGUAGCUCCAACUGUAAGAGACUUUCAUGGGGGAAUGUUCUGUGAUGAACCUGGCUUAGGAAAGACUAUCACUGCUCUUUCUCUUAUUCUGAAGACAAGAGGAACAGUAGCUGACCCACCAGAUGGAGUUCAAAUAACCUGGUGUACACAUAAUGGAGAACAGAGAUGUGGCUAUUAUGAGGUUGAUGGCAGAAACUUCACUCCUAAUAACACACCCCUGGCAAAAAGGGUAAUGAACCAGAGUGCACGCAGGGGACAGUUAUCUUUGGAUAAAUCCACUCUGAUGAAUGAUCCAGGUCAACAGAUUGAGGGGUUUAGCAAUUCUUGUCCAGUUAAUGGAAUGGAAUCGUCACCAGCUCCAUCUUCAGAUCAAACAGCACGUGUAAUUCAAUUGAGUCGCGUGAAGAGAAAUCUUCUCCAUGAAUAUGAUGAAACACCUGUUUUUAGUAACAAGAAAAGGAGGAAGCAUCGUUCUAAUGCCCCUAUAUAUGUCUCAGAGGAACAACAGCAUGAUAGAGCACGCAGGUUGAAUUUGAUUACUGGACAUUUUAGGGAUUUUAAUGAGACUUGGGUUCAAUGCGAUGCAUGCAGAAAGUGGAGGAAGCUUACAAGCAGUGUAGCAGAUACUGAUGCUGCAUGGUUUUGUAGCAUGAAUACAAACCCUGAACGUCAGAGUUGUAGAGAUGCUGAAGAAGCUUGGGAUGACAGCUGUUCCUUAACUCAUGUACCGGGAUUUCACACCAAAGGAACUUCAGGGGGGGAGGAGCAAAAUGUGUCAUUUUUCAUUAGUGUUCUCAAGGAGCACUAUUCCAUGAUAAACUCUAAAACCAAGAAAGCUUUGACUUGGCUGGCUAAACUUUCUCCAGAAAGACUUUCUUUAAUGGAAACAAUUGGUUUGGCAAGUCCGGUCAUAGGUACUGGUUCUGUAUCUGGUGGUGGAGAUUCCCGUGGGUUUCAUAAAAUAUUUGAAGCAUUUGGUCUUGUACGGAGAGUAGAAAAGGGAGCCAGUAAGUGGUGUUACCCACAGAAACUUGAAAACUUAGCAUUUGAUUUGGCUGCUUUUAGAAUUGCUAUCUGCAAGCCGUUGGAUUCAGUCAGGUUAUAUUUAUCAAGAGCAACCCUAGUUGUUGUCCCAGCAAAUCUAGUUGAUCAUUGGAAAACCCAGAUAGAAAAGCAUGUCAAACCUGGCCAGUUGCGGCUGUGUGUCUGGACUAAUCAUAAAAAGCCUUCUGCUCACAGUCUGGCAUGGGAUUAUGAUGUUGUUAUAACAACCUUCAGUCGAUUAAGUGCUGAGUGGGGCCCCAGGAAAAAAAGUCCUCUGAUGCAAGUGCAUUUUCUCCGGGUUAUGUUAGAUGAGGGACACACCCUUGGCUCUAGUCUGAGCUUGACAAACAAAUUGCAAAUGGCUAUGUCAUUGAUGGCUUCAAAUCGCUGGUUACUAACAGGAACACCAACACCUAACACGCCCAAUAGUCAGCUGUCUCAUCUCCAGCCAAUGCUUAAGUUUCUACAGGAGGAAGCGUAUGGGCUGAAUCAAAAGUCAUGGGAAGCCGGCGUUCUUAGACCAUUUGAAGCCGAGAUGGAAGAAGGCCGCACACGCUUGUUGCAUUUGCUCCACAGAUGCUUGAUUAGUUCUAGGAAGACAGAUUUGAAAACUAUCCCUCCAUGCAUCAAGAAGGUGACAUUCCUCAAUUUUACCAAGGAUCAUGCAAGAAGCUAUAAUGAAUUGGUAGUUACUGUGCGACGUAAUAUUCUAACUGCUGACUGGAAUGAUCCUUCUCAUGUUGAGAGUUUGCUUAACCCAAAGCAGUGGAAGUUUCGAAGUACCCUUAUUAGAAAUGUCAGGCUAUCUUGUUGUGUGGCAGGGCAUAUUAAAGUGGCAGAAGUUGGUGAAGAUAUUCAGGAAACAAUGGAUAUUCUGAUUGAAAAAGGACUUGAUCCCAUUUCAGAGGAGCAUGCUUUGAUAAAAUACUAUCUUCAGUAUGGUGGUAACUGUCUCAGGUAACUUUUUGAGCUCUUUUUUGCUUCACUCUGGAUAUUAAAUGAUAUCUUCUGACAUGGGUUUACCACCAUUGAUUUUGCACAUUUGUUUUUUUCUUCUUUCCUCUUUGCUGUUUAGAUGCAAGGAAUGGUGUCGUCUACCUUUCAUCACGCCAUGUAGGCAUCUUUUGUGCCUUGAUUGUGUUGCUUUGAAUAGUGAAAAGUGUACUUUCCCUGGCUGUGGUUACUCAUAUGAGAUGCAAAGUCCAGAAGUAUUGACCCGACCGGAAAAUCCAAACCCGAAAUGGCCUGUCCCCAAAGAUCUUAUCGAGUUGCAACCUUCCUAUAAACAGGCAAGUAUUUUGCUCUCAUUUUGAAAUACUUUUUUUUUAUGUAUAAAGGAUUCGCAGGAAGCGUUAUCACAUGUAUUUUUCUGGUAUUUGUACAGGAUGACUGGGAUCCUGAUUGGCAGUCAACAUCUAGCAGUAAAGUUGCUUACCUUGUACAGAAGCUGAAAGCAUUGCAGGAGGCCAGUAGAGAGAGUAGCUGGUCCAUUGACAAGGAUACUCAACUAAGUGUUUCUAGUGUAGUGCUUCAGCAGGACUGCUUUAGUGUUAACAAGGCAGCCUUGGAGAAAGUUAUAAUAUUUUCUCAAUUUCUUGAGCAUAUACAUGUGAUUGAACAGCAGGUACUUAUGAUUGCAUUAUGAGUUCUUAACAAGUGUGGCUUUAUCUUUUCCUCAAAAGUGUAAUGAUCCUGGGCCUUCUUUUCUUUGACCAGUUAGCAUUUGCCGGUAUUAAAUUUGCUGGAAUGUAUAGUCCAAUGCCUCAAAUCAACAAGGUAUUGAAAUUAGUUUGUCUUCUUUUUAUUUUUUUGUUCCUUUUCCUUUCUCUUGAUACAUUCCUUGGCUAUUCAGAUGAAAUCACUGGCCACCUUCCAGCAUGACACCACAUGUAUGGCUCUGUUAAUGGAUGGCAGUGCUGCAUUGGGUCUUGAUUUGAGCUUUGUAACUCAUGUAUUCUUAAUGGAGCCAAUCUGGGACAGAAGGUAGUAUUUUUUUCAAAUCCUAAACUGUUCAUUAUUUCUCUUUUCUGUUCUUACUAAUAGGUAUCUUGCAUCCUGAUUUCAGUAUUGUUAGCCACAAUAUCACGCUGCUAUAUGGAAAAAUAAUGGUUUUUGUUGAAUAGAAUGCUUGACACACCUCUCUCUGUUUCAACCUCUUUUACUCUCUUUUUUUUAAUUAAAAAUUCUUCUUUGUUGAAUGCUAUCAGCAUGGAAGAACAAGUGAUAAGUCGAGCUCAUCGGAUGGGUGCUACUCGCCCCAUCAAUGUGGAGACUUUAGCCAUGCGUGGUACAAUUGAGGAGCAAAUGCUAGAAUUCCUACAGGUAGAUGAUGUAGAAGCUCCUUUAUUAUUUAUUUAAUGAGAAUAUAUAAGCCAAACUGUUGAUUUUGGUCUGAUUGCCAUUUCUUUUAUGUCACUAUUUUGUUAUUUAACCUGUUAGCAACCAUUACUUUAAUGUCAGUAUUUUUCUGCAGCACUAAAGGAUUAGUAAAAGAUUUUAUUUUUCUUUUGCUAAAUCCCUGACUUAACCCUUCCCCUGCUUUGCCUUUUUUAUCACUUGCCCUUUUCAUCUAAUUUAGGACUCAAGGCCCAGUUUGAUUUUUUACUUGCUUUUCCUUUAGGAUGCUGAUGGUUGUAGAAGAGUUUUGAAAGAAGAGUCAAGUAAAACUGACCAUGCAGGUGCACGGCUCCACCGAUCUCUACAUGAUUUUGCUGAGAGUGACUACUUGGCCCACCUUAGCUUUGUGCAUACAGGUUCAAGAGCGUAAAAGGUAACGGAUAUAUUUUUUCCUUAUCUGUAGACCUAAUUAUCUUACUUGUAUGCUCUUAUCACUGCAAAUCUCAUUUGCUUAUCCUGCUGGUGUAACAAAAACUCCUGUUAUCUUUCUCUGUACAGUUCUUGUGAUGAUCUCGAGCCACCAUAUGUUGUGCUGAUGAUGAUUUCAUUCAAGCGAUAUAUGUGGCAGCUGAAUUCAAAUAAUUCCACUCCUCAUGUCUGAAAAACCUGGGCAGAUUAUUUUUGAUUCAUUGUUUCUCAAAGUAUAAAUGGCAGAGUUUGCCAUUCACAGCUGGGAACAAGUGCUAAUUGAAUAUUUUUCUCAAUCUAUUCCUUGACUAAUCUCUUAGGAUACCCCCCCCCCCAAACAAAACCUUGACCCUCAUUUUCUAAGAGCUUUUUUUUGGCUCCUGUUUGUCCAUUCUGUACCCUUGGGGAUGUAAAUAUAUUUGGUAGGUGGGAGAGAACUUGAAGAAACUCCUUUCAUUGUUUGUAACAAUCAUACCCAGUUAUGUACAGGAAUGAACGACAAAAUCAUGUUUUUCAAAGCUUCUGAAUUGAUUUGUUUUUCCACAAGAUAGAUGGAUGAAACUUUUUGCUAUUUAACCUUUAUUUGUAUCACCCGACAUGCAUCUAUGACAUAGACCUUCCAAAAUAUAAAGAUAGAUUGGAAGAUGCAUCUUUAUUUGUCUCUAACAUUGGCAAAAACAAAAACAUUAAAAAAAUUACUGUGAUUGACAGGAAAAUUCUCUACCCUGCACCAUCUUAGAAAGAAGGGAUAGGAAUAUUAAAUAUCUUUGAUUAGAAAAACAAGAAUAAAGAGGGUAUCACUAAAAAUUGUGUGUGUGCAGGUUUAGACCACUGGUGGAAUGGAACGAGUUGGCAAGUGCCGACCAAGGAUUGCAUGGUUUGAAGGACGACUUGCUAGUUUGACAUAUGCCCAGAAACUAUGGGACAUGCAGGCAACAUAUGACACGUAACAUGUAAAAAAAAUAAAAAAAAACUUCUGUUAAUUUGAAAUAUCAAUUUAGGGAAACAAUUACCUUUUUUUUCAUUAAAAAUAUAUAAUAUUAACCUUAGCAAUUUUAAUUAAUAUUCAAUCUUAAUAAAAUAUUAACUAAAAACAUUUUAAAAACUUUGAUACAAUAAAAAACUUGUAAUUAUAACUUUAUAAUUUUUUUAAAAUAUUUCCCCCCCAAAACUCUAUAUAUUCUUUAGAUUUUAAGAUUUUAAAAACUAUGGAAGAUGAAUUCAGUCUAUGAAUGGCAGACAAUCUGUAUAGUAUUUUGCUUCUGAAUUUACAAGGCAGCUGUGUUUGAUUUUGAAGCCAGCGACCUACUUAAAAAGAAUUUACAUACCCCUAGCGAGUUUUCACACUUCCCUCAGAAAAAAAUUUAUAGGAAGAGAGAAAAUAUGGAUACAUUUGUGGGAAGAAAUCGAAAGCAAAAGAUUGAGGGGAGAAAAAAUUCCACCCACCUCCACCCUCCAGAAAAAAAAAUCGGCUUCCUCCAUAUUCCAAUCUCGAGCAGAAAUUGAAAACGAAUUUCAGAUCUCGCAAAGAAUUGCACUGGCAAAAUGUGAGUCAAGUUGCAUAUUAGACGUCGCAGGUCAUUGAGUUAACCCAACCCUUCCCUUCCAACACUAACAAUAGACCUGUCACCCAUGGGAACGUUGUAUUGCUGGUAUACUCUCGCUCUGUUGGCUGCCCACCAUUGUUCUGCUUGUUUUUCGCUGAACCGCUUCCGACUGCAGUAAAACGAGUUCAAAAUACAAUAGCAUAAGAUUUCCAAUAAAGACAGAGCAAUUAUUGAUUUAGUUCCCCACUCGGAUGCUUCCAACAGUACAGAAACCUGUUGGUCCAAACUCAUCUAUUUGCAAAAGGUGGGCCUGAAAGCAGCCAGGAACUCUACCACCUUAGUUAAGGACACAGGGCCACAUUACAUUAUUGGAAAAUAUCAUGGGCCGGUAGUUACCUUGUUGAAGAGGGGGGAAGCAAAGCAAUCACAGAAGGGGGGCAGGUGGGGGAGAAGUGGAAGGGAACAGGAUAAUAGCGUGUGAUGACUUAAGAAUACCUGAAGCGGACACGUUUGAGAUCCUUCGCACCUCCAUGCAAGGAAACAAGGGUAAUAUAUACACCUGGUUCGUCUUGUUCAACCCAUUCAUCGCCAUUAGUGGGUUCAACUUUAGCUAUUCUGUUCUUAUUCCUCACUGUUGUUUCUAUCUGUGUCACUUCGGAGUGAUGUGGAGUCUGAUUAGUAGUAGUAGUAGUAGUACCUGACACAUUUGAAAUUACCAGGCAGUUUGAUCCUUUUGAAUCUUGUUCAUGACAUGCUGUGGGACUACUGAGCUGCUCAAGAAUUCCAGGAGAAACGUCCCAUGGAGUUGUGUUGCUAGAGCAAUAAAAAGAGGGCGAGUUGCUGUUUCUUGAUGCUCCAACAGGUACCCUUUCAGCCACUUCUUUCAACUAUAAUAAAAAGAUUAAUCACACAUAAAUUAAGAAGACAGCUGACCUAUUAAAACACCUACAAAAUUUUAGUAUGCUCAUGAGCUCCCUGUCGAUCACCAUUCAUACAGCAAGGACACUUCCAACCCGAGUUUAUGUCAACCUUAGUAUUUAGUACGACACAGGCAAUUUAAUUUAUUUUCAUCAGGCAACUCAUUAAGGCCAGCAAAUCUCUAAGGUGGACAUGAUGAUGCACAUCUAACGGUCAAGUCCUAGAGAUUCCAAAAUACAAUCAUAUAAUACCAAAAGCAUUGUGCAAAUAUUGUCCUCUAAACCUACUUUUCAAGAUUCAAACAAACUUUGCUCAUGUCAAAUCUAGGGCCAGUUUAGUCAAUGCAAGAUAUCAUAUAUUUAGCGCACAUUUCUAAACUUUCUUGCCUAAGUUACUUGUGAUGUAAAAUUAGUUAUCUACAGUAGGACUAGGAAGUUAUUAACUCGAGUUUUUACUUACUUGGGCCGUGAGUGACUUAAUUACUUCCUUUGCUGCCUUGCACUUAGUAGUUUCCUCCUCUGCGACUGCAAUAGCCUCCUUCAACUGCCUGGUUGUUCUUUCCAGCUCAACAUCCUGAAGCUGAGCUUUAUUUGUAAGCUCUUCAACCUACAUUCCACAAACAGUCAGCCAUAAUCAACCAAUGAAGUGGCCUAAGCAAAGUACUUUUCAAGCACAAUGAUAUGGCCAGUAGAAAGCCACUAAAGACAUAUACUGUUGUUUCAUUAUGGCCAUGCAUCUCUAAACUGGAUCUUAAUCUAACCAAAUCAUUGACAAUAGUUACAAUGACCAUAAGAGGUUUCAAAAUUAGACCUGUCCCCAGCACAGACCUUUGUUAAUCGUGACAAAAAAAAUAUUGCAGAUCACUUUGUCCAUGUCCACCCAGGGAAAAUUAAGCAUAAAGAAGCAAGCAAAGAAACUCACAACAAACUAUAACCAAAGGAUAAAAUAGAGACUCUCAAUACAACAACAAAAGGAUUUGUGCCACAGGACAAGACAGUUUUUCUCUAGUUGUUAAUAAGGAGACUUGAUAUACUUUAUAAUUUUAUGCAGUAUCAUACCGCAUGACAUAUACACUUCCAAUCUUACCAAAAAUGUUUGAGACAAUACAUGUUCAGCCACUGGCAAUAAAUUUCUAGGUUAAUGCAUGGCGGCCUGGGUACAUCUAUUAUUGCUAAAAACAAGAAAUUUAGGAACAGAUUACUGAAAUCAUACGAGUUAAUUUAUGUCUACCUGAGCUCUUAAUUUUACAAUUUCUUCACGCAGGCUGUCAUUUAACCUCCCAGCACCAUCCACAGCUAGUUUUGGCAACUCAUUAGCUGAGAGAGUUGGGGUUGGUGUUGCAGCACGAGGGGGACUAGAUCGUCUUGAUGUUGGAGAUGUUGCUCGAGACACAAUUCUUGAUCCAGGAAGAGAAGCUGAGAAAAAUUUCUUGGAGGAUCCAAAUGAUUUAGAGUUAUUAAAUGUAUUGCGCCGAGAAACAUCAUUUCCAGAGGGUGAAACCUGAAUGCUAUUGGAGUUUGACUUCCUGUUUCUUCUGGAAGAUAUACUUUCCACCUCUUUAGAUGAUUCCAUAGAGAAGUUUCUUCCAAGCUUAGCAUGCGAUUUUGAAUUUGAAUUUUCAGUCUUUUCUGCGACUUCAUUUAGUCCCUGAUUGACACUUCCUCUUCUACUAAGGGCAGAGUGAACUGAAGAGUCAGUUUCAGAGCUUCUUCUAAGUUUGCUAAGACAAUUAUCACAGACACGAUAAGGUUUGUUAGGAUUUGGAGCCAUUGAAGCCUUGAGAGACUUUUUAUUACUACAUGAAUGGCAGAAAACAAGCCCACAAUUAUAACAAUUGUGCCGUUUCCGUUUGAAAUUAAAUGGGAGGUGGCAACCCGAACACAAUGAUUGAUCGAUACCGGAUACCCAUUUAUGAAGACAGAUAGCUGCAGUAAAACUAGUGCCGCAGACAAUACCUUUAACCUGUUUGUCUUUCAAAGCUUCAACUACAGAUGGGGAAUUUCUAUCAUCUGCAUCACCAUGACCUAGCCUGCCAUUUGCACCCUUUCCCCAUGUGUAAACUUCAGUUCUUGAGGUCAAAACUGCAACAUGAUAAGCACCACAGGCUAUUUCUUCAACAAAAUUUUUCAUGAGCUUUCCCUCAACACGAGUAGGGAGCAUGCCAUCAGCUUGGGGAUUCCCCAAUUGACCAUGUACAGGGCUUCCCAUGGUGUAAACCUGACCUGUGGUUGUAAGUGCAGCAGUGAGGCUUUGACCACAGGCAACUUGACAGAAGUUGGGUUCAACAAGAGUAGCAACACAAGUGGGCACCAGUCUAGCUUCCUUAUCACCAUGCCCAAGACGACAUUUAUCUCCAUCUCCCCACGUGAAGAGCUUUCCUGAAGAACAAUUACUGGAAUUUGAUGACCCAACCAUGAUUUCAACAACUGCAGCUGUGUGCCACACGCCACAAGCUGCUCGCAUGGUGCGGAGGCCCUUAAGGGACUCGACCUCUCUUGGUAUUGACACGCUUAUGCGGUCCCCAUGUCCUAAAACCCCAAAGGUUCCAUCUCCAAAAGUAAACAAUUGGCCAGCAGAGGUUACAACAGCUGUGUGCCAUGGUCCACAUGAAACUGAUGAGACAUGUAUUCCCUCAAGUGGUCCAUCCAACUUUCUUGGAACCCACUGAGUAGCUUCACUUCCACAGCCCAAGAGUCCAAAAUUAUAAGCAUUACCACCCCAUAUGUACAAAUCACCAGAAAGUGUUACUGCACAAGAAUGAUAUUCUCCACAUGCUACAAGUUCAACAUUGAAAUUUUUUAGCCCAUCUACAAACUUUGGAUGUGAAACAUCAGAGUCUACACCAUGUCCGAGUCUGCCUCCUAGUUCCUCUCCCCAAGAGAAAACCUCCCCUUGUUUUGUUACCAAAGCAGCAUGUUGCCGACCACAAGCUAUAGCCUGAACAUCUAGUAAAACUGCAGAUUCCAAAGCUUUUGGCACAAAAGAAUCCAUCUGAACACCAGAACCUCCAAUUCUAUGAACUCCACCACCUAGAAUGCCAUCACCAGUGCCCUCCCCCCAAAUAUAAACAUCCCCUAAUGCAUCAUUUUCAUCACGACCAGAGCCUUGACUUGAUGAGCUAACAGCACUUGAUAAACUAACCCUAAAAUUAUCUGUGUUCGUACCCUUUGCACGCCCUGUUGUUUCAUCUGAGCCUCCUAAUAACUGAGACUGAGCUGGCGCACAAGCAGAUUCUAAUGGAAAUAAAACCUUAGGAGGCACAGUGUAUACUACAUCAGACAAUGCCUUCUCUAAACCAGUAUUUGGAGGACUGUCAUAUGGCGUACGAAGACGAAGAGGAUCCAUUCCAUCCUAUAUCAGUGCCAAGAGAAUUUACAUUAAAGCGCACAGCAGCGAAACAUAAUUUUGAGAAUGAAGGAACAUAGAACAGUACCUUCAGUGAACUAUCAUCACUUCCAAAUGCAAAGCUCAAAGGAGAACUUCUAAUGGUGUAUGCCCUAGGACUAUUAGCCUCUGAUAAAAGUCCAUCAUUUCUAGUUUCUUCUCUCUUUUUCAAAAUCUGGCGAUUUGAUAUUAGUGCCUUUAGACCAGUAAACCAGACUUCAGCUUCUUCUUUGUCCUUGCAUAUCUGACAAAACAGAGCAUGAUAAGCAGAUGAUCAAAAUUUUCAGCUAAUACUUAAAGGAACUGUAUUGUGCAAAUACAGAACGUGGACUCCCUGAAAUUUUGAACAUGGCAUGACUUUGAUGACAAAGAAUGAAGAGCUGGCCUUUAAAAAGAAUAUGCUUACCAAAUCUAAAGACCUGUCACUGUAUAUUAGAGAAAAUGACUGGUAUUCCUUCUCAGGACGAGGAUAUCUCUGAAAAAUUGGCUGUAGUAAGCAGAAUUGAGAAUAAUCAGUUAGUAAAUCAUGGUUCCAAUAAAAUGAAAAUUAAAUCUUAAAAGUAAUUGAAAAACUAGCAGAAACUUACAAGCAAAAAGAUGUAAUUUCCAUAUUUUCUCAAGGGGAACGAAAGAACAAAACAAAAGCCAUAAACACUGGAAGCAGACAAAAUAUAUGAAUCACAUAAAAUAAAAAAUCACAAAUAAAAUAAAUAAUUUUCAAGCAUAGCUUCACUGCCCCUCGGGAUUUUGUUGUUAGCUCCAAUAUUCAAGGUAAAUGUAGAAAACAUCAAAAAAAUGAAGUGUCCAUCAAAAACCAUUUUUCUAUAUUACAAAAAAUGCCACCACAACUCUUCCUAGGAAUGAAUAUUACAGAUUUUUGAAAGCAAGAAGACAGUACAUGCACAUAAACGCAUUGCUUCAAAGUAAAUUCUAAAAUAGAAGUUUCAAAUGUCAUAGUAUUUGAUAAAGUAACAUAACCAGUAUUCUUGCAAUUUCCUUUCCACUAUGCCACAUAAAAAUAGACAGAUUCAUUCAUCAAAACUUUGCAUUUAUGAACAUUCAUCCCUGAUCUGGUGAAGUGCAAAGCAAAGCAUCAAUAUGCAAAGGCUGCUGAACCUCAACCAUUUUGGAAACCCAAGUUAUUCACACUACUAAAAUGAUUAUUAUUAACUUUAAAAAAAAAAUGAUUUGCCGCAAAACUAUGAAGAGCAUGGGCUAUUGCAUUAAGCAUCAUACAAAAAUUGACCAGGAUCUCAAUAUGGAUAAACUUACAGUGCGCUGACCAGGGAUAAUUCUGGAGACAUGGCUUAGUUUAAGAUGCUUCUCCUCUUUCCCAGAUAUCCAAAUUAGAACAGAUUCAUCCUGAAUGAACCAAAAGCAAAGGCAUACGUAUUACAGCAUACAUAAAUUUAAUAAAGGUGAGUUAAAGCAAAGCUCAAUAGUCAAUAUCCAACAACAUCAAACAGAAUAUACCCAAAACAACACAUUUAGAUAAAUUACCAGAAGCAGCAUGCAAGAAGCUUACCAUUUAGAAAUGGCCAAAAAAAUAUUAAAUUAAAUUAAAUUACCAACUGCCUUGCAGCAAUUAAAUGCAGCGCCUAUGAAAGUACAUGAUAGAGCUUGGCAUAAAAAUAAUAGGGUGAAACAUCAAAAAGUUCCUACAUUGCAUGCAUGCAUGCCUUCAGACAUUGAUAGUGAAACCUUAAACUGCAGGGAAAGGUGCUCUCUUAUCUUCUGAUUAGGAAGCAGCACAGACCAAGGUUAGGAAAACCAAGUGGCCUGCCAGCAGGAUCAGCACCAUCAUAAGCCUCGUCACUAACUAAUAUUUUUCAGCUUCAAUAAUCAAUCUAAUAGAUCUUCAGUUUCUCCAGCAAGCCCAUGUUUACAUAGAAACAGAGGAGAGGUGCUGUGCUGUGCAGGAUAACCAGCUAAAGAUCUUUCAAGUAGUUUUCAAGUCCAGUGUAAAAGUAGAUGCCACUAGGGUAUUUUCUUCAGAGAGCCCUGGAGGCCCUUAUUUCCAUGGAUAUAAGGGUUAGGACACUUGCUUUUCUACCUUGAUGACAACACCACUACUGCCUUUAUUUUAUUCAUUCACAGUACCAUCACCAUUUUAGAACAGUUCUGGAAGCAUAUUCUGCUAAGAUUUUAUGAAACAGUAGACCUAAUUUUAUUCAUUUAACCUUCAAUGAGACCAAUGUAUUCAGAGACAAAGGCACUUUCUAAAUCAUUCAAUUCUCAACACUGCAUCGUAAUCUAAACUUGGUAAAGAGCAGCAAAAACUACAGAAAAUCCAUAAAAAUAUGCUAUUAUCAGAGCAUGCAUCAUAAAAACAGAUUAACAGAUGCAAAUGAACUUACGAAUCGAUCUACUUGAGGAGGAGGCAGUACCAUAGCUAGCUUCCAUUGAGGGAAAAUAAACAAACACAAAUAGCUAACCACAAAUUUCUUGAUCCCAUACCGAUUUGUCUCAAAAUAAGAAAGAGAAAAGGUAACAUUUAAAAGCAUGCCUUAAAUAUAAUCUUACAUUCGACAGCCUGAAGGGGCAAAAUUUGGGCUUCCCUCUACGGCCAUACUUGAGCAACUGAGUGCCCCUUUUAAGAGCAGUGAUGGCCUGUGGCAAAGAAUGCAGCAAGAAAAUCAAUUGAAAAUAAACUAAGCAGGCUAUGCAUAAGUCAGAUUUCAGGAGAUGUACAAAUAUUUCUCAUCAUGGAGAAACAUCUAAUGGUGCAGCCGCAUGAUUAUAUCUCACAAUAAGCAGGUUCUUGUCUCUUUUUUCUUCAGUUAUUUUUAAGUUCAUGAUCCAUGAUUUACUCAAAUCCUUUUUUCACUUAUCCCAGACACCAACAUAAAACUUGGUUUCUAAUAUAGAAAUAAAUGGGUAUGGUGCACUACCCAGCCCAGAGGUAACAAUUACAGGUAUUUUGUAUUAAGCCCGUGAAAAGGUUUCCAUUUGAGUGAAUAUUUACAACUCAUUGAUGCCAGAGAGAUAUGAACACUCGCUAAUAACAUUUGGCUGACUAUUUAUUUAUAUACUAUCGCAAUUCUUUGAAAAAUUCCAGAAAAGCAUGCAUGUCUUAACACUGAGUCUUGAUGCUUUGCCAUGCAUCCUACCAUCACUAGCACUCAUGUGUUAAUGCUCAUGUAAUACUCAUUCAUGUACUCUUAAUAAAAUGCACAAAAAAAAUUAGCUUACCCUAAAAAGCCAGCUAGAAUAUUCCAUUAAGACUUGCCAAAAAAAAACCCGCAUAUGACAACAUGUUGACCCUCACACAUCCUAUACUAACAUUUCGCAAUGCAAACACUGAUGAACAAAUAAAAGGAAAGGUUAUACUACUCGAUCCCAUUGAAAUAACAGAUAUUACCAGAAUCUUAAUGCUCUUAUUAGCUUGAACAGUAACCAACAGCUCCACAACAUUUGACCCGGUUUCGCUUUUUUGGAAAAAAAAAAACAACUCAAAUUCCAUUGCACUAAUUUCAAACAAUUUACGAGACCAAACAUUCAAACCAAUGCUCAACUUAUUAAAAUCCAUAGCAAUUAAUAGGCAAUCUCUAUUUACAAGCUUGAGCUUUUAACACAACCACGUUGCACCCUGAUCACAAAAACACAACCAAAAAAAAAAUCAUACAAACAUAACACUAAACCUUCUCAUUCAUUACCAAGAUAUAAAUCAAAAUACAUUCACAAAACCUCAAUCAAUAUCAUCAGCACUUUAUUAUAUCAAUAAACAACAAAAAUAUAUAAAAUAUAUAUAUAUAAUUACCAAUUCAAUGUCUCUCUCUAAGGGGCCAACUCUCAACGUCGGCUCCAAAGCAGCCAUUCCCUCCGUUUUUGACGUAAUCAAAACUCUAACAAAACCCUACACAUCUCACCAUCACCACCACCGCAACAAAAUCCACCUACAAACACACACAUUGCCUCAUUUAAACUCUAAAGCACUCACUCUCAGCUCCUCCAAACCCUCGCAUUACCAAAAACAAAACCUCGAUCAGCUAACAAAAUCGCAAAACUAAUCGAUUCAAUCUCGAAUCGUCGGGGGAAAAACCCGGCGGAAUCGACGAGAGAAUAUGUCGCAAACGAAGAUUCUGCGACGGCCUUUGGAUUCGAGGAAUUGGGCUCUGUGGUGUUUGGUUGGAGAGAAAGUGAGAGAAAAAGGGAAUAUUAGAGAAAGUGAAGCCUGUUUGGUUUUAAUGAGAGUGGAGUGGAGAGUGAGAGGGGGAAUCUGUUUAAUUAAAGAGAGAAAAAAUUGAGGGUUAUUGAAAAUUAUUGAUUUUGAUAAAUUUUUUAAAAUGAUAUUCGGAUUUUGAUUUCUUUCCUUUUUCCUUUUUUUUUUCUUUUCCAAAUUUUUUGCCCUAAAGGGCACAAUUUCAAGAAAUCACUCAAGUUUUUCUUUGCCAACUCAGUCAAUCUGGAAUAACAAUAUGGUAAUUCUUCUGGAAAUAGAAUUUUACUAAUUAUGUCAUUAAUUAUUUCAUGGAUCUAAUUCGGUCAAUAAUAAUAUAAUAGAAACUAGUUGUUUAUCUAAUCUUAUAAUAUGAUUUAGAUGUUAAUAAACAAAUUUCAUAGAUAUUUGAUAUAUAAAGAAAAACUUAUUUUUUAAAGUACAGAUUUGUACAUGUAUAAUAAUUACAUGUAAAUUAUAAAAUUAGUUUUUGUUAAUAUCUUAAAACAUAAAAGAUAUAAAAUAUAUUUGAUUAAAAAAUGAUAAAAACUUGAAAUAAUUUUAUUUUUGGCAUAAUUUUAGAGUAAAUAUUUAUAAUUUUUAAAUAGUAAAUGCAAUGAGAUAUUAUCACUGCUCCUAUUGUCUUUAUCUUUUUUAUUACAAGAUAAUAAUCAAAUAUUAUCUAAUAAAUUUACAAAAAAAAAUGAACUAUGAAAACCUUUGACAAAUAAUGUCAAAAAUAUUAUUAUUAUUAAAAUACAAGAAAAUGAAGGUGUUGAAUUUUUAUUUUCUCAUGUAUGAUAUUAAUAAGAUCAUAUAUGUAGUUUUUAUAGUUAUAAUUUUAAAAAAUUUGUUUUUAGUUAAAACUAUUAAGAAGUGAAUUUUUACUUGUAAAAUAAAUAAAAAGCAUGUUUUCAUGAAUGAAAAAUAAAUUAUUUUAAAUUAUAUAAAAUAAAAUUUUAAAACACAACUAAUUAUAUAUAAAGCUAAAUACUAAAAAUAUAAAGUAUUUAAUUAAUCAAAUAUUUUUUUUCCUAUAACCUAGUAAAAAAUAGAACCUAUCACAAUACAAAUAUUUUAUUCCUCGUGAUUUCUUUUGUUUCUCUUAUUAAACUUUUUAAAUUUAAUAAAGAAAAGUUUGAAGAAGGCUAUUUAAAAGUAAUCUACGAGUAAUUAAAAGUAUAAUGGAAAAGUAAUCCAUGAAUAGUUUUGAUGUGACGGAGACAAAUUAAAAUAAAAUAUAAGGUAACUCAGAGCUUAUUUAAAAUAAAAAUAUAUAUAUAUAUUAUUUUAAAAUAUGAUGCUCGAAAACCAUAAAAAAAAAUAUCUUCUACUAAUUUGAAGCACAUGGGAUUCAAGCACGUGCCUUGGGGUAAUUUAUUUAUUUAUUUAUUGAACUGAUUUUAGUCAACGAUGUUGACUACGACUCUGUUAAUUAGUUCUAUGACCAUAGAGAUUUCGCCAUGUGAGAGUGGGGCCUAUGCAGGAACUUUUUGUUUGUUGCUUUACGGUACCGUUCUGUGUUGUCUUCCUGUGGUUUCGCUAGAAAUAUUUUUCUUAUUAUUGGCUUUGCUGUUGGUAUUUGGCUAUAAAAUGAACACUAUAUUUUCUUCGAGUAAAAGAAAAAUUAGUGUUAUUUUUCGUCUUCGUAGAUACAAACAUUUUUUACAUUUAUUUUCUCUUUUCUUAUUAUUUAUAUCAAUUUAUAUAAAUUUACAUAAAUUUAUGAUGAGAGUGAUAAGUUAUUAAAAUCCAACUAGACUUUCACAUCUUUAUUUUUUAAUGGUAUUUAUAUUUUUUUAAUUUGAAUUUUAUAUAUUAAAUUUAAAUCAUUAAUUUUUGUCUAGAAUAUCCGUAUUAAAUCUUACUUCUUAGAAUAAAACUUCAUCUCAAAACACCCUUAAUAAAAAAAAAACAAAUCGAAAUUUAUAUAGCUGACCUUCUGGACCCGGAGAAGCUGACUCAAUUUAGAAAUAGCCUCCAGGGUUAAAUUAAAACUAGGCCGGGCCACCUUAUAAAUGAAGACCCGCAGCCACUCGGCUAGGAAACAAAGAAAAAGUAAUAUUGGGCCCCGAAAUAUUAUUUUGUUUUCAUGAUCAAAGACAGCAGACACAAAUGGGUCCUGUCAAUGAUAAAUCUCUUCAAAUAUGCCCUUCUUGAUUCGAGAGACCAGCAUGGUUAUUGCACCGCACGAUCCAAUGAUAUCCCCAUAUGAUAUAUUUUUUUGGACGGUGAUCAAUUGGUUAUAUAGGCUCAUGGAAGAUCUUGGAUUCCAAUUGUAUUUUUGAAUCAAAUAUUUACAGGCUUAUAAUAUAUUAUUUUUUUAUGUUUUUGUCGGUUUUAUUUAGUUGAACUUGGACGAAAAACAAAGUUUUGACAAAUAUUGUAAAAUUCAAACAAAGUUUGAUGGGAAAUAGUGGGUAUAAAAUAAUUUGUUUUGAUAAAUAUUCACAUGAAAAACAUUUUCUUAGCUAGGUAUAAAUUUGUCAACAUUAAAAAAAUAUGUUAUUUAUUUUAGCCAUGUAUAAAUUUGCCAGCAUGAAUCAUGGAUUUAAUAAUGUGACCGAGUUAGCACCAUAAUAUCAAUAAUUAUAUCAACUUGGUGCAAGUGGGGUCACAAGUUGGGCAAUUUAAUAAUUUUUUUAUAAAAAAUAUUAAAAUAUUAUUAUUUUAAAAAUAUAUUUUAUAAAGUUAAUAGAUUUGGAUCAGAUCAUCUGAACUUAAGAAUUAGAUAAAAUUUAAAUUUUACUAGUUUUUAACUGUAGAUUUAAAUCUUGCUGGUUUCAUAUGAGAAUAUUAUAAAUUUUUUUUUUUUUGCAAGCUAGGCCUGUCCCUUGUUUUUAUUGCUAAACUGAGUUGUGGAUUGAUUAUAACUUUUAUCCUAAUUAUAUAAUAUUGAUUCUUUUUUAUUAUAUAUAUACAUAUAUAUGUACACACACACGAUCUAAACAAGAUUAUAAAUUGAGCAAAUUUAAUAAUUAUAAUAACAUCAUUACAAAUAUACAAAAUGCGACACAUAAUAAACUUUUGCUAAUGAAGAGAAAUAAAAAGUAAUAUCUCAUGGCUAGACUCUAACCUAAAACUAUCAGUCAGCCAAAGUUGUUUCAGGUCAUUAAUAAGCCUAAAAUCUACAACCCGGCUGCCUAAUGGCUUGGUGAUAUAAAAUCACAACUCAGUUGAACUAAUUUUAUUUGAAAAUACGAUAAAAAAAUAUUUUUUAUUAAAAAUAUAUUAAAAUAAUUUUUUUAUUUUUUAAAAUUUAUUUAUAAUAUUAACUCAUUAAAAUAAUUUUAAAAACUAAAAAUUUAAUUUAAAAUUAAAAAAAUAAAACAUUUUCAAAAUUAUAAUUAGAUUGGAAAGUCAAACAGGAACAAAAUUGAUAUUGAAUAAUGAAUACCUCUAUUUUUGCAUAUAGUAUACAUUAAUGAAAAUUUUAUUUACAAGAUAUGAAAUAAAUUUUUUUUUUUAUAAAACCCCUUUAAUUAGAAAAGUAUUUUUAUUUUUAACUAUGAUUCCACAAAACCUCAGUUACCAAUUUAAAUUUGAAACAACUUAUCUCAUUCAAAAUGUACACAAUCUUCUUUAUUAAAAGUUGGAUAAAGAAAUUUGAAGGGGAAAAAAGUCAAUGAAGUAUCAUCUUGUCUUAUUUUAAGUGGAUUUUUUCUCAUAUAAAAUAAAUAAAGUUGUUGGACGUGAAUUGAACCCUGCUCUUUGGAAACAUGUAUCAUUGAACUUGGAAAUUGGCAAAACAAUAUUAAUGAUUUCUUCCACAAAAACGUGCAUGCGUACCCCUAUUGAUUCAAUGAAAGAAUAUAGACUUGACCAGUAUGAAUUUUUAUUUUUUUUAAAAAAAUGGACAGCGAGAGAGAGAGAGAGAGAGAGAGAGAGAGAGAGAGGAGCUCCAUGAUUGUUGAUUAGAUUUAACAGAACAAAAAUGAAUAUUUCCUGUGGUAAUUUACAAUUGAACUAAUAACGGAUAAAUCCUAAACAUGAGGAAAAUUGAUAGCUUGAUUCCCAUCUUUCUCAGUGAAUCUAAUUUUUUUCUGGGCCUGUGAUGUCAAAUCUAUUGAAAAAAGGUAAAAUUGAGAUGCGAAAUCUAUUGAGAUAAGACCACUUCCAAGCCCUCGUUGUAUCUUGAUCUUGUUCUUCCAGGAGAGUUGACAAUUUCUUCCAUGCCUUUCCUUUUGUUGUUAGGUUGAUCUUCUUCCUUGCACCUUCCCUUCAUUAGAUGGGGUCUAAGUUUGUUGACAUCGGACAAUUGAACUGGCUUCAAGAAGAACUCUUCUGCUCCUUCUUCCAAGCAUCUGAUCAACACAGAUCAUUAAUAACCCAGGUCAGAUUAGGAUUUAAUUAAGUAUACAAAGUUUUAAACAGUCUUAAUUGAGGACAUUCUCACCUAUUGAUUCUUGAGGGGACGUUCUCCGAGGACAUGAUCACAACUGGGAUAUCCUUGAAAUACUUGGAUUCCUGGGAAAAAUGCAACUACGCAGUCAGAUUCUUGCUCAAAAACGGUGAUCAAAUGGACAAAAACAGAUAGAUAUCUUGACGAACCAUCAGAAUUGAUUACCUUGAUCUUUUUUAGGAGAUCGUAGCCUGUCAUUCCUGGCAUACAGUAAUCUGUAAUGAUCAUGUUAAUUUCAAUGUGUUGAUGAUGAUGGUCAGGGGAAACAGAGGAAGGGUUUGAAUCUCUCUGCUCAUCAUCCCCGUUCAAACCCAAAAACUCCAAGGCCUUGCUUCCUGAAUCCACUGCUGUGACUGUAAAAACGAUGUCAGCAAUCAAGAACUAAAGUUCAAAAUAAUAUACAAUCCAUUAAAUCCCUUUAGGAUUUGACAUCAAUAUACCCUGAUAAGAAGAGGUUUUGAGGAGCCUUUCAAUCAACUUUCUGUCAAUAAGGCUAUCAUCAACAGCCAGAACAUGAAACUGAGUCUCGGUAGCCAGAGCAGCCAAAGCAGCCAUCACAGUUCCGCUAGUGAUGCGUCAAGCCAAGAAAAGAAACAAGAAGAAAGAAUACUGAAACCAAGAAAGCAGCCACAAGGGGAUGAAGAGAAGGGAGGGAAGGUGGAGGACUUUUAAAUGGGAAGCCAUAGGAGGUGAAAAUCCUGUAGAAAAUCUGGACAGUUUGGAAAGCAAGAUCCGGCAGAUUUCCUCGAGAAUCUUAAGGAUCUUCUAGGUUGAUUUUUGAAUUAGACAACAAGCAAAGACGGUGUUAUGUGGUUCAUUUUUCUAUUUUAAUAAUUGAACCAUACUCAUUAUAAUAAUUUUUCAAAUUUUGACCCUUUCGAUUGAGCUUUUAAGAUGACUAUUGAAGCAACUCAACGUGACAUAACGAGUUAACCAGGCCAACUCGUUGAUCUAUUUUCUAACCCAGGUCAAGUUUAAUAAAUUAAAUUAAAUUUCACUACAUUUUUUUCAGUCAAACAACUCAUGACACACUUAAAAUCCAUUGAUUUUUUUUUAAAUAACUUCUUUUGUUCUUUAUUUUUUUUUAAUCUAUCAAGUUAUGUCGGUUAACCUAUUCGAGUCAUAACACAGCACUCACAACGAGUGGCAGCUUGAAUAAGGUUUAAUAAUUGUGAUUAGGAGGGCCCCCCUACUUGACCUUUUCAAUCACAAGCUAAGGUACGGUUUGAGGGUGCCAUGGACGUGCAUGACGUGCUACAGCUAUGAAAUAUAUUUUUUUUAGCCAAUAGCAGCAUUCGACCCUAAUUUGCCAUUUUUUCAAAGAGGGCAACCUCAAAACUUAGAUUUCUUUGUGGAUAGGAUCGUCUGAAUUGAUUCUAUUAACAAUAACAUGUGAGGAUUACUAGGUAAAAAAUAAAUAAAAAUUGAAUUUGGCAAUUGAAACUUCACAUUUUAUUCUGAUCCAUGGGAAUUAAUUGAUUUUUAGGUUUUUUUGUUGUUGUUGGGUCAUUGUAUCUUGUCUUGUUGUGUGUUGUUUGGUGUACAAAUUAAUUAGUCGUGGAUUUGACCAUGGAUAAGGGUCUUCAUGGAUAUAAUAGGUGGGGAGUUUUGAUUGACCCGUAAUUAUAUAUAAUUUAAUUUUUGAUAUUUUAUAAAAUAUAAACUUGAUUUAUUUAUUUUUUAAACUUGAACGAGUUGAAUAUAUAGGCUGAGCUAAAAUUUUUAUGAAUAUUACAUAUCAUGGAUUUAACAUAUUAAUUUUAUUAUUUUUUAACUAUCCUAAAAAAAUAUCUGAUUGUAAAAAACAUUGGUUAUACAAGUAAAAGAUAAAAAAUUGAUAAGUAAGGAAGCACUUGAAGUUUGAAAGAAAAAAAAAGGGAAAUGAAUUAAAAGCAGUCAAUUCAGUACAAUAACUUUGACAUACUGUUUUACAUCUAGAAUAUGAUUGAGAUAAUGGUAAAUAUUAUUUUUUUAAAAAAAAUAUAUAUUAAAAUAAUUUUUUUAUAUUUUUAAUAUUGAUAUAUCAAAAUGAUAAAAAAAAUACUAAAAAUAUUAUUUAAAACUAAAAAUAUAAAUCUUUUAAAAAACUGCAAAGUCAGAUAAUUUUAAAAGGAGUUGGUCUGAGUUCCACACUAGAAAAAAUUAAAAAAUAUAUCAAUGUUAUUAAUUCAAAAAAAUAACUCUAAUUUUACCUAAUAAGUUUUAUUCAAUGAAUGAAUAAAUGGAUGGACUGCAUAAAUUUUCUUUGAGUGGUUCAUGAAAUUAGCAUUAUUCAUUAAAAACUAUAUAUUUCCAAGGAAGACAUCAAGCCUAAUCAAAUCUCGACCUAACUAUAGAUCCAAAAAAAAAAAAUCUCAAGGAAUAUAAUAUGAUUUUAAUUGGUGGUGCUUAUGAUAUCCAAUUACAACCCAGCAUGAGAUGAGACUUCUAACCAUGCAGCCUGUUGGACCGUCCACCAAAUUUAGAAUACCAGGUUUUAGGUCAAAAUCAUCGUGAAUAUUUUCAUUAUUCCACCGCAGAUUUGCUACUCAGGGCCGUCGUAAGAUCUUGGUUGCUUUCGAGGAGAUCACUGAAUAAUGGCCUGAUUGUUAUCUUGUUUCGUAUCUGUUAAGGUUGUGUUUGUAUUUCUAUGAGAUAACAUAUUUUUUUUAUACCAAACUUUUUUGCUGAUAAAAUAUGGAAAUCCACCAAAGCAGAGAUCGACAGCGAAGGGCCACCUAAUUAUGGGCAAACUUAAAAAGAAAUACAAGAAAACAUGCUAAUUAGAUACUAUCACCAAAGCUAAUCAUCUUUAGAGAUAUAAAAUAUUACGCUUUGGCUAGUGUUUUAUAACCCAAAAAAAAAAAAUAUUUGAUUGUGUUUUGUUAAAAAAUAGAGACGACAAUAUAAAAUUUUAUAACAAAAAAGAUAGAGAUAAAAGAACACACACACAUAUAUAUAUAUAUAUAUAUAUAUAUUUGAUUGUAUUUUUUCAAAGAAAUGAAGAUGAGAAUAUAAAUAAAUUUAUCUCUAAUACAAUUUUAAAAUAAAAAAAAAUACAAUCAGACAUGUCUAUUUUAUUUUUAUUAUUAUUGAUUUUUUUUGUCUCAAAAUGAUGCCCAAUAUUAAAGUUGAUCCAUCUUUCUUUCUUUCUUACACGUUUUUUUCCCACUUAUUCUAGUUUAAUUAAUUAACACGCAAAUUACAUUAAAAAUCGGGGUCAAUUAAUUUAAUUGAUAAAAUAAUUAAUGAAAAUUGCGAUAAUUGUUCAAUUAAUAAAGUGAUUUGAUGCUAAGAAUCACCAUGGCAACGAACUAAUUAAAACCUAAAUCAAUUUCGAAUUAUUCAAAUCAUAUUUUUCUUUUAGAUAUUACUCAUGAGAUUUCUUCCAAGAAACAUGAAAAUCUAAUCCUGAUAAUAUGGGAUUGGAUGAAAUCAUGAAAACAAUAACCAGGAAAAAACAACAUCACAUUAUUUCUUGAGUGAAUAGAAAUUAUUGCAUUCUUGGUAAACAGUUGCAACAUUUUUUUUAUUUGAAGUUCCAAAAAGAACCAGAGCAUGUCCAGUUCUAACUAGCAUUAAGAUCCACAAAAUGGCUAGCAGAUAAAACCCAGAAGAAGGGAGGUGGGGGCACGAACCCACCAAAUCACCAUGGGAGAUCUGGUGCCAUCACUCUCCAGUGCCAAAUCAUGUGCUCUUAUCUUCUUCCUCGUUGUGGGAUUUGUUUAAUUACUAUGAACUUAUUCGUAUCCAUGGAAUCCCUGUGUCACUGUUAUUUAGAAAUUCGAAGUAUCUUCAUGGUAUCAAGGAUCUUGUUUUUGUGGGAUUUUAUUUGCUUAUUUUCUGACCUUUCACUUCGUACGGGAUGAUCUUCUAUUUUGUUUACUGCUUUAUUGAUCAAUGUGAGAUUCCCUGCAUUUUUCGUGCAUGGGAAGGAUUUGGAGGGGGUUAAAAAAUAUUUUAAUAUAUUUGUAAGAAAAAUAUAUUUUUAAAAAGCAAAGGUAGUAGAAAAAUGCAGUUGCUUCGAAGGGAGGCACCGACUUCGAAACGACGCGGUCCGAGCGCUCCAAAAUCCCAUGCAGGAUGUGGUGUCUUCAGGUGCAAGUAAGGCAUUAAUAAUUCAUGUGAUGGUGUCCUCCUGCUAAAUAAUUGCUUGUUUGAUAUUUAUUUUGGUUCAUAAUUAUUAAACAAACAUGUUUGGGUUAAUCUAAUCAAGUAUGUGUUUGAUAUUAUGAUAGUGAGUAGAAUUUUAGUUAUAAUAGUAAGAAAACAGGUUUUUUUUUUUAAAUAUUUAAUUAAAACUAGAUGGAUUUUUAUAUAUAAAUUAAAUAAAAAAUAUGUUAUUUUAACUUUUAUAUAAUUAAAGUUUCAAACGUAAGUAUGUAUAAGAUUAAGUAGAAAAAGUAUAAACUAUUUGACUAAUUAAAUUAUUUUUUAUUUAUAGUUGAAAAAAAUAAAAAUUAACAUAAUAUUUAUUAAUAGUUUCUAAAUAUAAUUUAAAUUAAAUCGGAUCAAUAUAAAAAUUUAAUAUUUUAAAAUAAAUUAAUAUUGUUGUGAUGAAAAAAAAAUGAUUGACUUGGUGACCCAAUCCUUUUAUAGGUCAGAAGUCAAGACGGAACUAAUUUACACUAAGCUAUCAUUUAAUCCCUAUAUUCUUAACAAAAUAAUUAACUAAUUAAUUUAGUUUAAAACCCUCGAUAUUGAAGCCUUGUGUUUCUAUAUUUUAUUUUGUAAUUUAGUCAUUCUUAUGGUUUUUAAUCAUCAACUCAAGUGAUCAAUGGUCUAAUUUAUGACAUUAAAAGUAGGAGAGACAUACAAAAUCACGAAACACAAUAGGGACCUAAUCAUAAUUUACCCUCUGGUUUCCAAGAAAAAAUGCCUUUUGGAAUAAGUAUAAACGCAUCCUUUAAUUAUUGCAGCGGUAAGAAUUAUGUAUUUAAUUAAUUAAUUCUGUAAAUUUAAUCUUUCUUAUUUUCUAAUGGUUUUAAUUAAUUUCUAUCCAAUUAUAUAUAUCAACUUUGAUUAAUAGAACCUCCUGUAAAAACUAAUUUUAGAACAAUUUCACAAAUUAAAACUAAUAACUACAACCAUAGAAACUAAUUUCCUAAAAUUAGGGACCGUUUUGAGUUUUAUCCCUUUUCCCAUGGUUUUUUUGGUAUGAAGUCCAAACGCGAUCCCAUGCCGAGUCAAUAAUAUGGACUUCAAUUUGUGGAGAAGCCCAAGUAAAAUGUAUGACCAUUUGGCCCAAUACGAGCGGGCCGGGACAGGUUUUGGCAAAUCUAAAUAAUUAAAUGCUUUCAUUUGAACUUUUUAUUCUCAUAGAUAAAAUAUUAAAUCAUUACAUUUUGUUUCACUGAUUACUAUUUAUUUUUAAUUUUUAAGGUCAUUAAACUGAUAAAUUAUUUUUUAAAUUAUUUAUUGAAGCUUUUUAUUAAGGACAUCAAAUAAUUCAAAAUUUAAUAAUGACUUUAACAAUCAACUCAUUUUAACAAUAAGUAAACAAUUAAACACUUCAAUUGAUGAUUUUAUUAAACAUAAAUACGUGACCUUAUUGAACCUACAUUGUGUUACGACUCAACUCAUUAUCAUCUCUAUUUAUCGGACUGUCAUUAAAUUAGUAUCUUAAAAAAGCUACCGAAAUAUAAAUUUUAUAAUGAAAAAAAGAGUGAUUUACUUAAUUACUUUCUCUAAUAAUUUCUGCUUAAAUAUUGCAAAUACAACCUCGUGUUUUUUGCAUCUAAUGUCCAGGCCCAGUCCCCUGCUCUAUCGUGGUUCCUCCUCACCUUCAACUUUUUUGUACACAAAACCACUAGCAAUCCACAAGUAAACACAAAAAUUUAAAGCACUCAAUGCUGCCAUCACACCCAGUAGAAGUAGUCAACAUGGGCACGGUUUAGAUUGUCACCAAGUAAAAUGCCAAUGGACCUUGCUGUAAUGGCCUGCACCGCAGUUAUAAUAGCAGUGUUGAUAAAGCUCCCAACUCCGAUCACACUUAUAUGGGCUGCAGCUCCGAGGCUUCUCAUCGAUUCCGGCAUUUGAUCGUAGAACAGUUCCUGCAAUCCGACGACAGUGAACACAUCUGAUAUUCCGCUGAUCAUGUACUGUGGGAGUAUCCACCAGACACUCAUCGGGAUUGUUGCUUUUGGGUUGUCCAUCAGACCGUGCUCUCUUGCGAGGCUAACCCUUUUAGCCUCUACUUGAGCUGCUACUACCAUUUCAACUAUAGACAGGAACAGGCCAAUGCCAAUCCGUUGUAGCAUAGUUAUACCAGAGCGGUGUCCGGUUAAUUUUCUUGCCGCAGGGACGAAGAUGCGGUCGUAGAUCGGAAUGGUAAAGAGGAUCGUGAGGCCUACGAGGCUUUGGAAUGAUGCUGGUGGAACUUGGAAGUUUGGUCCUAUUGAUCUGAUCAUUGUGCUGCCUUGCUUGAUGAAAAGAGUGUGUGUUUGAACUAAUACCGCCGUGAACAUGAAGCAACUUAACCAGAUGGGGAGGAGGCGCAGCACAAGCUUCACUUCUUCCACCUGGUUGAGUGAGCAUAAACGCCAAGGGUUUCUUGGCUUGCUUGAGGCAUCCAAAUUGUCAAUGAUCAUGGCCUUGUCCAAGAACCUGAAAGUUCAACAUGUAAUGAACGCUAGUCUAUGAAUAAUGGAUAUAAAUGACAUGCAUAAUUUCUCCCCAACUUAAAAAUAUAAUUUCAUAGAUUUGCUUAUCCAUAGUUUUUUUUUUCCUAUUAUAAACCUAAUCCCAGCAUGUCAUUGAUGAUGAUAUUUUCUUUAUUUUAGUGUUAUAGUUAAAUGUUAACAAGACAACUCUAGGUGACCUGACAUGUUGAUACAAUGACCCACUAAUCAAGGGUCAAGCUCAGCCAGGCUUGCUUUUGAACUUCCUGGAAAGUUAAUUGAUCAAACAUGGGUUACCUGGUGAAUUGACUCAUGACUUUAUUAAAAUUCAAAUAAUGUUUAAUUGUUUAAAAACAUUUCUCUAAAAUAAUGUUGUUUUAGUUUUUACUAUAUUUGUAUUUGCGCUAUGAUCUGAUUUUUUCUGUAAAAUAUUUAGGCGCCCCCAGUCAUGUUCAAAAAAGAAAAGAAAAGAGAAAUCUAAUAAUUCGGGUUAUAGUUUUAAUUAACUAAAUAAGCUAGUUUUAUUUGAAUUAUUUUGAAAAUAAAAAUAUCAAACAAGAAUAUAUAUAUAUAUAUAUAUAUAUAUAUAUAUAUAUAAUGACCAAGAUAACAUGAGAUAAUAAACCUUUAUUCAAAAGCCAAAAAAGAAUCAUUUAUAUGGUUAUGUUUAAUAAUUUUAUUUAUUAAAAUCAGUUCGUAAAAAAAUUCACACACAUAUAAAAUUUAUAGAAUAAAAUAAAGGAAAAACAAAACUAUGCAAGAUUGUAUAUAUUAAAAAUAUCAUAAAAAAUAAAUAUUUAAUCUAUUUAAAAUAAUAAAACAUUUACAAAUGAAUCAUAAUAAUCUCUUAAAAAAUUAAACACACCUAAUAUAAUUAAAAAAUAAUUUAAUUUUUAUAUAAAAAAUGUUAAAAAAAACAAAUAACAAAUAACAGAGAAGUGGUAUUAAUUAAAGCAUAAAUUUAAAAAUUAUUUUAAAAAAUAAAUUUAAAAAAAUGUGUUAAUAAAAACAUUAAAAUUUAAAAAAGAAAGAAAAAAACCAUAAUGAAAAAAAAUAAUACACCAUCACCUUGGAUUAAAGGGUGAAAUUAAAAAUAAAAAUUAUAAGAAUAAAAAAUUGAAAAUACCAAUACAAGAUAGAAAAUUGAACAUGUAUAAUUUUUCAACGUGUUUUUUUAUAUAAAAAAUCAUAAAAAAUUAAAUAAAUUACAAAUCAUUGUGUAAGUAAAUGAAAAAAAAAUCAUUAACUAUAAAUAAAAAUAUAAUUUAAAAAAUUAAGACAUAAAUUUCAAAGUCGCCGCUAUAUUACAUGUGUUUUUCAAUUUAGUUUUGUUUUUUUUAUUUCAACAUCUACUUCCAAAAAAACAAAAAACAAUUGGGUUCAAUCAUAUGCUUAAAAUAGCCCAAUUAUGUAAACAAAAAAAAUUUAAAAUCAAAAUAUUUUUUUUAAAAAAAUACCAUUACAACCCAUGUUCAAUUGUGAGAGGAUGAAUAAUAAAAAAUAUUAUAAUAUUUUCUCUGCUUUAGUUUUGGUUAAUUUGUAAUUUUUUUUCAUAACAAUAUCUUAUCAUUAAAAAGCCUACAACGUCACCUCAGUUAACCACCUAACAUGGACUUGAUACUUGAUACAAUUAUCACUAGUCAUGUCAUCCGUGAUUUAAUGCAGGCUAAAUAUUUGAAAAUAUUUUUUUAUUUUUAAAAAUAAAAUCUAUUCAUAUAAAAAAUAAAAAUAAAAUUAUAGAUAAAUAAAAAAACUCUUUAAAUUUAAAUACAUAACUAAAAUAAUAAUAAUUAUUUAAUAAAUGCUUCCCAAACAAAAUGAAAGAGAAAAGGGUAUUAAUUUAAAUAUAAAUUAAAACAAUUAAAGAAAAAACCAUUAAUUUUAAAAAAUAAUUAUAAAAAAAAAACCCUAAUUUUUUUGAAAAAAAAUCAUACGAUGUGUCGUUAGAUUUGUUCAGAUUCCGACCACUACGGUGGCUGAGAAAUCAAGACUUAAAUUGUUUUUAAGCAAAAGCCUUUUCUAAAAAAAUUAUUUUGACUUAAAACACCGCAGAAACCAUGAUAAACCUAUCUAUGGACUCAAAACACCGCCCCAAAAACCAAAAUCAACCCGAGUUCAUAUAUGUUUUUUCAUGAAAUUUAAAAGAACAAAAACACCUAAUAUAAACUUCUUUUAUCAAAUGAAAUCAUCAAACAAAAAUAUAGUCUAUUUUGGUGGUUUAAAUCGGUGUCAAUGAUAGUUUUUUCUUUCUACUACUGGAAUUCAAUGACUUCUGUCUCUCUCCUUUCUCAAUCAAGAAUUUAAAAAUAACAAAAAUAAACUUUUAUACUAAAAUUAAAUUAGAAAAACAUUGAGGCACUAAAGUUUAAGGACUAAAGUGUAUAUUUUGUGAAAUUUAUGGUAUACCUUCAAUGUUUAAUGUCUUUUUUAUUUCGAUUUCUUUUUUUCAAUCUCGUUUUUUUAUAAGAAAUCAAAAUUAAUUAAAAACUAAAUUAUUGAAAAAAAAAAGGUUUAGAAAUUAAAUUAAAAAUAUAUAAAAUUUUGCUCACUACUUUAAGAGAAAUACUUAAUAUUAAUAUGUGAAAUGAUAAAAGUUGAUUCUUGCAAAGUGGAAAAACCCACUACUUUAAGAGAAAUACUUAAUAAUUAUCACCAAAACUAAGCUAGGCCCCUCUUUCUGACGUGGAAGAUAUGGUUUCAGGAGAAGGUUAGACUUUUCUACUCGAGAGUUGAGAGAAAGCAAAGAAAAAAGAAAUUGAUGACCUGGAGCCACCUGGAAAGUAGGGGGGAAAAUCUUGAUGCUACCUGAAAGCAAGAAAGCUAUCAGUGAUUUGACAGCAGGUUGGAUUCCAUUCUUUUUUCAAGAAAGCAAAGAUUGUUCCUCGGAGAAAGAAAAGUUGUUAAUGAUUUUGGCUGAAGCAUGGCUUAACUGAUUCUAUUCAAAAGAAAGCAAAGCAAAAGGACUCGAUUAAUCUACCUUAAAAAUGAAAGUUAACAUUCUUUAUUGAACAUGGCUUGAUUCUGUUGAACAGAAAAAGGAAGCAGUGCACUGAUGAUCUUGACAGGACUUGUCCUGUCCAGGAUAAAAUAGGUAUAGAGGAUAUAAUUUACAGCUAUUCUUGAUGUGCUAGAGUUUCAGGAGUCCAUGCCACCCUCUGUUCCUCACCAUUAAAGCAAAUUAACAGAUCAGAGCUUAAAGAUUCUUUAAACUUAGUUUUAGAUUCUUAAACUAGAGGAUUUACUGAAUUUAAGUUGUUAAAUAAAAUUCUUGUCCCCAGAAACCUCAAGUUGUUGAAUAACAGAGGCUUGAGUCUUGAAGAAAUUACUAUGCUUUUCUAGGUUCUGAAGUGUGAACAGAGUUAUUGUGGAGGCAGCGAAUCUCUAAGAUGCUUUGCAUGGUUGCAUUUUCUUGCAAACCAAACAGCACUUUUUCUCAGAAAAUCCAAAUAAAAUUGAUGCCUUGAGCAUUUUUAGGCCAACGAAUCUAACACUAGGCAAACCCAUUAAGAGGCAGCAAUGUUCAUUGAUAUGACCCCGACCAAUACUAACCAUUAACCCCCUUGUUCUUCAUUUCAACAUGGCCAUCGAAGAUAAGAGGAGACUUUAACACUAUAUGCUUGCCUUUUGAAUUGACUGAUACCUGUAUUGAUUUGUGGCAGCCAAAGUUCGACUGUUGCCGGGUUGACCUUCCACGUCAGUCCCUACUGCCUCAUAACAAAUGCCCAAACCUUGGUGAGUCUCGAUCACGCGCCGCUUCCGCAUGGCUGCCACAAAUACUUGUGCCACCAUGGUGAAAGGGCUUUUCACUGGAGCUUGUUUCCUGUAUCUCUUAAUUCCUGCUAAGAAUAUAAACAAUGCCACCCCUAAUGCUCCUGUCAGCAUUCCAAAUCCUGCUGUCCAUCCCACAUUGUCCUAUUCAUCACAUCAUCACAAUUUCAAUAUUACAUUCCACGUUCAUCAAUGCCACAUAAUUUCUUAACAUUAAUGCGUUGAGCAUCAAGUACUAUUUGGGUCAUGGGUAAGAAGCAUAAUAAUGAAACUCGGUCUGGCCUAUGACCCGACUUAAAUAUUAGGUUAUGAGUUAGUUAUGUUAACCCGAUCAAUUAAAACAAAAUCAUUUUAACCCAAUCAAUUAAAACAAAAUCAUUUUAAAUUUUCAAGUUAAAACUAUAUUUUUUUUAUUUAAAUAACUUAAGUUUCGACUGGAUCGCGUGUUGAUCCGUUGAGUUGAUUAGGACGUCAUGUUAAAUCAACUCUUUUUAUUUUUUAAACUUGCCUCAGCCGUGUUUUGAAUCAAACCACUUAGUGAAGCCGGGUUUAACAGCUGUGGUAUAAGAAGUGAAGUGUUGCUCUCAUUUCCAUCGGAAAAUUGGGAAAUAAUACAAAGCCCGGUUUACCUGAAUGUAAAUGACCAACAGGACAGCAGAAGAUCCGCCGGCCACUAUACCUAAGUACCACCAAUUGAAGAAUGAACUCUUGGCCGCCUUCUCCUCUGGCUUCUCCUCAUCAAACUGAUCCGCUGCAAAGGUCUGCACACAUGGCUUGUGCCCGCCUUCACCAACAGCUAGUAUGUAGAGAGCAAUAAAGAACACAGCCUCACGGUAACGCAUAGGAAUUACCGAGACCGAUAAGGUCAACAGAAUCAUCCCCUGUGAUUUAAAUUCAUUCGAGCAGAAUUAUCAACAAAAAGUCAAGUACUGCACAGUCUUUGUAGUUGUAAGUAGAUGAACAUCACAAAGAAAAAAAAUAUCAAAAACAAUUUCAGUCAAGUUAGCCAGAGGGUGUGCUUCACACAUUAUGGCCAGGUUCUGAGUUCUUCUGGGCAAGGAACAGUUAGAUUUUGCAGGAGCUGUUAGGCACCAGGAUAUCUUCAGAAUUACCAUAACAAGUUACGAAGGAAGGGGAGUCAAAAAUGGUAUAUAGCCAGUGAACAUACGAGGAAGUAAAUGGCGGAGGCAAGAAGGAUGGUCUUGAAGCGGCCAAGUAAAGAGUCAGCUACAAUUGCUCCGAAGAUGGGGAAGAUUGCUGAUACACCAACCCAUGUGUUGACAUUCUUGAUGGCUGUGGAAGUCGAUUGAUGAAGAUCAUUUGUGAGGUAUGUUAUGAGGUUGCCAGCCAAACCAUAGUAGGCAAACCUCAGACUCACCUCAACAACUACAGCCAUACAUGAUGAAAUGAAAGUUUCAGCUCUUUAGAACAGCGUUAAAAGAAGAAGAAUUUUUGUUCAAAGAAAAAUAAAGGAUGAUGAUGAAGUUUUUAGCUUACAGAUAAUGAAGAUGGCAGAAUUCCAGCCACCUUUGGUGGGUUUUCGCAGGGUAGAGACGACCUUGGUCUCUUCCUGACCAUUCCGAGUCAUGAUUGGAGCAACGACGAUAUCCAUGGAAGGUUGUAAGAAUUUUUGGACAUGGUUUGAAAGGCUAAUUUCUUGAGUAUUUAUAGAAUUUUUUUUUGAAAACAAUUUAUUGCCGUCAAGAGGAAGGCAGACUUAGACAGUCCAUUUGAUCUCAGAAAAUAUCAAGAGAGUGACAUUUCAACAGCUGGAAAAAGAUUGGUUCCCGUGGUUAGGUGAGAACACCCCAUGCACUCCAAAUUAAUUUUUAGCAUUAGUAAUUAUUAAGAAAAACUUCAAAAAUGCCAUAAUUGCAAAACUCUAUCCAUGGUAAGGCCUAGAUUAUGAAUUUACAGGGUUAAUUUCUAUCAACCUGACUCAAAUAAUAAAAUUAUUUUAAUAAUAAAAUAAAUUAAUAAAUUGAGGCUUAAGUUUUGAUUAAUCAAACCAAGUUAACUAAGUUACCAAAUCAAUCUAUAUUUUUAAUGAGAAUAUUCAAUUUUAUUUUUUUUUAAACUAGAAUCGGUUCAGAUUUCAGUUAUUGCAACUAUAAAAAAUACAUAUGAAUUAUAAGAUUAAUGAGACUUGUAAAUGGAUUUUAUUUUAAAAUUAUGUUUUGAUUGCUCAAAUUACUCGAGUACUUUUAUGUUACCUCACAUUUAUAACAUUUAUAUGAAAAACUCAAACCACCAUACCAUUUGAUCAUAUGAGUUUUUUUUUUUUUAAAAAAAAAUUCUAUUCCCUUGGGUAUGUGUGUGUCUAUAUAUAUAUAAAAUUGAAACUUACGAUAUUUUCAGGUCUGUAAUUAAUUAGAGGUUGAUAUAUCAAUGUUUUUAAAGAGUCAAGGGAUUUAAACUCAAGAUUCUUUAAAAACAUUGACAUAUCAACCUCUAAUUAAUUAUACAGCUAAAAAUGUGAUAAGUUUCAAUUUUACACGCACACACAUAUAUAUAUGGACAAAUUAUUUCUAAAUAAAUAAAUACACACACACAUUUAAAGACAGUAAACAGUUAAUAUUUUGUUAUUUUUCUGAGAUAAAUUAAAGAGAUAGAGAUACUGAAAAUAAAUAAAAUUUGUUUUUAUUUUUAUUUUAAAAAGAUAAAAAUUCACUUAAAAGUUAUGUAUCUUGCUUCAUCACUCUAAUAAUAUAUAUUCUUUCAUUCUAAAACAUUGACCAAACACAACAUUAUUUAUUUAAAAUCUAAUUAGCUUUCUGUAUCUUAACAAGGAAUGGCAAGUUGCUUAUAUUACUCGUUGAGUACAUGCCAGACCAUGCCCGUUACAGCCAGAUUAUCAUGCCCGAUAAAGUAUAUAUAGCUCAAGUUGAAAACUGUGAGGUUAUGGGAGGGGCCAUUGAUGGAACCAGACGAGAGCCACGUGCCUCCAUCCUAUACUGUUUUGUAUUUUGCAAAUAAUUAGCUAUGUUUAUUUAUUACUACUCCAAGCCGUUUUACUUUUAUGGGCUCUUCAAUCCUCCCCUGAAUUCUGCUGGCUAUAUUUAUUAUGUUGACCUUUAUAUAACGUAAAAUGACUCCCUCUCUCUCCACCGUGCACGCUCACUCACCGUGCUCUCCUCCGUGAACAAGUCUCGAAGCCUUGCCAUGGAUUGUUAAGAUCGAAGCAGUUUUUUUAGUUAAAAAAACCAGUUAUUUUUCAAGGCAUAAUUAAGUAGAUGUAAGAAAAGAAAAAUCAUUUUCUCCAUCUCUCGCUGGUAUUUUCAUCGUCUGCUUGGAGAUUAAUGUUUCUUAACUUGUUUUUAGUUUAGUGUUAAAAGUUGAUGGUUAAUUAUUAAGAGAUUUAAGGCUAAAAAUAUUAAAUCGUAGUUGAAAAAUAAAAUAUUAAAAAUGUUUCAUAUAUAAGAGAUGGUCAAAAAAACCAGCCAAUGACUAAAAAAAUAAAAAAUUAAUUAAUUCAAAAAACUGAACAGAGAGAAAAGAUUGAAGAAACCAAUUUAAAAACUAGAAAAAUCACUCAGUAGGGUUCGCGAUGAACCAAGAUUUUAUUAGUAUAUCUUUAUAUGUCUUUACCAAAAUAUACUGAAUCAAGAAAAACUCACAGGUAUAAUUUUCUCGAACACAAGCACGCUCUAAUGGAAGCGUGUUGGGCCCAGCACUAACCAAACCCGGCUACAGUUGGGUUUGAUAGUGUGUCAAGCCUCAAAUGAGCCGGGUUUGGCCGGCAUCAACCCCAUGUUGAGGACUGGUAGCACCAGUCCAUUAUUGCCAUACCCAACUAUUAGGUCUAACAGUUGUUGCCAAGUCUAGUAGCUUGAUACGUGGUGUCUUGAAAGUAUCCAAGUCGAGGAUUUCUAUCAUUGGGCAUGACUGGAUUCGCUACACCUAUUGAUUCAAGCAUAAUAUCUAAAUCUAACGCCAUCAAUUCUAAAGAUUUCUAUAUAAAAUAUUAGAUGAUUUAUUUCUUAACAAAUCAGUUUAAUUAAAUAAAUCUACACUCUGUCAACACCAUUAAAUGUAUUAAAGUCUUUCAUGAUUUAUAAUGUCUCUAUAUUUUUUAUGAAUAAAAUUAGUGAAAUACAACUUAAAUUAUCAUAAAGAUAAAAUUACAUUUCGAUCAUUCUUUUCCAUAAAAGGACAAAACUUGUUAACUAUAAAUACAUAAUGAGAUCUUCAGAACAACAUUUCACAAUCCUCAUUUUUUACAUAUAUAUAUAUAUGGGACCUUUUGUAGUUAUAAGUCAGAAGUCACUUUCGCCUACCAAGCAAAUCAACAACCAUCUUUGGCUAGAUAAAAUAAAUGAAAUUGUUAACUAAUUAUUUAGAAACCCUGUUUCGAGACUAAUUGAAAUUUUUAGAUUUCAUCAGUUUAGUUUCAGUUUUAAAAAGCUAAAAACAAAUCAUCCGAAUAUAAAUCAACUGAUACAAAACAGGUAUAAAUAGAAACUUAAAACAAAUUAUUAACCUUGAAUGAUCUACCUGUUUUGUUAUUAGUUGGAGCAGGUCUUGAAUCACCACCAAAGGAAAUGGGGGGGCUGUACGAUUUAUAUUUCGAGGCCCUCCAUCUCCAUUUUAAAAUUUCAAAGUAACAAACUAUUUGUGGGUUAAUUGUUUCGUUCUUUUGUCCUUUGUAAAAGUGUUUUUGUUUCUGAUGAAUUUGUCUUUCUUGUGAUUAUUUAAUACUUAUUGUUGGAUUUAAGAGCACAAAGAGUUGAUUUUUUGCUUCUGUCAAUAAUGAGAACUUCCAAGAAAUCCAAAUCCUGGUGUUGGUGCUUCUGUCAAACCACAUACCUAUCAUGUUUUUUCUUUUAAUUUUUUAAACAAAUUUCAUAUAAAAAAUUAAAUUAUCAUGUGCUUUAUUAUUAAAAAAUAAUUUAUAAAAUAAAAAAUUUAUUAAAUCCGAUAACGCGCAUAACUUGCAUCACGAGUUUGUUUAAUAGACUCAAGUUCAUUUAAUUUUUUUAUUAAUUAAAUGCUAUUUUUUAUCAGUUUUAUCCUUAUAUAUAUUAAUUUAAUUUAGAAUUGAAUUUUUUUAAUUUUUUUCAGAAUUAUCUCCAUAAAUCUUGCAAGUCAACCAAUUUAAUGUCGAUAAAUCAAAUAUUUUUUAAUAUUAUCACCAGAUAAAUAUAUCGUUUAACUCAUGAUUACUAGAUUUGUAUGGAGAUCUUUGUGCUUGACUUUUGAGUUUGAAAACUACGUCAUAGUGGCAUCCUUCAAGUAUCACGAAGACCUAGACCUGAGUCGUCUUUUAGCCGUGCAAGUAAUUCUCCAUACGUCUCUAUGCACAAGUCAAAAAAGGAUAUUGGAAACACAUCAAAGAUUUCCCUUUACCCCUUCCUUUUGAGCUUAUCUUUUCUCCUUUUCCGUUUUGUUGUGUGAAUAGUUUUGGAGAAAUUAUUCAUAUUUGAGCUCUAUGCUAGUUUCUCCACCAUCAAAAACACUUGAAGAUUAGGUUUUCGUUUGCCCUAUCUAGCUAGGAUACUAACAAGAGAACUUCUUCUGCAGCACUCUAGCUAGCUAGAUUGGUUGGUAUACUCUCACGUAGGGCUACCAUAUUGGUGGAAAAUGCACUCCUUUUAGAAGGUGUUUGGGAGUGUGGUAGCUGUUACUUUUCAAAUAGCUUUUCGUGCCGAAAAACAUGUCAAUAAUGUUUUUUUAUUUUUUAAAAAUCAUUUUUGAUAUCAGCACAUCAAAACGAUUCAGAAAGUACAAAUCAUAUUCAAUUUUAGCAAAAAAAAAAACAAAAAUUAAAAUUUUAUAAAAAACUGUUUGGACCGCGAUGCCAAACAGCCUCUUAGUGUGACGAUUACCCCCAAUAAAUAGUAUUCUAUACCGACUCCACUACUUUUCCUUGCAUCAUCGAUGACAAGAUCAGCAAAUUAUCGUCCCAACAUUCGAGCAGUGAUUUUAAUAUCCAGACUCUAGUAUCUUCGUACAGAGCCCGUGAACUCGAUAAUGGUCAUCUCUAUCUCUGUAUGCACAGGAGUCAAUGAAGGGAUCUUGCAAGUUAGUCUCGAAGAUCACCACUCUAGCAGUCUAGUGGGCUAAGUUGGUUGUGCUUACACUUAAAAAAUGCUGGUAGAAAGUGUAAUUAUAGUUAUUUUUAAAAUAAUUUUUAUUUAAAAAUAUAUUAAAAUAAUUUUUUAUUAUUUUUUAAAAAUUAAUUUUAAUAUUAGCAUAUUAAAAUUAUCUAAAAACAUCAAAAAUAUAAUAAUUUUUUUAAAAAUAAAUUUAAAAAACAAAAAAAUAAGCAGUCUUAAUUAAUUCUAUAAGUGGAAAUUGCACUUCUUUGGUGUGACUUACGAUGCACUCUUUAAGAAAAAAUCUAGACCGACUGCACUACCUUCGCCAGCAUCAUCAAUGACAAGGAAAACAAAUUAUUGUUCCAACAUUCGAUCAGUAAUUUUAAAAUCUAGAUUUUAGCUUUAAUUUGUAUGGUGCUCAUGAAUAUUUAUAUAAUUCUCAUCCCAUGAUCACUAAAUUAGCGAUCUAGCUUGCUUCUUCUCUUUGAUGUUAUCCUAAUUGUUUGCCAUUAAAUCAUCUUCCAUGCAUUGUUGUCAAAAGCUGGAAAGAAAAGGUGCUAGCCAGUAGGAUAUAUCAACGAAAAAUGUUGAGUUGAAGUUAUUUUGGGUUCAUUAUUAGCCUAUAAUCAAAGUUAUUAAAUCUAAUGUGAUUCAUGAUGUAAAUUAAAAAUAGUGCUAUUAUUUUUUAAAAAAUAUUUAAAAUAAUAUUAUUUUUAAGAGGUUUUUAAAAUAAAAAAUCAAAUAAAAUAUUGAUAAGAUUGAUUAGAUCGUGAAUUCACUCAUUUAUCAACUUUAAUGUCAGUUUUUUUUUUUAAUUUCACUUGACCAAAAAGCUGCGAGGAAUAUCGAAUCUUGGAUUAAUUUACCAAGCAAAGUGGAGUUCAAUAAUUAUAUAUGCAACAAAAACUACCAUAUAUGAUAUUUCCUCAUAUCAUCAUAAUAUAUAAUGAUGAUAUGCUUAGAAGAACACGAAAAUGAGCUUCUAUUCUUAGUUUAAAUUAUAUACUUCAAGUCAAACUUUUUACAAUUUUCAAUAUACCAUGACUAAAAAACAGAAAAAAAUCAAAAUAUUAUAUGAUCUUUGAAAUUGAGGGUCACCGAAUAAUUCAUGCUGGGGAUAUCGAAAAGCACUCUAAUAACGACUAGUCUACGAAUAUAUAUGAUAAAUAAUAAUAAUUACAAGAGUACAAAUACUGGGAAAGAUUCGACGAUCCAAAUCAAAGGUUCAUGCAUGUGAAUAGAAGCUGUUGAGUGAAGAUGUAUAGAUAUGUCAUAACACUGUAACCACAGCAUUAUAUAUAUUGGCCACGAGCUUUCUGUGCAUUUAUACAUGCACAGAGAUUUUUCUUUGAGCUGUGCACGUCUCAUGAACUAUAUGGCGAGAACAUCUAGCAGAAAUACCAAGGGAUUUGACAAUAUUCCACUAAGUUUUUGUGGUAUACAAAGUACCAUAUGAAACGUGUAAGCUAAAAUGCUUCCAUGAGCAAAGAACAGUGAUUGGGACAGCCUAGCUAGCUCCACCUGAAUCAAUGAAGACUGGUCCGAAAAUGUGUAAAUUAAUAAAUAUCCACCACAUGCUUGGGGUUUGAGAGUGCAAAAAUCCCUCACUGUAUGUUUGUUGUAAUCUAUGAUCACCUCAUGACUUCAAGACUUUGAGCAGUAAGUAAUUAGCAAUUGCUUGAUGAAAUUGGUGUUUAGGUGUUUUGUAUUAUUGUGUAAGGUUUUUUUAAAAAAGAAUUUCAUGUUUUAUUUUUAUUUUUAAUAUAGUGUAUAAAAACUAUAAAAAACUAAUAAAUUAUUAAUUUAAUAUAUUUUUUAAAUAAAAAGUAUUUUUAAAAGGCAUUUAAAAGUAAAAACUACAAUACUCUAAAACAUAUUUAAGUUUUAAAAAAAAUAUUGUUGUACAAUUUUUUUAUUCAUAAGCAAGUCAAAAUUAAAGCGGGAAGCUUAUAAGAAACUCAAAAUUCAAGAAAAAAAUAGACACGUAUGAGUUUUGUAACGAAAAUAGAUAUAGUUUUUAAUUUGAUUAUUGAUUUGAGCUGAGAUUUUAUCAUGCGUUUUAUAAGUCUGAUUCUAUAGCAAGUCAACUAGCUCUUAAUCCAUUGAGAUUGGUAAUUUCCAUGCUCAAAUUAAAUCCAGAAGUUACUGUUAAGAAUUUUUUUCUUUGUUUUUCUUGUUGCUCUCGGAUUUUUUUUCUAGUUAUUCUUGUUUUAGUUUUCUUUUAUAAAAUAAUAAUUUGGUUUAACUACUAAAUAAAUAGUUCACGUAUUAUUUUUCAAAAUAAUUUUAAGAAUCAGUAAAUCUCUGAAUACAUCAAAAACAAGAAUAUUUUCUUUACAGUUUUCGUUUUUGUUUUUCCUACACGCUGUGUCAAGAACACAGUGUUGCUACAAGCUUUUUGGAUUUAAGCAAUGGAUGGCCUGUAAAGUCGGAAAUUAUUGGUUUUGACAAUCCACCACUACUUCAAUCCCUGACCUCGGUCAGGCGAGGUCCUUGAAAUGACGAAUCAGCAGCCGCCCAGAAAUGUGAGUUAUCAUCAACAAACAGGGUUUUCAAAAUUGUACAACACUAUCAUGAUUUUAUUUCUAGAUUUCGAGAUAAGAAUGAUUAUAAUAUUUUUUAAAAUAUUUUUUAUUUAAAAAUAUAUUAAAAUAUUUUUUUAUUUAAAAGUUAUUUUUAAUAUUAGUAUAUUAAAAUAAUCUAAAAAUAUUAAUAUAUAUAUAAAUUAAAAAAAAAAAAACAACAAAAAUUUAAUUUUUUAAAAGUAUAUUUUUAAAAUACAAAACAAAUAAUACAAACUAUAAAUCAUUACCACUCCCACGUCGAUCCACCACUUGUAUCCCAACUAUACUUUUCUUUUCUUUACAGUGUGAUUUCAAAAUAGUUUUUGGUAUUUAAAACUAAGCUUUUUAUCCCAAUGCUAAAUUUAUCAAACUUGAUCAUGGGUUAAUUUGAGUUUUAUCAAAUUAUAAAUUGAACUAUUGAGUUAAUUUUCAUGGGCUUGUGGGUUAAUUAAUUCAAGUUUGAUCGAAUUAUGAGAUUAAUUUUUAUCUUGAUUUUUAAAAAAACUCAAGUUAGAUUUUAAGUUUAUUUAACCUAAUAUCAUUGUCUAAAACUAUCUUAUUUAAUGGAGGGUUAAUUGAUGAAUUUGUUCUAAUAUGUAAGGCAAUUUCUCCUUUCAAUCAUUGAAUUUUAGAGUCAAGCUCAUAAAUCAUAAUUACUAUAUACUAGUAAUAUAUUUUCAAUAGGCCCUUUUGUCUGUUUAUAAUUAUUUUGGUGGAAAAAAUAAAAUAAAAAAAGAGAAAAGUUGAAAGUAAAUAAAAAGGAGUGUCAAACUGAUCUGAUCACCUGGUUCAGUUGCUAGUUCCAACUUAGAACACAUACUCACUAUUUCCUUGCUUAAUUAUACUUAAUAAUAUAAUAAUUAAGAUUUGUGGAUCUUCAUAUUUUUAUUAUUAUUAUUAUUAUAUUAAGUAUAUACGGCACUCGUAUAGCCUCUUACUUGAUUGUGUUGACAUAACUCUAUUUUAUUUUCUUAUUUGUUAAGGUUAUUUUUUUUUUACAAAGAAAAAAAUUUCAUGUAAAAUAUCACUUUUAGCAUAAAAACGACAAAAAAUCAAUUGGAGAAUACAUUAAGACAUAAUUAUUUAAGGAUGCUAAAAAUCGUUUGGUGAAAACAUAAUAAAUAAGGAAAAACUAAUUCAUCAACCUUUUAAUCAAUGUUGUCGUAGCUAGGUGAAAGCAAUUAAGAAAUCCGUUAAUUCAAGAUUAAAAUUACGGAAAAUAAAAAGGAAAAUUUAUUAUAUAAAUCUUACACACAAAAAGGAAGAAGAAAAGAACAGAGCAAAAUUACUCUAUUUCCAUGAUGAUAAAAAAAAUAUAUAUAUAUAUUUCAGGAUGCAAGCCAAUGAGCACAAUGUAGCACCACGACAUUUCUGUCUUUGGUUCUUCUAAUCUAUUCUUUAAUCUUUACUGUACAUCAGUUGUGGGAGCCUCAGCCACUAACGGUUUUGAUAAAAAGGCUGGUACGUAUAACUGUUCCUAUUAAUUAUUAUUCAUUAUAACAUUUUUGAAAUAUAUAGCUAAGUUGGUGUAAUGGUCAAGAAGGUAUGUUAUUCGUAUCAUUAUUAAAAAUUCAAAUAUGACAGAAAAAAGUGAGAAAUAAACAUAAAAAUAACAUAAAGAUGUGAGAAAUAAAUUUAUAUAAAUCUUUUUAAAUCAUAGUGGUUAAACCCAACUUAUCCAACUUGCUGAUAUGAAAAAUUUGUGUAAUACAAAACCUGAUUUAGGCUAGGUUUCAAGUUACAUAGAAAAAAAAAUAACAUGAUAAAAUCUAAUAAAUUUGACGAAACCCAAUUCCAACUCAUAUUAGUUUGAUAUAAAAAAAUAAAACGACUUUCACUUUUAAAUGCUUUUUAAAAUUAUGUUUCUCUUAAAAAAAACAUCAAAUUAUUUUUUAAAAUAUUUUUUUUAUAAAUAUGAUAUGUUUAUAAUAAAAAUAAAAAAAAUAUUUUUAAAAAUCACAAUUCGGUAUAACAAUUAUGCUUUGACUUAAUUUGAUUAGACUGAAAACUCAAACACUACCACUAGAUUGUAAAGUAAAAACAAAUCAUAUGGGCGGCCAUUGAUUGGACGGAAAGCUCUUGUACUAUUGUUUCAUUUGUUGCUUCAUUUGUAUUGAAUUGAAGUUUGAUAGUGGAAGAGUUGGUGAGAUUUUUUAAUUAUGUUCCUUGAGUUGGAAAACAUCAGAAAGUUUAAAUUAUCACCUUAAAGAAUAGCGAAAAGAUUCAUGAAUUUCGAUCGAGUUCUUGGUUAGUAUCAAUGUCGAAGGGUCAACGUGGUACAAGGGAGGGGGACAAGCUGAUCAUGGCCUAGCUGUUGGUGGAAGGGCCGUGUACAGAGGGGGCUGCAGCUCAUCAGGUGGCUUGUCACAGGCUAGUGUGUUUUGAAUUGACUCCAUUAUAGUCUCCGAUGGAGCUUUUCCAAGGUGCAGCAAUUUCUUUGAAUUUCAAAAUAGGAAUACAAGCCUAGUGGUCUGGGUAGAGCUGGGGCACACGUGGCUAAUCAGCCCUGGAUGUUACCGUUUAUUGGACAUGUAUCUGCUCAUGGCUGUGGCUAGCGCCAUUGUGUCUGAACUUUUAUGGUUCAUGUUCUUGCUGGGAAUGGGUGGUGUCUUCAAGCGUCAGAUCAAUACCUGCAAAAUCACUGCUAUCAUCAUGUGAUGAUGAUGUGAAAGCUUGCGGUUCGUUUCAAUUACUGUUAGUGCCAUCUUUUUGAAAUGGUGGGUUCAUUUGCAACUAAUGAAAAGGAGGCUGGAUAUUCCUAGUGUACAGCAAAAUAAAGAGUUAGGGUUUCUCAUGUUAUAAGUUUAUAGUCCAAAAUAGAGAAAAUUUUGAAUUAUAUAUAAAUUCAAGAAUAAAUUUCAGAAUCAUCCAUCUUAAUAGUGGCUAAACUAACGUAGCUAAUUAAAAGUAAAUCAGAUUAAAAUUCUAAGACCUAUCUAGAAAAAAAAAAUCCAAAAAUAACUUAGAAAAUAAAAAAAAAUCUCAAACAACAAUUUCUAGGUCUAAUUGAAACAUGAAAACCAACUUUAUUAAACGAUUAUAUAAAAAAUUAUCCUGGGUUUUUUAAAAAAGAUAUCGUUUGACAUGUCGAGGAUUCUUUUUAGACCUAGACUUUGGAACAUGAAAACCAACUUCAUUCAAUGAUUAUAUAAAAAAUUAUGUUGGUUUACCCGAGUAAAUCUUAUUAAUAUCUUCUCUUGAUUGCUAAAAAAAAAAGCAGUAAAUUAUCAAAAAAAUAACAGUGUGGAAGAAGCAGUAUUUUCUUACUUUUCUUUUCCUGUGUUUGGAAUGCAAAAAUACUGCAGGGUCCAUAAAUAAUAAAUUAUGAUUUUUAAUUUACCAAAUAAGUUGAAUUUACAUUUUAAAUAAAACACAAACGCAGCCACUUAAAUAAACACUUUUAUAAAUGACGUUGAGUGUUACGUACUGAGAACUCUGCAACUCAUCAGGUGGCUUGUCUCCCAGUAAUGUGUUCUGAACUGACUGCACUAGCUAGGAAGAUUGGACUAGCUAGAGGCUUCACACACACUCACAACUCAGCUGUAGAAGAUUCUAUCCCAUGAUCCACAAAACAUGAAGCUGGAGGGAGUUUAGCUACGACAUGCAGAAUGGCUACUUGCUGGCUCUUCUCUUGGACCAAGAGAAAUCCAACAUUACCUAGAAUAAUUAUUUUUUUUAUAUAAAAAAAUAUAUAAUAUAUAUCAGUUUUUAUGGUUCUAAUAAACGUAUAAUAUUUAAAACAACAUCAACUAGAAACAGUGUUAUAAACUCCAGCAAAAGAUCACACGAUCACUCCACUAAGUAACGUUUAUCCUCUACAAAGAAGGGUUUCUUUCUCAGAAAUAACUCCUUUGUGGCUUUUCCGGCAUUUUGGAGGUAGCAAUAUGGUUUCAUUUAUCUAAAUAGAAGCAUAAAAUUUUAGGUGUUCACCCAACCCAGGGGUUGAAAUCCCAGGUCACAGGUCAGAAAUCUGCUGUCAAUCCAAACUAAGAUUUUUUUAAAUCUCUCAAACAACUUCGUUUUAGUUAAAAAACAAAACAAAACAAAACAGUUUGAAGUAAAACCUAACCCAAACCAGGCUCAGGGUCACCGGGUUGACUAAAAUUUAUGAAAGGAAACUUCCCCAGCUGAAUCCAUGAUGGCUGUAACAUAAUACGAAGAAGAUUGCCUUGUCAAGUACCUUACUGGAAAAGGCCUUCUGUAUCACCGGAAGGCUUUCAAGAACACCCCAAGCAUGAAAAUAUUUAGCAUCGGAGGAAAGGGAGACAAACAUGAUCUCUAUCAGCAAAGGCAAACCAGCCGUGUUCUUUCCCACAACAGCCAAAUCUGUCUGCAAAAGCACAAAAAUAAAAUAAAAAUGCUAAGCUUCUCUCAGCUCCUGCACUUGAGCAUGGGGCAUUAAUAAGUGAACUCAUUACUGAAAAUUGAGUCGCUAUACAGAUUUAUUUUUCAAAUUGAGUCGCUCCUUCAGUAUAGGCUUGUUUUUACCUUCAUCAUAUUCUACAUGAUCAAGGCUUGCCUGCGUAUUCUGCAGACCAUGAGAUGCAGGGUCGUUCAUUUUUCCAAAGCCAAGGGCAAACAGCUGGUCCUCUUCUCUCGAAGCCACAGAUAAUGGAAAGGGCUUUACCGGGCUGUUAGUUGUACAUUUUGAAGAAGACCAUAGCUCAUCAGCAUUACCAAGAUUUACAUUGCCAAAUAUUGGGUCAUCAUUGCUGCAAAAUCACCACUUGUGAGGAUAUCGAGUCAGAUGGUUAUUACUGUUAUCCAACAAAAUCAAGAUAAAAUAUAAGAACAUUAGUGAAGAACAGAAAUGCAGGAAAGCCAGUGCUGCUAUAUUACAUUUUUUCUGCCAUUUAUACUUGUAAUUGAGGAUAUUGUGCUGCUAAAAACUGGCAUCCUUCAGGUUCUUUUCCCAAUUAACAAAAUUAAGCCAAGGAUCAAAAAUCAUAAAUUUUCAAACAACUAGUCAUUUUUUGUUAGUGUUGCUUUCAGCAGACAGCACUUAUUUGGAAAAGGAUAUAGAUCCAAAACAGAAGAAACUACAAUUAUUAAAAGAGUCUGGUUGUUUUUCCUUCACAACAACACUCUUGUACUACAUGGUUUUUUUCUUCUGAAAUGAAAAUAGACAGCGAGCAUAAUUAUUUUGUUCGCGAAACUUUCACUUCACAUUCAGUAAUAAGAAUGUGUUCAAAUUAUCAGAAUAAUGAGAUAUACAAGCUUCCAUAUCAGGGUGCUGCUGACCAUCUUUCAUUUAGGUGCAGAAAGUAAGAAAUGGUAACUGUGCUUUACCUGAAAAUUCGAUCAAGAUCAUCAAAGCUUCCAAUGCUAGCCCAGCCAUAAUCAACAAAAUCACCUUGCUCUUCACCUUCAUGAGGAUUUUGAAAAAUCUCAGUGUCCUUAUCAAGAUGACCUGUCUCCGCGUUUUAAGAAAAAAAGAAUUAGAAUGACAGUAGCAUGUAAGAUACUAUGCUAUGAAAACAUCAUGCAACUCAUCACCCUAUCUACAUUUUUUCCUUGUAAUUGAAAUCUCAUCACCUGCUGAUGAAUCGAGUUUGGUAAUCUCAGUUAGAUUGUUAGAGAUUGAAGUUUCCAAGGAAUCCUGCUCAGUUUUGGCAGCAUUACGUGAGGACAAGUUAGGCCAUCGGUCCAUGUCAAGUCCUAAGGAAGAAGUUCCUUCACUUGUGUCAACAUUCGAAAUGCUCUCCAGCUUUCUGCCAUCAGUAUCAACUUUAGCCCCAGGUGCCUUCUGCUCACUAGAUUUAAUGGUGCUAGCUUCUUCACUCGAUUCCUUUUUCUUGCAAUAAUCUUCACUUGCCUCUGGAUAUGGCACGAUAUGGUCAUCACUAUCUUCAGCCUCACCCCAUAUUAUGUGAAGAACUGAAAUGCAGGAAAGCCCUUCCACAAUUGAACACGCUCACCAAUUCCUUGCAAAUCCUCAAGGCAUAUUUUGGAAUUUUUUUUUUUUUUAAUUAACGUGAAUGUUUAGAAUAAUUUAUGUGCAGCUCAAUCAAUCUUACAGGUUUUAAUGUUAAUGAUAAUGUAAAUUUUCGAUGAUUUAAAAAAAAACUCAAACUAAUUAUUAUUAAAGAGUAAACUCAAUGUCCGAUAAUUAAGCUGCUUGUCAUAGUUGUUUUAAGUGUAUAAUAUGUUGCAUUUAAGACAAAAUUAAUAGUUUUUAAUAUUUUUAUUACUGAAAUGCUUUGGAGAAGCGCGUGCGGCCACAUGUACGUGAAUUUCUUUUUUUGUAUUUUUUCCCCUCUUAUGGUAAAUUACAAAAAUUUCCUUUUAUUUUUUCUAUAAAGAAUUUAAUUUUUAUUAUUUUAUUGUUAUUUAUUUGAUUUUUAUUUUUUGUAAAAAAAAAUUUUAAUUUUAUUCUUAUCAUUUGAUUUUAUUUAAUUUUUAUACCAAGUUUGGCCCUUAUUUUUUUAAUUAUUAUUUAUUUAUUUAUUUAUUAUCUUUUUUCUAAUUGAAUUUUCUUUUCAAAUUCAUCUUUUAAUAUAUGAUUUCAAUUUAUUUUAAUAUUAAAUUUAAUUAAUUUGCUUUUUAUUACUAUAUAUUUUAUUUUAAAUCCUUUUUAAAUUGUAUUUUUUUUUCCAGUUUUAUCUCUCAUUAUCUUGUGAUAAAGAAUUUAACUUCAUUAUUUUUUAGGGUUUGUCUUUUGUAGAGUUAACAAAGUCACAAGUUUCAGAUAUUAACACAGAUUAACUUCGGUUUUUUUUUUUAGUUUUGUUUUUUUUUUUAAAUCUUAUCCUUCAAUGUUUGAUUUAUAGAGAAUUUAUCUUCAUGUUUUUUAAUACACUUUUCUUUCUUCAUGCUAUCUCAAUUUUAUAUUUAUAAUCAUUAAAAUUAAAAUAUUAACCUAUGUUAACUCAAAUAUUUAUUAAACUUAUUCAAUUAAAUGAACGGAGUCUUUGAAAACGCUUAUGUCCGAUUAACUAAUUAUUUUUUACAAUAAAAAAAUCUAGGACGGCUAAAAUCUUGAUUAAAGAGAACAUUAACAAGUCUAGUAGCAGUGCAUGGUCGUUUAGAAAGAAAGCAAGAGCAGCGGAUUGGGAGCGUUUAUUGGGUCUUUCUGGCCUCUACAUAACCUUCCAAUGUUACUUCUAGGCCUCCCAAACUCCUCAAAAUUCUGGUGACAAUAUAAUGCUAUUCCAUCAAGGUAGUAUGAUGCUAACUUAAGUUUUUUAGAAUCUCCAAUCUUUUUAAGAUUAAAAUAUUGAUUGCCAUUUAUGGGCAUCUUCCCCAUCAAAGCUGAGAAAGUCACAUAUGGGUUUGUGCGUCCUAAUCCGAGAGUGCUCACCUUCACUAGGUAAUCAAGUUAUUGCAACUUAUGAGUUGUUUGUUUGUCUCGGGUAGGUAUUAGCCUCCCCUGUGGAAAGUUUUAGUGAUCGAAGAAGGGAUGUUUGUUGAUAAGUUAUUCCACUAAUGAGACCCUUGAGUUCGUUAAACUUAGCUUCAUGGUUGCUUUCUGUGGUACCCAGUUUGUGAUUGUAAGACUCCAACAUUUUCAUCAUUUGUCCAUAAUCUUAUGCUUGAUCCUUGCUGACAGCUUCAAGGGAGCUCUCCAGCUUUUUGAUGUCUUGAGAUCCAGUGUCAGGAGCGAUCGAUCAUUUGUUCACAUUCCGAGGAUCGAUCGCUCUAAUACCACUUGUAGCAAGUACGAUGGAAUGAUCUCCCACCAGGAUAGAAUCCAGUAGGACUGUUAGGUCACUACACUGAUUUGAGGUUUACAAUGGAGUCUACUAAUCACAGGGAUCAAUAAACUCGCAGGCCAUAUAACAGAAACACUGGAUGAUAGGGAAUAAAGAAGAAGAGAGUGGAGAGAAGGACAUAAAUUGGUUAAGCCACCAUUUUUCGUUCUUCGAUCUAUUUUCACGCAGGCAUUGUGUUACAAAUGCUAACUGAAAGAGCGGCUAACAACAACUUCCAAUUAUCAAGCAACAGCCAACACGUGGCAAGAGUCAUAAAAGAAACAGCAACAUUUAAACGAUGUGUCUAGGUAGUAAUUGAACGGUGUGUUUUGUGACAUAAUACCCCUACAAUCUUCUAAUGGCCAUACGGUGCGUUUAGUAGGAUUCUAACAUCUUCCAACGGUCACUAGAUUCAAAUUUGGAGCAAAGAUAUCAUAUCAAUAUUUUUUUUCUUCUAUGAAAAUCUUAAAAACAUAUCUUUCUCACUAGCACAUAUAUAGUCAUCACAACUAAAAUAUACAUUUUUAAUAACGUGAUUAUAUAAUGAGAAGGAUUAAUUUGUGUGUUAAAGCCAUCACAAAUAUCUGAUGUAAGAACAGAGGAAGUUACAGCUUCCUAUCAUAAUUAUCAUGGCCAAUUAAAUUUGCAUCAUCAUGAUGCAUUAUCCAAAAUCCGAAACGUAAGUAUUUAUCUUGCGCUGCUAAUUCAUUUUAUUCUUUCCAACUUUAUUUUUUUUAACUGAAAAAUAAUCUUUUAUUCUUGUACUGCACAGGCAUGUGUUGGCAAAAGUCGUGCGCGAUAUAUAUUUCUGAAGAUACAUAUGGCUGGUGAUUAGCGGAUGAUGGUGUCAUUAAGCCUCUUGGUGUGUCCCCUCAUCCUUUCUGCUUAUCGUCCAGUCCAUUUGCAGCUUCAAUGGCUACUAUCAGUUGCUUUGGAACCUGAUAUCACUAGUCUCGUUAUGGUACAGACAAGCUCAGGAUGAUCAAUCCUUGAGAAUCCACAUCCAACCAGAAAUAAACAGAAUUUCGAGCAUAAAUGACUCGAAGAUACACUAUCACCAUUAGUUUGGGAAUCAGAAACACUAUCAUAAAUGCUAGGUCCCCACUACUUGUCAGGACAGCUUUGGCACCUCCUUGAAUCCUAGUUUUGGAAACAGAAGCACUCUAUCACCAUUAGUUUUCACCGAGGAAGACAGCACCCCCAUUCCCUCCUCCUGUGCUGAUGAGAGAGAGAUACAAAGGAUUUGCCCAACAUUGAAGUAUGCAACUGUCUAUGGUUAGCCUUCCACUUUCGUGAUGCAAGCAGCAACCAAGCCCUGCCUUCACUGUCAGGUUUGCUAUUUAGCAAGUAGACAAGAACUCCAGGGCACUGCAUGAAGAAAUGAUUGAUUCACGAAGCCUGACUUCUUUGAAUUUAAAAGAUUAGAAUCAUUGGAAGAGAAAGAAGAAAAGGUGUAAACGACAGCGGAAUGCUAUUAUACCAUCUGCCAAGGUAAUGCCAAGCCUACUUGCGAGGUAUUUAUAUCAUAAUUGUUAAGUAUUAGAUUGUUGCCGCCUACCAAGCGAAGAGGUUUGUUUAUUUGGAUAUUAGAGCCAAGAUGCGAGUCCAACACUAUUAAGAUUUAAGAUAGUGUUUACAUUAAUUUUUAAAAUAUUUUUUUAUUUAAAAUAUAUUAAAAUAAUAUAUUAAAAAUUUAUUUCAUAUCAAUAUAUUAAAAAAAUUAAAAUACAUAUUAUUUAAAAAAAAUUGUCUCGCCGCAAAAAAACAAUAAAAAAUUAACAGUGAAUAACAAAUAUAAACCAUGGCAGAAAGCAUGGAUACCUUCAACAGCAAUGGCGCUUCAGUUCGCGGCAUUUUCAGCCGCGACCGAUGCCUGACGGAGUUGGUAGACGACAGGUCGGCACAGAUCUACAGGCACUACAUCUCUCGAAGGACAGUUUUGGAAAUGCACAAAGACCGUGGCUAUGAUGUGGCUGACACAGACCUCACUCGAUCACUCACCGAGUUUCGUUCCGUUUUCAGAAAUAGCCCUAAUCUUGAUAGCCUCGGCUUCUCUGUUUCUCUCCGCUCCAAUCCGUACAAGAAGGUAUGCUCAUUAAUCUCAAGCUCAUUUCGAUUAUUUUGUUGAAUAUUUUAACCACAUGGAUUCUUAUAAUAAUAAUUUAAUGUUUUUUUUUUAAUUUAAUUUGUUUAUUUUCAUGGGAGGUUUUUUAUGUAGAGAACAUAGGAAGUGUAAAAGGUGGCAACUUUUUUGCUUUAUUUUAUACUGUAUUUAAAGCCAGUGCCUUUUGAUUUGGUUUGGAAGUAUACUGUUUAAAAUUGAUGUGUUUUUUGUUUUUUUUUUAGUUUUGGUUUGUUGAAAAUGAGUUGGUGCAUAUGCAAACAAAAGGGUGUUUUAUGAUUAUUAUUUUUUUAAGAUUUAUUAUGGGUUUUGUUUGUUUAAUUUAAUAAAGAAACCUUUCUGAAGAGAGAAAUUCAAUCGUGCUCUUUUUUUAUUGCUUAUUUCUUGCAUUUUUAUGACUUAUUCUAGGGGUAAGCUUCCUAUUUUUUUUACAAGUUUUGUUAUUUGUUGGAAACAUUGCUUGAUGAAUUGUUAAGAAAAUUUGGGCUUGCAAAUACAGCAGGGAAAAGACUGUCUUCGAAUUGGAUUUUGCGGGACCAUAGACUGGGAUGUUUUAUUUUUUAUUUUUUACUCAUUUUAAGUUUUCUUAAAAAUCUCAUGCUUGUAGCCUGUAGGAACUUGUAAAAGUUGGAAUUCUGAUACAAGAACAGCUCUUGUUUAAGUAAUUUCUGCAAGCAAAAUUUGUAUGGAAAUCCUAGUCAUAAUUUUUUUUUUUAACCUGGUCGUCAUCUUCAUGGGAACUGAUGAAAUUAGAACAGCAAAUAUCAGGGCUGUAUAUGGUCAAAUUCUUAGCAAAGAGAGUAUACAAGGGCUGAUACUGAUCUUGCAAAGCAAAAUGAACUACUUUGCCAAGAAAGAGCCGGAGAAGUUUCCAUUCAAAUUGGAGGUUUUUCAAGUACACCCCCUGUUGUCUAAAUAAAUUUUCAUACUGCAGAUUUGUUGUAAGACAAUUAGAAAGAACUUUGGGUGGCCAGACAUUUAAAGAACGAUGCUAAUUUCUAGCCACAAGAGGUCAUGCUAGUCACUUUUUGAUCAUGUCUGUGAUACUAGCGGUGAUCUUUUUGAAUGCUCUUUCUCCAUCAAAGCUAAUGGAAAUUAAUGUGUAUAAAUUAUCAUUUUAUCUUUAUGUAUCAUAUUGUCCUUCAUGAUUUGAUUUGCAUUCAGAUCACUGACCUGCUGGUGAACAUUACCAUGCAUGUUCUGCAGCCGAAGAUUUCAAAGAAGAAAACAUAAUGAUUUUGGUCAAUUGUGUUUGAACUCUUUGCAUUUCACCAUCCUCUACCUUCUAUCAUUUUGAGCGUAGUUGCCACCCACCUCUCUGUGGCUCCAUGUUCCUGCUCCAAACCAUUCAUAUAUGUAUCUUAAAUAGUCUAGCCUGAGCUUUACCGGUUAUGCUUUUUAAUUUAUUUUUAAGUAAGAUAUAUUUUUUAAAAAUAUUUAAAAAAAAAACAAACAUUACAUUACUGUACUCUCAAAAACAUAAUCCUAUUGCAUCUAACUCUUUAAAUUCUAACAAUGAGUACCCAAUUAAACGAUAUCUACAUUCAAUUAAAACUUGUGGUAUAAUUACUUGACAGAGAAAUAAAGAAACCCUGUAAUAUCUAUAAAAUUUCUAUGCUCUUUAAAUUAGGUGUACAAACUGAGGCUGUAACGAGCCUUGAAUCUUUUCUUCUGUGGGAAAUGGGUUGAUGUCAGAGGUAGACAGGGAAACAGAGGGGGAAAAAAAUGCAUGCUGAGCUGGAGCUCUUGGAGGACAUAGAGAACGUACUACGCUUUCAUUCGAGUUUAGCGCACGACGAGAAACCUGAAUUCUUUAUAAAAAGCUUGGUAUAAAUAUAUUUCUUCUUAGACAUUAAUUAUUCAUGCAAUUGAAGUUGAGUUUGGGUUAGGUUUUGGAUAGAGCAUGGUAAUAUCUAACCUGAUCUGAAACUUAAUUUUUUAUCUUCAAGUUUUACAUCAAAUCCACUUGAAUUUAAAAAUUUCUUAAUUAUUUGAACAAGUUCAAGACAGUAUCCAUAGAAUUCAAGUGAAAUCGGCCCGAGGAGGAUAUACAAGUAGACUUCUAGUUUUCUCAAAUAUUUCAAUUUUAAUGAUUGGACAAGAGAGCAAAAAGAUACUGGUGAAGGUGGAGAGGAUGUGAGAGACGAUGGGGUAUCUUAUUUAACUGUGAAAACAUCAACUGUUGUGGUCAAUUUUGGUGGACUAAAAGCCAUCAACUUGAUUAAUGAUAAACACUUCAGGCUCCUUUCCCGUUCUUUCCCUCGCUGGAUCCUUGAUGUCUUCGAGGGGUGCCAGCGCCGUGUUCGAGGAUUGAGCAUAAAAAGACUAAAAAGAGUUAAGUAAAUUAAGAGCAUCUUUAAUGGAGAAGUUAAAUGAAUAGAUGAAAAUAAAAAAUUAAUAUUUUAAAUUUUUUUUUUUUUACACUAAAUAAAAUGUUAAAAUGUUUUUUCUCUUUCAUAAAUGUUAUUUUUAUAUAUCUUUUAAAAGAGUCAAAAUUAAUGAAGUGGAGCCAAUAAAAAAAUAAACCAAUUAAAUCUAGUCAUGUGGAAAAAAAAUAACAUCAAAAUCAUUAAAAAAAAACACUUCUUUAUUCUAUUCUAAUAAAAUUAGCUUUUUAAAUGGCUUUUUUUCAUUAGAAUAUACAUGGUAAAAAAUCCUAUAUUUAUACUAUUCAAAAUGAUAUUUUAUCAAUUUAUCUCUUUAAAAUAACAUUUCUCAUUAAAGAUGCUCUAAAAGAGUUUUUAUAAUAUUCAUAGCAAUGUUCAUCAGCUCAUUUAUAAUUUAUUUAUCUACUUUAUCAAUGAAAUAAAAGUAAUAAAAGCAAAGGAGAGAAGAAAUAAAGCGAAGUCUUCUUCCGCGUUAUUAGCACAUGUGAAAAGAAAGAUUGGCAUAUAUAAUAAAAGUUAUUCCAAUCAAACCCACUUUUUCAAAGAUGGGAUCUCUUUGCAAAUAAAGCAAGUAAAAUUAAUAAAAUGUGGGACCUAACUCCAAUUUCCUGGCACCCGCAACCCACGCAUUCACAAGCCCGUACUUUAUCAAUGAAGUAAAAGUGAUAGAAGAAGAGAGAAGAAAUAAAGUGAAGUCUUCUUCUGCAUUAUUAGCACAUCACGUGAAAAUAAAGACUGGCAUAUAAUAAAAGUUAUUCCAAUCAAACCCAUUUUUUCGACGAUGGGAUCUCUUGGCAAAUAAAGCGAGGACAAACCCAGUAAAAUGGGGGACAUAACUCGUUUUUCCUGGCACACGCAACUCACGCAUACACUAACACUAAUUUGAGAUUUUUUUUUUUACUUUGGAGUUUACUGGCAAAUAAAGUGAUGGAAGAACAUCUUCUUCUGCAUCAUCACAUCACGUGAAAAGCUUGGCAUUUAAUGAAGUUUUUCCAAUCAAACCCACUCUUUUCACAGAUGGAAUUUCUAGGAAAAUAAAUCAAAGACAAAACCGAGUAAAAUGGAAUUCCCGGUAUAAUAAUUAUUUUUUAAUGUAUUUUUUAUUUUUAAAAAUUUAUUUUUGAUAUUAAUACAUCAAAAUUAAAAUAAUUUAAAAACAUCAAAAAUAUAUUAAUUUAAAACAAAAAAAAUAUUAAUUUUUUUCAAAAAUACUUUCCACUUAGUCGAUGUCUGCAUGAUUAAUCAUGCACUUACAACCACAAAUCUUCCUUUAAUCAUAAGAAUAACUGCUGUUCAUAACGAGUCAUUCAAGUAUGAUUAUUCACUUAAAUAAUUAAUUACGUUUAAUUAGAUCUAUCCAUAAGAUUGCAAUUGAGCUAAUUGUUCUAUAAUUACAGUAGCUAUGAAAGGUCAAGCACAAUUUCAUCCAAAACAAAACUCGUUAUUUUUAAAAAGAAAAAAUACUCCAAUUUUUUUUUUAUAUUUUAGUAUUUCUUAUAUUUAAAGGCAGUAUAGUUGUAAUAUUUUCAAGUAAUCGAAACAACCACCUAUGUAUCAAUUAUAUGAUAUACUGACUUGACUUUCCAAGUGUUUUAACUUUUGAGUACGCGAGGAAGAAAAUAUAUUUCUCUCUAAAAAAUAAGGAAUUUCAGAUGUAUUUUCUUUUAACUGGCGAAAAGACAGGAAGACGAAGAAAGGAAUAUCUUAUUUCUUGUAGGAGUAUGGUUAGCACGAGCUAUAAGAGUUGUACACGAGAGAAAAGAAAAGGGAAAGGCCUAUCGACUCUCUUUUUUUCUAUGUUCACAGGUAGUACGGAUCGCUUACCAUGAACAUCAAACCUAUCGUUCAUAAAUUGUGCCUAGACUUCUUUAAUCAUUUACAUAUAUAAAUUUGGUUAAUCAAGUUGGAGAAGAUCGUGUCAAGAACCAUGCUGUAUAUGUUUGAUAAUGCAGUGAAUAUAAUUUUACAAGAACAUUUUUCAAUUAAUAAAAUAUUUCUUAAAGAAAUUUUCAAUAAUCUUGUUAACAAAUUUGGGUGGCCAGACAUUUUAAAGAAUGAUGCUAGUUUCUGGCCACAAGAGGUCACUUUUUGAUCAUGUCUGAUACUGGUGGAAUGCUCUUUCUCCAUCAAAGCUAAUGGAAAUGUGUAUAAAUCAUCAUUUUAUCUUUAUGUAGCAUAUUGUCCUUCAUGGUUUGAUUUGCAUUCAUAUCGCUGACCUGCUGGUGAACAUUACCAUGCAUGUUCUGCAGCCGAAGAUUUCAAAGAAGAAAACAUAAUGAUUUUGGUCAAUUGUGUUCGAACUCUUUGCAUCUCACCAUCCUCUACCUUCUAUCAUUUUGAGCGUAGUUGCCACUUGCCACCCACCUUUCUGUGUCUCCAUGUCCCUGCUCCAAACCAUUCAUACAUGUAUCUUAAAUAGUCUAGCUUGAGCUUUACCGGUUAUGCUUUUUAAUAUAUUUUUAAGUAACAUAUAUUUUUAAAAAAUAUAUAAAAAAAACAAACAUCAUGGCGUUAUAUACCACAAUAAUUCUUUACGGUAGUUUUUAUAUUUCUAUAGAUCUCAUUUUACAAUGCGUUAUACCACAAUAAAAACAUCAUGUUUUAUAACUUUACUGCAAACACCCUCAAAAGAAAGAGCGAAGGUGACAUUCAUUAUAACUUUACUGCCCCACCUCUCUCGCCUACGAGCAGCAACCACUACCAGAUGUUCAUGGCGUCUUCUUCUUCUUCGUCUAGACCUGGUUGGGAUUACGAUGUAUUUCUAAGUUUUAGAGGUGAAGAUACUCGCAAAAAUUUUACGGGUCAUCUUUACACUGCUUUACAGAAUGCAGGAAUCCGUACAUUUCGAGAUGACGACGAACUUUGUAUAGGUGAAGAAAUCUCCUUACAACUCCCCAAAGCAAUACAAGAAUCCAAGAUUUCUAUAGUGGUUUUCUCCAAGGGCUAUGCUUCCUCCACUUGGUGUCUUGAUGAACUUGAAAAGAUUCUUGAUUGCAAACAUACAACUGGUCAGAUUGUUAUACCUGUUUUCUAUGAUAUCGCUCCUUCUGAUAUUAGAAAACAGACGGGGAGUUUUGCUGAAGCCUUUGGUAAGCAUGAAGAACGUUUUAAGGAAGAAAUGGAGAAGGUCAAAAAGUGGAGAGAAGCUCUUGUGGAGGCUGCAAAUUUAUCUGGGUUUGAUCUUCGCAGUUUCGCAAAUGGGUACUUCUUUUCUUCCCCUAUAUCAAUAGCAAAGGCUCAUAACUUUUACUCUUAUUAUGUUUUGUAUUUUAAAUUUGCAUUAAAUUCAAAAGAUUAUCUUUCAUCGAUGAGUGAUGACUUUCUUUUUCUCUCCACAGGCACGAAGCAGAAUUAAUUAAAAAGAUUGUAGAAGAAGUUUCAAGUAAAUUGAACAUCAGAACCAUGAACGAUAGGCCGCUGAAGAGGUUGAAGACAGCAAUGAUACCUGGCAGGGGGCUGCUUGACGAUGCUGCGGAGAAGCAGAUAACAAAGACAGAUGUGCGGGAUAGUAGUCUGCUGCAGAAGUUGAAGACAACAACGACAUCUCUCAGGUUGGUGCUUGACGAUGCUGAGGAGAAGCAGAUAACAAGUUCAUCUGUGCGGGAUUUGCUGACCGAGCUUAAAGACGCUGUCUAUAAAGCCGACGACUUCUUGGAUGAGAUUGCUUAUGAAGCUCAACGGCAGGAGCUGGAAGCUGAAGCUCAAAUCUUCAUUAACCCACGUGAAAUAAUGGGGUUGAGAGAGAGAGAAGAAAAAUCAAAAGGCCUCCAGGAGAGACUAGAUGACUUAGUAAAACAAAAGGAUGCCCUUGGUUUGAUCAACCGCACUGGAAAAGCACCAUCAUCGCCUAAAAGACAAACAACUUCUCUCGUUGAUGAAUCUGGUGUUUGUGAUAGAGAUGAUGACAGCGAAGCAAUACUGAAGUUGCUUCUAUCAGAUGAUGCAAAUGGAAAAAACCCAGGUGUCGUUCCCAUAGUAGGAAUGGGCGGGGUUGGUAAAACCACACUUGCCCAGCUUGUAUACAAUCACAGCAGAGUACAAGAGUGGUUCAACCUCAGAGCUUGGGUUUGUGUUUCAGAAGAUUUCAGUGUUUCGAAGUUAACCAAGGUGAUCCUUAAGGAGGUCGAUCCAGAGUCUGGUUCUGGGAGUCUGAAUAAUCUCCAGAUUCAGUUGAAGGAGAGAUUGCAGGGAAAGAAAUUUUUGCUUGUUUUAGAUGAUGUUUGGAAUGAAAAUUAUACUGAGUGGGUCAAGUUGCUUACCCCCCUGAAGUACGGAGCACAAGGGAGUAAGAUUCUUGUCACAACACGCAAUGAAAUUGUAGCAUCAGUCAUGAGAACUGUUCCAACUCAAUAUCAUCUAAAAGAAUUGACGGAAGACAGCUGCUGGUCCGUGUUCGCCAAACAUGCAUUUUGUGGUGAAAAUCUCAAUGAUUAUGAAAAGUUGCUAGAGAUUGGCAAAGCUAUAGCAAGAAAGUGUAAAGGCCUUCCUCUAGCUGCAGUAACACUCGGAGGUCUGCUACGCACCAAAAGAGAUGUCGAGGAGUGGGAGAAGAUAUUGGAAAGCAAUCUAUGGGAUUUACCCGAACACACUAUCCUCCCAGCUUUGAGAUUAAGUUAUCAUCAUCUCCCGUCACAUCUGAAAGAAUGUUUUGCUUAUUGUGCCAUAUUUCCAAAAGACUAUGAAUUUCAAAAGGAUAAAUUAGUGCUCUUUUGGAUGGCAGAGGGCUUCUUGGUCCACUCUGCAGUAGAUGAUGAGAUGGAAAAAGCAGGUGCAAAGUGCUUUGAUGAUCUCUUGUCAAGGUCCUUUUUCCAGCAAUCAAGUGCCUCUCGCUCAUCAUUUGUGAUGCACGAUCUCAUGCAUGACUUGGCUACCCAUGUGUCCGGUCAAUUUUGCUUCACCUCCAGGUUGGGGGAAAAUAAUUCUUCCAAGGCCACCAGAAGGACUCGACAUUUAUCACUCGUAGUAGAUACGGAAGAGACGGAUGGUGAAGAUACCAAAGAUGGAGAUACGGAAGAUGUUUUUUCAAGCACAAUAUUAGAAAACAUCCGUGAAGCCGAACUUCUACGCACAUUCCUACAUUUUUCACCCUAUUUGGAGUGUCUUCCCGAAAUUUAUAAUGAGAUCUUUCAGUUAACACUUGGGCGCCUACGAGUGCUAAUCAUGUCUUGUUGGCAAGAUGCAUCUAAGAUGUUAUGUUCAGCUAGCAAGUUGAAGCAUUUGCGGUAUUUGGAUCUCUCAGAGUCAGAUUUAGUAACGUUGCCUGAAGAAGUGAGUGCUCUUCUCAAUUUACAAACGUUGAUCUUGAAAGAUUGCAAACUACUUGCUAGUCUACCUGAUCUUGAAAGUUUGAAGCACUUACGACAUCUGAAUCUCCAAGGAACAGGGAUCGAAAGGUUGCCUGAAUCUCUGAAAAGGUUAAUCAACUUGCGGUAUCUUAACAUCAAAUACACGCCUUUGAAAGAGAUGCCACCACAUAUAGGUCAACUGACAAAGCUCCAAACUUUGACUUUCUUUCUCGUGGGAAGACAGAGUGAGACUAGCAUUAAAGAAUUGGGAAAGCUACGACAUCUACGGGGAGAACUUCAUAUUCGGAACCUUCAAAAUGUGGUGGAUGCUCGGGAUGCUGUCGAGGCAAAUUUGAAAGGUAUAAAGCACCUUGAUAAGCUGAGGUUUACAUGGGAUGGUGACACUCAUGGCCUGCAACACGUGACAAGCACACUUGAGAAAUUAGAGCCAAAUAGAAAUGUGAAGGAUCUUGAGAUUGAUGGCUAUGGAGGUGUAAGGUUUCCGGAGUGGGUAGGAGAGCCCUCUUUCUCAAAUAUAGUGUCCUUGAAGCUCAGUAGAUGCACAAACUGCACCUCCUUACCACCGCUCGGGCAAUUAGCUUCUUUAGAGGAUCUCUCAAUUGAAGCAUUUGAUAAAGUUGUGACUGUGGGCUCUGGGUUCUAUGGGAAUUGUACAGCUAUGAAGAAGCCAUUUGAAUCCCUCAAAAGUUUAACUUUUAAAUGGAUGCCAGAGUGGCGCGAGUGGAUUUCAGACGAAGGCAGCCGGGAAGCCUUCCCUCUUCUAGAGUCGCUUUCAAUCGAAGAAUGCCCGAACUUUGCAAAGGCCCUACCUUGUCACCGCCUUCCACGUGUAACAAGUCUUACAAUUCGUGGAUGUAAGCAGCUCGCGACUCCUUACUAUGGAGGUGUAAGGUUUCCGGAGUGGGUAGGAGAGUCCUCUUUCUUAAAUAUAGUGUCCUUGAAGCUCAGUAGAUGGACAAACUGCACCUCCUUACCACCGCUCGGGCAAUUAGCUUCUUUAGAGGAUCUCUCAAUUGAAGCAUUCGAUAAAGUUGUGACUGUGGGCUCUGAGUUCUAUGGGAAUUGUACUGCUAUGAAGAAGCCAUUUCAAUCCCUCAAAACAUUACGGUUUCAAGGGAUGCGAGAGUGGCGCGAGUGGUAUUCAGACGAAGGCAGCCGGGAAGCCUUCCCUCUUCUAGAGUCGCUUUCAAUCGAAGAAUGCCCGAACCUUGCAAAGGCCCUACCUUGUCACCACCUUCCACGUGUAACAGGACUUACAAUUCGUGGAUGUAAGCAGCUCGCGACUCCACUUCCUAGGUUUCCUAGGUUGCUCUCUCUCUUUGUUACUGGAUUGCACUCCCUAGAGUCCCUACCCGAGGAAAUUGAUCAAAUGGGUUGUUCACCCUCUGAUUUAGAGGAAAUUACAAUCAAGCGCUGUGCUUCUCUCAAAUGCGUCGCACUGGACUUGCUCCCCAAGUUAAAAUCUCUAUGUAUCUGUGACUGUCCAGAUCUGGAAUCACUAUGUGCACAAGAAAGACCUCUCAAUGAUCUCACCUCUCUCCAUUAUUUGGAAAUCUCGGACUGCCCUGAAUUAGUUUCAUUUCCCAAAGGAGGGUUACCUGCUCCAGUCUUGACACGACUUGAGUUAAUAGAAUGCAGCAACCUGAAGCAGUUGCCUGAGAGUAUGCAUUCCCUCCUCCCAUCCCUUAAGCAUUUGGAAAUAAGAGGUUGUUUAGAAGUUGAGUUGUGUCCAGAAGGGGGUUUUCCCUCCACAUUAAAAUUUCUUUGGAUUUGGAAUUGCAAUAAUCUCAUUGCAGGCCGCAUGCAAUGGGGCUUGCAAACACACCCUUCUCCUUUAUACUUUACAAUUGGUAUGGACGAAAAUGUUGAAUCCUUCCCUGAAGAGAUGCUUCUGCCCUCAAGUCUUACAUCUCUUACUAUCUUUGAGCUAAAACACCUGAAAUAUCUUGACUACAAGGGGCUUCAACACCUCACCUCCCUUUCUUCUCUUCGAAUCGACAGGUGUCCUAUGCUGAAAUAUCUUCCAAGGCUUCAACACCUCACCUCCCUUUCUUCUCUUCGAAUCGACAGGUGUCCUAUGCUGAAAUAUCUUCCAAGGCUUCAACACCUCACCUCUCUUAGAGAAUUGACUAUAUGGAAGUGCCCUCUGAUUGAGUCAAUGCCAGAAGAAGGGUUGCCCUCCUCCCUUUCUUCUCUUGUAAUUCGCGAUUGUCCUCUGCUGGGUGAAAGUUGUGAAAGGGAGAAAGGUAAAGAUUGGCCCAAGAUUUCUCACAUUCCUCACAUAGAUAUGUACCCAACAUCAGCGGAGCAAAGAAGUAGCAGUUAAAGGGAGCUUUUCUUUCAAUCAAAGGCAACAUAUUUUUUUGAGGUAUUGCUACUAAAUAGUUUAUUUUCUUUUCUGUAAUCAAAAGCAAUUUCAGUUAAAAUUUGGAUGAAUGAAAUACAGAUAUUGUCCUAGAAAGUUGUAUGUUUUUAUUUGUUGGAUGUUGAAAUACAGAUAAUAUCUUCCUAUUGUCUCUCGUUCAUCUCCAUAAAUAAUAAUCAUCAUUCUAUUUCAAUAUCUUUUUUGCUAUAAUUAAUGCUACUAUUGUUCCUCUAUCAAAUGCGGCAAGUAAACAUCACAUGCUUGAUGCUUCUGAUUUUGAACUGCCAGCGCCACCCUUAAAAAACAAGUGUCCAUCUUAAAAGACAACGGGCCUAGCAGAGCUGAAAAGGAUAAAAAAAUAUUUAAAUAAUCUGCAACAGAUUUUUCUUGUUGACGCGACAAAAUCAAAAUUCAAAAUUUAAAAUGUCCUCUCUCCUUUUCUCCUUUUCCUCAUCUUCAAAAAUUCAAAAUCUUUUCCCCACCUUUUUCUCUAAUCUAUUCCCCUUCUCCAAAAAUUCAAAAUCCAAAAACUUUUGAUUUAUCUAUUUUAUUAUUACUUAACUUUGAUUAAAAAACUUUUCUUGAAGUUUACUUCCAUCAAAGAUCUUUUAUAGAUAUAAAAAGAAGAGAUAAUAUAAAAUUCAUCCGCGUAUUGGAAUCACAAUUCAGAAUCAAGUGAAAGCGGCCAAUGUCACUCGAGAGAGUAGGCACUUGCAAAUCUGCUAAUAAUUAUUGGAGCAUCAUCCUUUCGCACAAUCAACAGAAAGGAUUAAAGCACAUAAAGUCAUCAUCUUGAGAACCCACAGCAAAGAGUUCAUUGUUUUGCAGUAGAUACGUAGCUAUAUGCACAAAUGCGACUUCUUGAUGGUUACACUGCUAAAGUCAUUUACAAAUCGUGUUUAUUCCUCAUGAUGAUCCAGUGAGCUGACAAUAAAAGAAAACCUCGGCAUUACUAGUAAAUCGUCACUGCAAGCAUAAUGCAAGCAUGGAAGAGAUUCAGGUAGGAAUUACCCUUGUCUUCAUUGAGAGGCUUUAACCUCCCUAGCUCCUUCAUCAGCAGGCCCAUGGUUUGAUGCAUCCUCUGAAGCGUCUAAGCAAGGAUUGCUUUUACACUGACUUAUAGGCUGAGCACUGGUCAAGAGACUAGAAAGUUGAGACCCCCUUUUGCGAAAAGUUUGGUUUACCUUUCGGAGUCUCAGAC
Molecule: long non-coding RNA, 163883 nt
Filed under: Populus tremula
Lineage: Eukaryota; Viridiplantae; Streptophyta; Magnoliopsida; Malpighiales; Salicaceae
Description: long non-coding RNA (PTRE_LNC001923)
Source: RNAcentral